This 138503-nucleotide long non-coding RNA is filed under the name Citrus x clementina. RNAcentral's name for it is "Citrus clementina (C. clementina) long non-coding RNA (CCLE_LNC004317)". Lineage: Eukaryota; Viridiplantae; Streptophyta; Magnoliopsida; Sapindales; Rutaceae. The record is from RNAcentral.
CUGUAAAUCUAAACAGGUUUAGGGUUUAUUAAAUCAUAUACUUAGGUGAGAUUCCAAAAGAACUUUGAAAGCUAAUUAAUCUAAUGGAACUCAUUUUUUAGGGCGAAAGGAAUCAACUUACAGGACAUAUACCUUCAAAAAUUAGAUCACUUAUUAAUUGAACUCAUUUUUUGUGUGGACUGACUCCAUCAGUUGCCCCACAAAAGUCAAUGCAGUCCGCAGUAGUUGUACCCUAAAGCAUUAUAAUUUUUCUAUUGCCAUUUAAAUUGUUGUACCCUAAAGCAUUAUAAUUUUUCUAUUGCCAUUUAAAUUGGUAGUUGCGAAUGAGAACUCGAAAAUGACAUACGUAAUUUUAUGAGCCACCAAUACUAAUGGAGGAUCUUAUGUUGAGUUUUAUUAGAGUCUCAAAAUUCUAACUUUCUAAAAAAAAAAAAAAAAAAAAAAAGUCCUGUUCGCUGAUGGCUUAUGUAUUUUACGAUCUGGGAUUCAUACAUAUAAGGCAUUUAGUGACAGAAUAAAUUCAAAUUAGACUCGGACCACACCAUUUUAUCCUGAGCCCACACUCUUAUAAGGUAAAAUCAAUAAUUUUUAUAUCAAGAAGUGACAUUAAAUUUGUUUCCCAACUUUUUAAAUAUAUUAUUUAUUCAAGGAAAACUUCACGUGAAGUGAUUUAAUUUGUAUAAAAUGAGCUAACUUACUGCUUAUUUUUUUGCUAUAAUUUGUGAGUAAUAACGUCUGCACUAAUGAAAAGUUUCAAUUAGAUAUACAAGUUCCAAUAUAUUAUGCUAGUCAUUAAACAAUAAAUAAACAAAACAUCAUUUACUGUUUAUUUCAUGGAAACCAAAUGUUUAAAGUAACUUGAUUUAAAAGAACCCGGUUCGCGAGUCCAUGUUUUGUCUGGGAAGCCUCAGUAGCCUUGCGUUAUCACAUCACAAUUAGUAGAAGCAUAAAAAAUAGCUUUUGUUUUGAUAUAAUAAAGAUUUGUACUUCUAAACUCAGCAUUUGAGUUCGUUAAUUACGAUGAAGUUUCUGAGUUUCUUAAUGAACUAAAAUAACAUCCUUUAUUAGCCGAGUCAAGAAUAAAAGGUGUGUCAAAGCAGAGUGAUUCGCGACAAUCACAAAUGUGAUCUUAACUAGCUCUCUGUGAAAAGCUCGUCUUUGUAAUCUUUUUAAUACUCUCUAUAUAUAAAUAUACUCUAUUCUGAGAUCAACUGAUUAAAUUUGUCUUUCACCUUGCAGAGCUUGCUUAGACAUAUUGGAUAUUUGUCCUCUUUUUUUUAAAGGGCAAUUAGCACGACAUUAUUAAGAUUAGAUACGAUUCCUAAUCAACUAAAAAUUUUAAAGCAUGAAUUUAUUGUCAAAGUAUUAUUCUUUGCUUUUUACGCUUAAUUCAUCAUGAUUUGAUCUCAGAUAAGUAAAUUAAUUUGUUGUGCUCAAUGUGUUAUAGACAUUCUCCUAAUAUUAAUUAUAAGCAUUCUAUCUAAAUGAAUAUGAUCGAACUGUUACAUGGUCCAAAUUAAAAUUAUGGCCACAAUGCUAGUAAAUUGGAAAGCUAAGCUAGCAUCGCUAAAUUGAACUUAAGUUUUCUUUGUUAAACUGGUUGAUUCAUAUGAAUAUGACAAGAAAUUGUAAUUCAACUUUUAAAGUCUCUCUGUCUCAACCAUUUUAAUAUCUUAACAAAAAGGUACAUUUUAUGGCAAAAAAUAUUUAGACUUUCCAUUCUCUAUCUGCCAUAAUUUUGGGGAGAUAAAUGCCCAGUAAGCAAGUUUGAUCAGUCGCUGUUAGGAUCCAAAUAAAUGUUACUUAGUCAAUUAAUUUGUCCAUUAAUCUAGACCACAAAUGUUUAUUCUAUUUUCAUAAGUCAACCCCAGACCUUGGGCAUGGAUUUUUUAAAAAAAAAUUGUCAUAAUAUGAGAAUCUAAAAAUUUAGAUUUAUGGUGUGUUUACUUGUGAAAUCAGGAAAUCGAAAUUCACAGUGAGAAUGAUUUUUAAAUUGUUAUUUUCUACUUGUUAAAAUGGAAUGGAGAAUCAGAAUGAAAUAUGCAGGAUCCACAUAUUUUUUAGUCAAGGAAAAGAAAUUUGAUUCACAUGGGAUUGAGAAUCAAGUUUCCAUUCCUUGAACUCACCAUUUUACCCCCCCCCCCCCACAUUUCAUAAUUUCAAUUUUGUGCUCAAUUAAAAUGUUAUUAUAUUAAUGUAAUAAUAAUAAUUUCUAAAAUAACAAUAAUAAUCAUAAUAAUGAUAAUAUAAUAAUAAUGAAAACAACAACAACAACAAUAAUAAUAAUGAAAAGUAAUAAUAUUAAUAAUCACAAUAAUAAUAAUGAAAAUAUAAUACUACUAUAAAUAACUAUUAUAAUGAUAGUAAUAAUACUUUGCAGUUACUAAUUUCAUCAUUUUACAAGCCACCUCCAGUGGCGGAUCUUAGAUACCUUGCGGAUCUUGUCGUUUAUCAUACCCACCUUUUAAAAGAAGAAGAUGAGGAUGACGAUGAUGUGGUGUGUGUGCGUGUUUAGAAAUGUACCUUUAGGUAGCAUUUCGUUUUCAGAUAGAGGAGGAGAGGAGGGGUAAAAAAUGGAGAGGAGAGGUAAUGAGAGGAUAGGAGUGUAAAAAUUGAUAUUUAUUGUUUGGUUUCAAAAAAAAAAUUUUAAAGGGAAAGGAAUUACAUGUUUUUUUAAUUUGGACAAGUAUACCCAUUGGAAUUUAGUGUUAAAAUGUUAAUAUUAGCAGUAAAUAUAAUAGAAAUAAUUAAACUAUAAGUUAAAUUAAUCUAUAAUAUAAACUAAUAAGAAAACAUUUGAUUUUAUAUUAUAUUUUUAAUUAACUCGUUUGUUGUGCGAGAUUCUGGUUUUUUGCUCGUCAACGACCAGGAUCUCUCCUCAACUAACUCGACCACGAUCAGGGUCUCUCCUCGUAAAACGUCUUCUCUACAGACUCCUGCGUACACAGAAGCAAGUUAGAGCACGCCGGGAUCCGACGCUCAAGUCAGAAACGUAGGUUUCGGGUUCCUGGGAAAAUCAGCCACUAAUCUUAUGGCUCGUUUUCAGUAUUAAUUAUCCAGAGCUCUUUUUAUCUCCGUUUCCAUGUCAAAAAAUCUAACCCUUUUACCUUCGUUGGCUACUUUUAUAUAGGCUUCCUCUGAAUCUAGGCCUUCCACAAUCCACGUCCAUCACUUCCCCCACUCUCGGAAGUGGAUGCCCCAUUAUCGUCAUUAUGGCUGAAUGGAGAUGGACUUCGUGCCUUGAUUUUUGGGCAGGAGUGCACGUCUUGCCAACUGUCAUUGACCGGGUCUCCCCACCUCAACCUCUAGCAGGAAUGGCCUUAUGCUCCUAGUAGGAGGCCGGCUCCCGCAGUGACCCCGUGAAGGGUGUGCUCGUGAACGAGCAGAAUAUUCCUGCUCGUGCUAUCCUGCUACCAGAUACCUGCUCACCAUAUCUCGUCUUGUCGGCGUCUGUCCCCUACACACCGGUCCCCCAGUUUCUGGUGUCAGGUAACACAGUGAACCAACAGUAGAAAUUCAACAGUCAUGACUAGCGCAGGAUAGGAAAAGGCUUUGAGGAGUCGUGUCACAUUUAAUUGCGGACGAGGUGAUGUGGCAGAAAUCUAUCCCUCCAUUUGAAUUUCAAACCGAUGGUUAUGAAACCCUUGGAAUUUGUGCCGUUAAAUGCUGGCAGCCCAAGAGUUUGUUCCUCAUUAGGGAACCUAAAACCCCCAAAAGAGAAACUCGUCUUUUAUCCCAUUUCUGUCUCUCCGGGGACUGAGUCACUCCUUUCCCUCGGCGUAAAAGCUUCCAUCUUUGUCUCUAUCCGGCUAGGCCACAACUUCAGGUAUUAUUUUUAUUUCCUCAGUCUUGGAUAAUUGUAAAAAAUUUCUCUUCUCUCUGUUUUGCUUGGGUAGUGUUUGGUGAUAUUGCUCUGGUCAUAGUUUAAGAAAUGUCGAAAGGCAAAGAGAAGAUCAUCGAGAUUGAUGACGACGAGUUAGACUUCUUGCCUAGUCUACUCGCUGAUCCUGCUUUUGACCCCGGGAUCCCCUUAGAACCCUUUAGAUCUCGUGUUGAGACUAGUGCUAGGAGGAUGUCCCUCCAAAUAACAUCCUCAACCGGCAAUAACGGCGACGAGGGUACUUCUGGUUCGAAAGACACAUUGAGUGAGGACUAGGGAGAUGAUUCUAGUGAAAUGUCCUCACCAGGAACAUCGCGACCAAAUAGGAAGAGCAAAGUAGGAGGUAGGGCUCUAUCGGAGCAUUACGCUAUUGACUUCAUCACAUGCACGACCACAGUAGACGAGCUCGAUAACCUCCGGGCUAGGUAUGACAUUUUUGAUGAUAUACCCCUUAGGAUCCCAGGAAAAAAAGAUACUCCUAGCCGGCCUCCUAGGGGAUACGUUACUCUGUUUCUGGAGAGUUUUAAGCUUGGGCUGGGGUGCCCCCUACAACCCUAUUUUGCCCGAAUACUUAAUGGGUUAAAUUUAGCUCCUGGUCAGCUGAACCCCAACGGGUGGAGGGUACUUUCUGGUUUGUCCAUAUUGUGGGAUAGAUGUUGUCAAAGCGAGCCCACAGUUGAUGAGGUGAAGCACCUGUACCAGCUAAAGAGCAGCCCCAAAGACGCCGACUGGUAUUACUUCCAAUCAAGUACCAAGACGAAGAAACCUAUAACUGAUCUUCCAACUGGUGGUGGUGGGAAUUGGAAGAAAAAAUUCUUUUUUGCUGGGGGUCUCUGGGGUCAAGUUGCACAGAUUGACUGGAAGGAUUAUAGCGUCCCACCCCGUUUCGUGGUCCCAGGUUGCCUGCUCGCUUUAGAUGUUUUGUCUCCAUAGUUGUUCUUAUAUUGCUGAUUUAUCUCUAAUCCAGUAUCUGCUUGAAUUGCAGGUUCUUGGGGUGUGCACUACCAGCUUAAACCUGAGCUACUCAAGCAGGUCGAGACUGCGUUGGCCAAUUCCUGUUCGAACCAAGAGUUGCUAGCCACUUACAACUUGUUCAAAUCUCAUUUGGUGUCUACUGACCUUAAGAUGGAGGAUGCUGUGAUCGGGGUUCUAAAUCGAAAAUGUCCUCAACCUCAUACUGCUAAGCGGGACCAAAAUAAGGACGUUCCCAUUACGAAGCAGGUGAACAUCGUGGAGCAAGUCCCCCCUUUGAGGACUCUACCACCUCCUCCUACCAAAGCCGGAGAAACUAGUGGAGCAGCCACUGACCCCGCUUCCUCUUCUCCAUCAGCUGGGCCGAAACCUCGUUUAUCUGACAAUUGAGCAGAGCAUCUAGUGCCCUACAUCAGUGAGUUUUCUAGGCUCGUGAGCAAGAAGGACUUGGAGGAUUUUGAUGGCAGCACUCUGGGCGAGCUGGUGGGGGUUAUGCAGUAGAGUGCUUUUCACCUCGGCUACAUGGUCACCUACUAUAAGGCGAAUGUCAGCCGCUAUGACCAUAAGAUGAAAGAGGACAUUCAAUCGGCCAAAACCAAAGCUGAUGCUGCCAAGAAGAAAGCAUGAGACCUGAAUCUCGAGAAUCUGAAGUUGAUAGAGCGAGAAUCUCUCACUCAAGCAAAGACCAUUACUCUUGAGGAAGAGCUAACUAAGGUCAAGGAGGAUCUGCAAAGGGAGAAGGCUAUUUACGAGGCUCAGCUCGAAUCUCUCAAGGAUUCCCACCAGGUUCAGGUCGAGAACCUUGAGAAGGAAGCUGAAAAUCAAUAUGACCAGGGGCUUCGGCAUUCUUAUCGCUGUAUCAUGGCUGUCCUUGGAAAGCAGCAUCCUGAUGUUGCUCAAUAAAUGGAUGAGGAGGCAGCCAAAGAAGAUGUUGAAGAGUUGAAGCCAAAUGCCACCGAGGAGGGAACCUCUCCUCCUCAUGCAGUCCUUGCUGAUGUUGCCGAGGCGAGUACCCCCUUGGGGCAACUGGAGAAACCCCCUUGCUCCUGAGGUGGAGCAGCCAGUAGAGGGAACCCAGCUUACUGACCCGCCGUCCUCUUAAGCUUGUUUUAUGUUGUAGUUGCUUUUUUCGAACAUUGUAUGCUAGGAUCAGCAGCUUUGCAAACUAUUGGCAAAUUAAUAAGAAUGCUCUUACAUGCCUUCUCGUAUUGUAGUUGCAAAUUUUUUAUUUUAUUUUUACGUUUGAGAGUCUGCUUGCCUUCGCUGGGUCGAGCAGAUGCUGGCACACUUGGCUUUUGGUCUCGCCAUAAAACAGGCUUUGAGACAUAGCCUUUGCAUGCCUUAGAAAUUUUACAAAGCUUGGGAGUCUGCUCGCCAUCGCUUGGUCGAGCAGAUCCUGGCACGCUUGGCUUUUGGUCUUGCCAUAAAACAGGCUUUGAGACUUAGCCUUUGUAUGUCAUACAGAUUUUACAACGCUUGGGAGUCAGCACGCCUUCGCUUGGUUGAGCGGAACCUGGCACGUUUGGCUUUUGGUCUCGCCAUAAAACAGGCUUUGAGAUUUAGCCUUUGCAAGUCUUAGAAAUUUUACAACGCUUGGGAGUCUGCUCGCCUUCGCUUGGUCUAGUAGAUCCUGGCACGCUUGGCUUUUGGUCUCGCCAUAAUUGAGGCUUUGAGACUUAGCCUUUGCAUGCCUUAGAAAUUUUUCAACGCUUGGGAGUCUGCUCGCCUUCGCUUGGUCGAGCAGAUCCUUGCACGCUUGGGUUUUGGUCUCGCCAUAAAACAUGCUUUGAGACUUAGCCUUUGCAUGUCUCAGAAAUUUUUCAACCCUUGGGAGUAUGCUUGCCUUCGCUUGGUCGAGCAGAUCCUGGCAUACUUGGCUUUUGGUCUCGCCAUAAAACAGGCUUUGAGAUUCAGCCUUUACAUGCCUUAGAAAUUUUACAACGCUUGGGAGUCUGCUCGCCUUCGUUUGGUCGAGCAGAUCCUAACACGCUUGGCUUUUGGUCUUGCCAUAAAACAGGCUUUGAGACUUAGCCUUUGCAUGCCUUAGAAAUUUUUCAACGCUUGGGAGUCUGCUCGCCUUCGCUUGGUCGAGCAGAUCUUGGCAUGCUUGGUUUUGGUCUCGCCAUAAAACAGGCUUUGAGACUUAGCCUUUGCAUGCCUUAGAAAUUUUACAACGCUUGGGAGUCUGCUCGCCUUCGCUUGGUCGAGCAGAUCCUGACACGCUUGGCUUUUGGUCCCGCCAUAAAACAGGCUUUGAGACUUAGCUUUUGCAUGCCUUAGAAAUUUUUCAACGCUUGGGAGUCUGUUCGCCUUCGUUUGGUCGAGCAGAUCCUGACACGCUUGGCUUUUGGUCUCGUCAUAAAACAGGCUUUGAGACUUAGCCUUUGCAUGCCUUAGAAAUUUUUCAAGGCUUGGGAGUCUGCUCGCCUUCGCUUGGUCGAACAGAUCUUGGCACGCUUGGCUUUUGGUCUCGCCAUAAAAUAGGCUUUGAGACUUAGCCUUUGCAUGCCUUAGAAAUUUUUCAACGCUUGGGAGUCUGCUCGCCUUCGCUUGGUCGAGCAAAUCUUGGCACGCUUGGCUUUUGGUCUCGCCAUAAAACAAGCUUUGAGACUUAGCGUUUGCAUGCCUUAGAAAUUUUUCAACGUUACAAGUAACUGAAAUUCCUCGACGUUUCAUUAAUUGCUGAAUUCAACUUACAUAAGAAUGCAUAACAACAAGAACAAAUAGAAAUAACUUUAAAACAUGAUAAGGUCUUACUGGAAAUAUUUCUUGGGGUGCGUUGCGUUCCAGGGGCGUUUCAUCUCGUGGCCAUCCGCGCGAACAAGCUUGUAAGCUCUGGGUCCAACUAUCUGCUUGACCCUGUAUGGCCCCUCCCAGUUUGGUCCAAGUACUCCUUGUGUCGAGUCUUUCGUAUUCUGGUUCACCUUCCUUAGUACCUAAUCGCCGACUUUAAACUGUCAUAUACACACCUUCUGGUUGUAAUAUCGAGCAACUCUUUGUUGGUAAACGGCUGAUCUCUUCGAUGCUUGCUCCUUCUUCUCGGUCAACAGGUCCAGAUUUAAGCACAUCUAGUCGUUGUUUUCAUGCUCAUCGAAGUGGUCGGUCCGGUGUGUGGUCGAUCUUAUCUCGAUUGGUACAACUGCUUCAUGCCCGAAGGCCAAAGCGAAUGGAGUUUUGCCGGUUGCUGUUUUGUGGGUUGUCCUGCAUGCCUACAAUACCCCAUGUACCCUUUUUUGCUCCAAGCCUGGUCUUCAGAAGUCUCUUUAUUAUCUUGUUGGCUGCUUAUACUUGCUCGUUAGAUUGAGGGUGAGCAGGCGAGCAAUACUUCAGCUCUAUCCCCAGGUUUUGGCAGAAAUCCCUGAAGUUAUGGUUGUCAAAAUGCCUGCCAUUGUCUGUUAUCAAGGCACAAAGGAUCUCGUACUUACAGACCAAGUUUCUCUAUACGAAGUCAGUUGCCUUUUUCUCUGUGAUCCUGCUGAGGGCUUCCACCUCUAUGCAUUUCAUAAAGUAGUCUAUCACUACUAGUGCAUGUGUUGCUGCCCCUCGUCCCUUUGGCAACAGCCCAAUCAAAUCAAUUCCCCAUUGAGCAAAUGGCCAUGGCGAGGCCAUAGAAGUGAGCUUCUCUGGUGGUUGGGUAGAGAAAUUUGCAAAACUCUGGCAGCUCAUACAACUCCUGGUUUUCUCCUGCGCAUUCUGGUGCAUCGUCGGCCAGAUAUAUCCAUGCCGUAGAGCCUUGUAGGCAAGGGAUCUCGCGCCAGAAUGGUUUCCGCAAACCCGAUCAUGUACUUCUCUCAGUACAUAAUCCGCGUUAUCCUCAUCCAAACACCGAAGGAACAGUAGAGUGUAUCCCCGCCGAUAUAGCACCCCAUCAAUCAUUGUGUACCUCGAGGCCUGGGCUCUGAUCUUUUGAGAUCGUAGCUUGUCUGGUGGUAAUACCUCGUCUCUAAUGUAUGAGAUUAUCGGGUCCAUCCACGAGUAUUUCUGUUCUAUCUGCAUCACCUCCAAAUUCUGCUCGAUGCUAGGGCUGGACUUCACCUCCAAAGGGAUUGACUUAGGCAUUUUAGGAUCUGCUACAGCUGCUAUCCUAGCCAGAAUAUCUGCUCGACUAUUCUCCUCCUUUGGGGAUUUGUAUCACCUCAACCGCUUCAAACUUCCCAAUCAUCUGCCUGACUUUCUUCAGGUACUGCUCAAUCUUCCCAUCUCUCGGUUGAAAUCUUUCACUGACAUGAUUUGCAACCAGUUGAGAAUCAGUUCGGAUUUUCCCUAUCCGCUUUCACUGCCUUAACCAAUUCCAAGCCCGCUAUUAAAGCUUCAUAUUCUGCCUGGUUAUUUAUGGCUGUAAACUCCAACUUUACAGUAUAAGAGAUUUCCUCCCCUUCUGGGCUUUCCAAGACAAUCCCUGCUCCAGACCCCUACUCCCCUGAUGAUCCAUCCACAGACACCUGCCAUACCAUAUCUUCGUUGUUGGCUGUAGCAGUAUCCAAUUGGUCGAUCUUGGGUAAGGGAAAGCUAUCUUUCGGACACGCCUUAUUGAGGUCUGUGAAAUCUACACACAUCCUCCAUUUGCCAUUAGCCUUUUUUACUAACACCACAUUUGAUAUCCACUAUGGGUAGUUAACUUCCCGAAUGAACCCUGCCUUCAAGAGCUUCUCCAUCUCACCAUUUAUAGCCUCGUACCUCUCCUGGUUGAAGCACCUUCUUUUUUGCCUUACUGCCCGAGCACCUUUUCUUAUUGCCAGCCUAUGACAUGCGACCUCAGGGUCGAUUCCCGGCAUGUCUUCAUGUGUCCAAGCAAACACAUCUGCAUGAGCCCCCAGGCAUUGCACCAACUCCCACUUCUACUAUUCUUUAAAUCUCGACCCGAUUCGGAUCGUUUUUCCUGGAUCAUCUUGCUCCAAGCUUACUGUCUCCAGUUCCUCUACAGGCUCUUGUCUACCAUUCUUGGCCCUCACUCGAGUAUCAAGGGAUGUAAUCUGCAUUGCUUCCUUUGCUGCUGUGGAGUAGCAGCUUCGGGCGAUUCUCUGGUCUCCUCGCACCACUCCAACUACCCCAUUCACCCAGUACUUGAGAGCUAGGUAAUUGCUGGAAAGUACUGCUUUACUCAUCCUCAGAAAGGGACGGCCUAGGAUUAUCUGAUAAGGACCCUCUUUAUCGAUCACUACAAAAUCCAGUAUCAUAGUCUUUUUAGUCGGGGAGCUGCCGAUUAUGAUGGGUAGUUCGACCACGCCUAGAGGAACCAACUUUCCUUCUCCAAAUCCCUUCAAGGAGGUAUUGGUAUGCUCUAACCUCAGUUCUGCUAUUCUCAUCUCCUCCAUAGUUGACUUGAACAAAACAUCGACCGAGCUUCCCGUGUCUAUUAGAACUCGGUCAAACUUCUUGCUAGCAGUGGUGACUUUAAUGACUAAGGCAUCCUCAUGUGGAUAUAAAGUCCCUUCUUCGUCCUCAUCUGUCCACAUGAUCAGAACCUGCCUGAUUCUUGCUCGUUUGGCUGCUGGGGUGUUGAAGAACACUUCUCCUCUAGUCAUGGCAUACUUAGUGUAAUUCUUCCUCGAUCUGUUGGAAUCUCUCACCAAUGUUGGACCCCCAGUAAUUAUUCUUACCAUUGACUGCUCGUGGCUCAAGUUCCUAUCACUCUGCUCCCCUUCACCUAACGAGGCCACCAUCGGGAAAGUCUCAUCUCUAAACUCGUCCAGGUAUCGAUUUGUCACCAAAUCUUCAACCUGGGUCUUGAGGUCUUUGCAUUCAGUUGUGGUAUGACCGUGAGUGCUAUGGAACUCGCAAUAGCGUCCCCUAUCUCUCCUGCUGGGUAGCUUUGUUAUUGAGGUAGGGAGAUACAGUAAUCCUCGUUCCUUUAUGGCCUCAUACACCUCGUCUAGGGGCAUCUUCAAGGAAGUAUAUCGCCCAUAGUCUUGGUUCUGGUUGAUCAUGUGCACUGCCCUUUCUUUGUUGCUGCCGUUCUAAACUGGAGGGGGCAGCGGUGCUUCUGGUCUGCUUCCUCUACCACUGUGUGGGUGUGGAUGAGGAUAACCAUAUGUCGGGUCAUGCCUUCUCCAUGAAUCUCUGGCUGGUGAAUGAGGAGGUCGCGCCCUGCUGCGCUGAUAUGGGGAUGGCCUCUGAUGAGGCUGGUAAGAGGUGAAACGGCCUCCUACUCACUACAUGAGCCAUGAUGGUCCUUCCUCUUAAUCAGCCCAUUUCCUGGUAGAGCUCUCUUAUCUUUCCUCAUAAACCCUUCCAGCUAAUCUAUCUUAAUCCGUGCGGCCUUUUCCUCCUCGAUCUCUAUGUCUCUCUUAGCCUACUCAUAAGCGGCUGAAUAUGUCUGAAUAGCUAGGCUUCUCAAAUUGUACUACAGCUGUCCUAUCUUCACCUCUUCUUUUAAUCCCCUUAAUGCCUGAGGAUGGUUGAAGGCUUCUAAGUCGAGGACAGCAUAAUGGAACCUUUCGAUGAAUUCCCGAAGGGUUUCUUCCUCCCCUGCUUCAUGCUCGUCAGUUCCAUCAUAUCAUCUUCUGGUGCCAUUGCCCCAAGAAAGUGCUCUGUAAAUUCCUGGCACAUCUGCUCGAAGGAUUUAACACUCCAUCGAGGAAGUUUCCUGUACCACUCACGUGCUCGUCCCUCUAGAGAUUGUGGGAACACUUUACAUCUUUGAGCUUAGGAUAAUCCUUGGACCUCAGUCAUGUCGUUAAAGCACUCUAUGUGCACCAACGGCUUAGUUCGUCCCGAAUAUCUGAGGUUUCGGAGGCGAAAAUCCCUCGGAAUGACUGCCCUCUUGAUUUCUGCCGAGAGCGGGGAUUCUCCAUCCAGCAUUAUUCUCCACCCUGGUGCUCUGCUUCGUCCUUGCAUGUCAUCUAUUAUCUGUGCUAAUCUGCGCACUUCUUCUUCCAGUUGUAUAGCACGACCAGGGUCACGUGCUGCAACCUGAUCUCGCUCUUGCUCAACAUCAUGCGGGUGUUGUCGGAGUUCUCUUUCCUCCGUAUUUACCACUCCGCCAUCGUUAUCAAAGAUCUGUCUUCCUGGGAUUGAUCUUCUCCUCUAUAGAUUUCUCCCCGUAGAGAUGAGUUACCUCCCUCACUACUAAAUCUUCUGGUGGCCCGACCUCUCAUCAUAUUAUCGUGCCCUGGUGCUAUUCCGCCACUUCUAACCCUUUCCUCAUGGACUCCCCUUCGUUCACUCCUCAGCUCGUGUAGGAUGGUUGUCAGGGUCUCCAUAUAUUUUUCCAUUCGUUCCAUCCGCUCAUACAUUACUUUUUCUCGUGCUUCGUUGGCUAUCUCUCUCAACGUCAUAGACUUGUUAAGCCUCAAGUCACCUCCUUGUGCACUACUUCCUCCUAUAUCUAUUGUUUCCUCACUUCAUUUCCUCUUCUUCUCUCUAUCAACGGAAGCUUUUUACUCAGCUCCCCAUAGACGGCGCCAAAAUAUUGAUGCGAGAUUCUGGUUUUCUACCAGUCUACGAUCAUGAUCUCUCCUCAACUAACUCGACCACGACCAGGGUCUCUCCUCAUAAGACUUCUUCUCUAUAGACUCCUGCGUACACAGAAAUAAGUCAGAGCACGCCGGGUGUUUUUCCGGCGUAAACCCUCCAACGCUCAAGUCAGAAAUGUAGGUUUCGGGUUCCUGGGAAAAUCAACCACUAAUCUUAUGGCUCGUUUUCAGUAUUAAUUAUCCAGAGCUCUUUUUAUCUCCAUUUCAAUGUAAAAAAAUCUAACCCUUUUACCUUUGUUGGCAACCUUUAUAUAGGCUUCCUCUGAAUCUAGGCCUUCCACAAUCUACGUCCAUCACUUCCCCCACUCUCGGAAGUGGAUGCCCCAUUAUCGUCAUUAUGGCUGAAUGGAGAUGGACUUCGUGCCUUGAUUUUCGGGUAGGAGUGCACGUCUUGCCAACUGUCAUUGACCGGGUCUUCCCACCUCAACCUCUAGCAGGAAUGGCCUUAUGCUCCUAGUAGGAGGCCGGCUCCCGCUGUGACCCCGUGAAGGGUGUGUUCGUGAACGAGCAGAAUAUUCCUGCUAGUGCUAUCCUGCUACGAGAUACCUGCUCACCAUAUCUGGUCUUGUCGGCAUAUGUCCCCUAAACGUCGUUAUUAUUUUAUAAUCAAAAUAACUAACCAACAAGUAGUGGAUGGACAACUACAAGUCGUAUAUCGACGUAGAAGAACAUGACAUUCGGCUCAAACGGUGAUUGAUUUACUGAACUGUAACCAAAGGAACCAUUUUUGGGAUAAUUUCAGAGCAAUAAUAUUCAGCCUACUAUGUAAAAAAAUCCAAAUCUUCGAAAACUUUUCCACCUUAUGAAACAUUGGAAAAAUCUUCCCAACUUGAUGCAUCGACUUGUUGACCUCUCAAUUGCUCUUGUGUGUGCCUUCUAUAAAUUUGGCGUCCAACGUGCUCAUUUUCUGCGCCGGUAUAUGUUGAUGCGAGAUUCUGGUUACUCUUUCGACCACGACCAGGAUCUCUCCUCGUAUGCUUUCUUCUCCAAAAAUUCCUGCAUACACAGAAACAAGUCAGAGCACGCCGGUUGUUUUCCCAGCGUAAACCCUCUGACGCUCAAGUCAGAAAUGAAGGUUUUAUGCUCCUGGGAAUGUUAGCCACUAAUCUUAAGGCUUGUUUUUGGGAUUAUUAAAUGCUCUAUUUAUUUCAGUUUCAAUAUCAAAAGUUCCAACCCUUUUACCUUCGUUGGCCACCUUUUUAUAGGCUUCUCAUGAGUUCAGACAUUCCCUCAAUCCACGCCCAUUACCUUCCUAUCUCUCGAAAGUGGAUGCUCUGUUUCCGUAAUCGUGGGUGGUCGCGUGGUCAUCGUGCCUUGAUUCUCGGGUUGGAAUGCACGUCUCGCCAACUGCCAUUGACUGGGUCUCCUCGCCUCACCCAUUAGCAGGAGGCUCAACCAUUAGCAGGAGACCGGCCUCACCGAUGGCGUAUUCGUGGACGAACGGAAUAUUCCUGGUCCUAUUCUCCUACUAAUAGACUUCUGCAAGACAUACCUGUUCUUGGGAACCCUGCUAAUAGGUAUCUGCUAAUCACGGCUGGUCUCGUCGAAGUAUAUCCCCCAAACAUCAGUCCCCCAGUUUCUGAUGUUGGAUAAUGCAGUGGACCAGCAGUAGAAACUCAUCAGUUCUGGUUUGCGUGGGAUAGAAAGAGGUUUUGAGGAGUCGUGUCGCAUUAAAUUUCGGGUGAGGUGAUGUGGCAGAGAUCUAUCCCUCAAUUUGAAUUUCAAACCGGUGGCUAUGCGACCCUUGGAACUUGUGCCUUUAAAUGCUGACAGCUUGUGGGUUUAUUUCUCAUUAAGGAACCUAAAAAUCCCAAAGACGAAUUCAUCUCUCAACCCCCUUCUAAUUUUCCGGUGACUGAAAAACCUUCUUUCCUCGGUGUAGAAGCUAUCGCCCCUGUCUUUACUCCGCCGGGCCUCAACUGCAGGUAUUACCUCUAUUUUCUCAUUCCUACAUUACUAUAGAAAAUUUCCUUUCUCUUUGUUUUGUUUGGGUAGUGUUUGGUGAUAUUGUUCUGGUCGUAGUUUAGGAGAUGUCAAAAGGCAAAGAGAAGAUAGUUGAAAUCGAUGACGACAAGUUAGACUUCUUACCUAGUCUGCUCGCUGAUCCUGCCUUUGACCCUGGGCUCCCCUUAGAACCCUUUAGAUCUAGUGUUGGGACUAGUGCUAGGAGGAUGUCUCCCCAAACAACCUCCUCGGCCAACAAUAGUGGCGACGAGGGAUCUUCUGGUUCGGAAGACACUUUGAGUGAAGACCAGGGUGAAGAUGCUGGUGAAAUGUCCCCACCAGGAACGUCGCAACCAGAUAAGAAAAGCACAGUAGGGGGUAGAGCUAUAUCACAACAUUAUGCUAUUGAUUUUAUAACGUGCACGACCACAGUAGAUGAGCUAGUUAGUCUCCGGGCUGGAUACGGUAUUCCUGAUGAAAUUCCCCUUAGGAUCCCAGGAAAAAAAGAUACUCCUAGCAGGCCUCCUAGGGGGUAUGUUACCCUGUUUCUAGAUAGUUUUAAACUUGGGCUGAGGUGCCCCAUUCAGCCCUACUUUGCCCGAAUACUCAAUGGAUUGAAUUUAGCUCCUGGUCAACUGAACCCCAAUGGGUGCCGGGUACUUUCUGGUCUGUUCAUAUUGUGGGAUAGAUGUUGCCAAAGCGAGCCCACAGUUGACGAGGUGAAACACCUGUACUAGCUAAAGAGCAGUCCCAAAGACGCCGGCUGAUACUACUUCCAAUCUAGUACCAAGACCAGGAAACCCAUAAUUGAUCUUUCAACUGGUGGUGGUGGGACUUGGAAGAAAAAAUUCUUUUUUGCUGGGGGUUCCUGGGUCAAGUUGUACAGAUUGACGGGAAGGAUUACCGCGUCCCACCCCGUUUCGUGGUCCCAGGUUGCCUGCUCGCUUCAAAUGUCUUGUCUCCAUAGUCGUUCCCAUUUUGUUGAUUUAUCUCUAACCCAAUAUCUGCUCGAAUUUCAAGUUCUUAGGGUGUGCACUACUCGCUUAAACCUGGGCCACUCAAGCGGGUCGAGGCUGUAUUGGCCAAUUUCUGCUCGCACCGAGAGUUGCUAACCACUUACAACUUGCUCGAAUCUGGUUUGGUGUCUACUGACUCUGGGAUGGAGGACGUUAUGAUCAGAGCUCUGAAUCGGAAACGUUCUCGACCUCAUUCUACUAAGCAGGACCAGAACAAGGACGCUCCCACUGCAAAGCGGGUGAACAUUGUGCAGCAGGCUCCUCCUCUGAAGACUCUACCACCUCCUCCUGCCAAAGUUGGAGAAACUAGUAGAGAAGCCACCGAUCCCGCUUCCUCUUCUCCUCCAGUCGGGCCGAGAUCUCAUUUAUCUGACGAUCGAGCAGAAUAUUUGGUCCCCUAUAUCAACGAGUUCUCUAAACUCGUGAGCAAGAGGGACCUGGAGGACUUUGACGGCAGCACCUUGGGUGAGCUGGUAGGGGCUAUGCAGUAUAGCGCUUUCCAUCUCGGCUGCAUGGCCACUUACUAUAAGGCCAAGGUUGGCCGUUAUGACCGAAAGAUGAAGGAGGACAUUCAGUCGGCGAUGACCAAGGCUGAUGCUGUCGAGAAGAAAGCAGGAGACUUGAAUCUCGAGAACUUGAAGCUGAUAGAGCGAGAAUCUCUUGCUCAGGCAAAGGCUAUUACUCUCGAGGAAGAGCUGACUAAGGUCAAGGAGGAUCUGCAAAGGCAGAAGGUUAUGUAUGAGGCUCAGCUCGGAUCUCUUCGUGAUUUCCACCAGGUUCAGGUCGAGAACUUGGAAAAGAAAGCCGACAACCAAUACGACCAGGGACUUCGACAUUCCUAUCAUUGCAUCAUGGCCGUCCUUGGGAAGUAGCACCCUGAUCUGAAGAUGGAUGACCUUGCAGCUGGUGUUGCUCAACACAUGGACGAGGAGGCAGCAAAAGAGGAUGUCGAAGGGGUGGAGCCAAUUGCGGUUGAGGAGGAAAACUCUCCUCCUCGUGCAAUCCCUGCUGAUGUUGGUGAGGCGAGUACCCCCCCGGAUGCAACUGGUGAUACCCCCCUGCACCUAAGGUGGACCAGCCAACCGAGGCUGCUCGGCUUACUGACCCGCCGUCCUCUUGAAUGUAUCUUGCGUUGUAAUAAACAUUGUAUGUGAAGGUUAUCAGCCUUGCAAGUUAUUGACAGCUUAAUAAAAAUGUUUUUAAUUGCUUUUUAGUGUUGUAGUUACAAGUUAUUUUUCGUUUGAGAGUCUGCUCGCCUUUGCUUGGUCGAGCAGAUCCUAGAAUGCUUAGCUUCUGGUAUCGCAUAAGACAGGCUUUGAGACUUAGUCUUUGCAUGCCUUAGAAAAUUUUUCAAUGCUUGGGAUUCUGCUCGCUUUCGCUUGGUCGAGCAGAUCCUGGCACGCUUGGAUUUCAGUCUCGCCAUAAGAUAGGCUUUGAGACUUAGUAUUUGCAUGCCUUAGAAACUUUUUCAAUGCUUGGGAUUCUGCUCGCCUUCGCUUGGUCGAGCAGAUCCUAGCACGCUCGGCUUCUGGUUUCGCCAUAAGACAGGCUUUGAGACCUAGCCUUGGGAUGCCUUAGAAACUUUUUCAAUAUUUGGGAUUCUACUCGCCUUCGCUUGGUCGAGCCGAUCCUGGCACGCUUGGCUUCUGGUCUCGCCAUAAGACAUGCUUUGAGACUUGGUGAUCCUUUGCAUGCCUUCGAAACUUUUUCAAUGUUUGGGAUUCUGCUCGCCUUCGCUUGGUCGAGCCGAUCCUGGCACGCUUGGCUUCUGGUCUCGCCAUAAGACAGGCUUUGAGACUUAGUGAGCCUUUGCAUGCCUUCGAAACUUUUUCAAUGUUUGGGAUUCUGCUCGCCUUCGCUUAGUCGAGCCGAUCCUGGAACGCUUGGCUUCUGGUCUCGCCAUAAGACAGGCUUUGAGACUUAGUCUUUGCAUGCGUUAGAAAAUUUUUCAAUGCUUGGGAUUCUGCUCGCCUUCGCUUGGUUGAGCAGAUCCUGGCACGCUUGGCUUCUGGUCUCGCCAUAAGACAGGCUUUGAGACCUAGCCUUGGGAUGCCUUAGAAACUUUUUCAAUGUUUGGGAUUCUACUCGCCUUCGCUUGGUCGAACCGAUGCUGGCACGCUUGGCUUCUGGUCUCGCCAUAAGACAGGCUAGACCUGGUGAGCCUUUGCAUGCUUUAGGAAAUUUUUCAAUGCUUGGGAUUCUGCUCGCUUUCGCUUGGUCGAGCAGAUCCUAGCACGUUUGGCUUCUGGUCUCGCCAUAAGACAAGCUUUGAGACUUAGUCUUUGCAUGCCUUAGAAACUUUUUACACAGUUAUAAGUGAAUGAAAUUCCUCGACGUUUCAUUAAUUGCAGAAUUUAACUUACAUAAGAAUGCAUAGCAACGAGAACAAAUUUGAGAUAACUUUAAAACAUGAGCAAGUCUUACUGGAAAUAUUUCCUGAGGUGUGCUGCAUUCCAUGGGCGUUUCACCUUGUGGCCAUCCGUGCGAACAAGCUUGUAAGCUCCGAGUCCCACUACUUGCUUGACCCUAUAUGGCCCCUCCCAAUUCGGUCCAAGCACUCCUUGAGUUGAGUCUUUAGUAUUCUGAUUCACUCUCCUUAGCACCCAAUCUCUGGCCUUGAACUACCGUACAUUCACCUUCUGGUUAUAAUACCGAGCAACCCUCUGCUGGUAAAUGGCUGAUCGCUUCGAUGCUUGCUCCCUCCUCUCAGUUAGCAAAUCCAGAUUCAGGCACAUCUGCUCGUUAUUCUCCUUCUCAUUGAAAUGAUCUGUCUAGUGCGUCGUCAUUCCUAUCUCGGCUGGUAGGACUGCUUCAUGUCCGAAGGCCAAGGCGAACGGUGUCUCCCCAGUUGCUGUUUUGUGGGUUGUCUUGUAUGCCUAUAGAACACCUGAUAACUCAUCAACCCAUGCACCCUUUUUUGCUCCAAGCCUGAUUUUCAAAAGCCUCUUGAUCGUCUUGUUGGCUGCUUCUACUUGUCCAUUAGACUGAGGGUGAGCAGGUGAGCAAUACAUCAACUCUAUCCCGAGGUUUUGGCAGAAAUCCCUGAAGCUGUGAUUAUCAAACUGCUUGCCAUUAUCCGUUAUCAAGGCAUAAAGGAUCCCGUACCGACAGACCAGGUUUCUUCGUACGAAGUCUGUUGUCUUCUUCUCUGUGAUCCUGCUAAGGGCUUCUACCUCUAUCCACUUCGUGAAGUAGUCUAUUGCUACUAUUGCAUGUGUUGCUGCUCCUCGUCCCUUUGGCAAUGGCCCGAUCAGAUCAAUUCCCCAUUGACCAAAUGGCCAAAGGGAGGCCAUAGAAGUGAGCUUCUCUGGUGGUUGGUUGGAGAAACUUACAAAACUCUGGCAGCAUACGCAGCUCCUGGUCUUCUCCUGCGCAUCCUGGUGCAUUGUCGGCCAGAAAUAUCUCUGCCUUAGAACCUUGUGGACAAGGGACCUCCAACCAGAAUGGUUUCCGUAAAUUCCUUCAUGUACUUCUCUCAGUACAUAGUCCGCGUCAUCCUCGUCCAAGCACCGAAGGAACGGUAGCGUAUAUCCUCGUCGAUAUAGCACCCCAUCAAUCAUUGUGUACCUUGAGGCCAGGGCUCUGAUCUUCCGUGCUCGUAGCUUAUCUAGUGGUAAUACCCCGUCUCUAAUGUAUGAAAUUAUCGAAUCCAUCCACGAGCAUUUUUGUUCUAUCUGCAUCACCUCCAAAUUCUGCUCGAUGCUAGGGCAGGUUUUCACCUCCAAAGGGACUGACUUAGGCAUUUUCGGGUCUGCUACAGCUGCCAUCCUGGCCAGAAUAUCUGCUCGACUGUUCUGUUCCCUUGGGAUUUGUAUCACCUUAACCGCUUCGAACUUCCCCAUCAUCUGCCUGACUUUCUUCAGGUACUGCUCCAUCUUCUUAUCUCUCGGUUGAAAUCUUUCACUGACAUGAUUUGCGACCAGCUGGGAAUUAGUUUUGAUCUUCACCCUAUCUGCUUUCACUGUCUUAGCCAAUUCCAAACCUGCUAUCAGGGCUUCGUAUUCUACUUGGUUAUUUAUGGCUGUGAACUCUAACUUUACAGCAUAAGAAAUCUCCUCCCCCUCUGGGCCUUCCAAGACAAUCCCUGCUCCCCUGAUGACCCAUCUAUAGACAUCUGCCACACUCGAGAUUUGCUGCUGUCUGUAGCAGUAUCCAGCUGGUCCAAACAUACUUCGGGCUCUGCGAAUUCUGCUAUGAAAUCGGCCAUUGCCUGAGCCUUUAUUGCUGUUCGGGAUUUGUAAUCUAUGUCGAACUCACUUAGCUCUAUAGCCCACUUUACGAGCCGACCAGAAGCAUCUGGCUUGUGCAAAGCUUGACGCAAUGGCUGGUUUGUUAUUACCGAGACGGGGAAUGCUUGAAAGUACGGCCUCAGCUUUCGAGCAGCAACCACAAGGGCGAGUGCCUAUUUAUCCAGCGGUGGGUAUCUGGUCUCGGCAUCGAGCAGGGCCUUGCUGGUGUAGUAUAAUGGGUACUGAACCCCUUCUUCCUCUCUCACUAGAACAGAACUUGUAGCAUGAUCUGAUACCGCCAAAUAUAAGAACAACCUAUCGCCAUCCCUUGGUGUGGACAGCAGAGGUGCUUCCUGCAAGUAUUGCUUCAAGUUUUGGAAGGCUUCUUCACAUUCUGGGGUCCAUUCUGUUUUCUUUCCUCUCCUUAUCACUUGAAAGAAUAGUUGACACUUAUCUGUAGCCUUGGAUAUGAAUCGGCUUAAUGCCGCCAACCUCCCCGUAAGGCUCUGUGUCUCCUUCAGGCUACGAGGAGACUUCAUCUGCACGAUCGCUUGGAUCUUUUCAGGAUUUGCCUCGAUCCCCCUAUGACUCACCAUGAACCCGAGGAAUUUCCCUGACUCGACCUUAAAAGCACACUUUUCCGGGUUGAGCUUCAUCUUGUACUUCCUCAAAAGUCCGAAUGUCUCCUCGAGGUGCUCGACAUGUUCCUUCGGGAUGUUUAACUUGGUUAUCAUGUCGUCAAUAUACACCUCCAUCGUUCUUCCAAUCAGUGGCUUAAAGAUUUUGUUCACCAGCCUCUGGUACGUGGCCUGAUGAGCAUAUAAUACAUACAUAUUUUACCAUUAAUUAAAUAAUUGUUAGUUAUAUUUAUUUGUUAUUUUUAAUUAAUUGUAUUGUUUUAUUGAAUAGGGAAUUAAUUAGAGAUUAUGGAUAAAAAGAGCAUAAAGAAAUUCAAUUUACAAAGAAGAUAAAAGGGGUGGAAAGCAAUAGAAAGGGACUCGCACUUGACUUUCAUGAGUGGAAAAGGAAUGAAAAUUCUUUUUGGAGUACACGUGAUAAAGCCAAAGUUAAAAGCUUUGCCAGCACAUGAAGGAUAAAAGGAAUUCUAAUUGGGCUUUGCAAGAGUGGGCUGAUUUUAGCUUGUGUGAGCAAUUCACUAGCUAUCAUUAUUUGACAAGGAUUCGGCUAGGGAUUAAAGCUAUAAAAGCCGAACUUUGGCUUUUGCAAAGAGAGGGCUGCCAGAAGAGAGAGCCGCCAGUGGAGUGAAAACGCAAGGCAGAAGAGGGGAGAAAAGGACGAGUGCAGCAGUUCGGCUUCAUGGCUGAUUUUAUUUCUUGUGUUGCUCUCAAUUCAAGUAUGUCUAGCUAAUUUUCUUAUACUGAGGUUAAGGAUGAAACCCUAUUCAAUGAAAUAAUUAUCUUUUUAUUUAAUUAAUUCUCUAUAUAUGUUCUUUAAUGAUUAUGGUUUUUAUUUCACAUGAUUAAUUGGAUGUUAAUAAAAUCUUUUCAUCAAUUCUGUCAUGCAUUAUUGAUUGUUAGGAUUAAUAUUCGAUUAAAUCUAUGCUUGGAUUUAUAAAGUUUAUACAUGAUUAUCUUUGACUCUAUGUCUUUCAUUAAAUUGUUUACAUGGAGUGCUUAGGAAACUUUGACUCUUUGUUAUUCAAUAUGUUUACAUGAGAUUCUUAGAUAUCAUAUUAUUAAGCAGAAAAAGAACCUACAUUAGAUUUAAUUACUUGGGCUUAAUUGUUAUAUCAAUGACAUAGAUUGAUUUCGAGUUGUCACUCUAAAAUUGGGGAUUAAUUAAUAAUUAGAUAAUUACUAGUUGAAUAGUGGUGGAUUCUGAAACCUUGGUAAUUCUUAUCUUAUUGAAUUCUCCUUUAUUUUAAUUGCUUCCUUAGUUUAAUUGGUUUAAUUUUCUUAAAAACUCAAUUUGCUCAACUAGGUUAGAAUUAAUAUUAAUUUUAGAUUUAAAUUAGACUUUUCAUAUAUAACAAUCCCUGUGGGAUCGACCUCGUUACCACUAUUCUAUUUCUAGACUCGUGCGCUUGCGAGUAUAUUAAAAUUUUCACAACAUGGCCCCCGUAUUUUUAAGACCGAAUGACAUUACCCUGUAAUAGAAAAGACCCUGGUUAGUAAUAAAUGUCGUGCUCUCCUCAUCCUGCUCGAACAUGGGGAUUUGGUUGUAUCCCGAGAAUGUGUCCAUGAAGUUGAGCAGGCCAUGUCUAGUUGUUGAGUCUACAAGCUGGUCGAUCUUUGGUAAGGGAAAACUGUUUUUCGGGCACGCCUUGUUGAGGUCCGUGAAAUCCACGCACAUCCUCCACUUGCCAUUAGCCUUUUUUACUAACACCACAUUCGAUAUCCACUCAAGAUAAUUGACUUCUCGAAUGAACCCUGCUUUCAAGAGCUUCUCCUCCUCGCCGUUUAUAGCCUCAUACCUCUCCUGGUUGAAGCACCUCCUUUUCUGUCUUACUGCCCGAGCACAUUUCUUUAUUGUCAGCUUAUGACAUGCGACCUCAAGGUCGAUCCCUGGCAUGUCUUCAUGUGUCCAAGCAAACACAUCUGCAUGAGCCCGCAAGCAUUGCACCAAUUCCUACUUCUGCUCUUCUUUAAGCCUCGACCCAAUUCGGAUCGUUUUUCACGGAUCCUCUGGUCCCAGGCUUACUGUCUCCAACUCCUCUACAGGUUCUUGUUUGCCAUUCUUGGCUCUCACUCAGGUAUCAAGGGAUGUUAUCUGCAUUGCUUCCCUUGCUGCCGAGGAGUAAUAGCUUCGUGCGAUUCUCUGGUCUCCUCGUACCACUCCAACUACCCCAUUCACCCGGUACUUGAGAGCUGGACAGCACCACUUUGCUCAUUCUCAGAAACGGUCGGCCUAGGAUCAUCUGGUAAGGACCCUCUUCAUCGACUACCACAAAAUCCAGUAUCAUAGUCCUUUCUGUCGGGGAUCUUCCAAUCGUGAUAGGCAGCUCGACCACGCCCAAGGGGACCAGCUUUUCUCCUCCAAAUCCCUUCAAGGAGGUAUUGGUGUGCUCUAACCUCAGGUCUGCUAUUUCCAUCUCCUCCAGAGUUGAGUUAAACAACACAUCAACUGAGCUUCGUGUGUCAACCAGUAUCCGGUCAAACUUCUUGCUAGCAACGGUGGCCUUGAUGACUAAGGCAUCCUCGUGUGGGUAUAAAAUCCCUUCUUCAUCCUCAUCUGUCCACACGAUUGGCACUUGCCUGACUCUUGCUCGUUUGGCUGCUUGGGUAUUGAAGAAUACCUCUUUACUAGUCAUGGCAUAUCUAGCAUAGUUCUUCCUCGAUCUGUUGGAAUCUCCGGCCAACGUUGGACCCCCAGCAAUCACUCUUACUAUAGGCUGCUCGUGACUCAAGUUCCUGUUACCCUGCUCCUCUUCACAUGUCGAGGCUACCGUUGGAAAAGUCCCAUCUAUAAACUCGUCCAGGUACGAUUUCUCACCAAAUCUUCAACGUGGGUCUUGAGGUCUCUGCAUUCUGUUGUGGUAUGGCCAUGAGUACCAUGGAACUUGCAAUAGCGCCCCUUAUCCCUCCUGCUAGGUAGCUUUGUUAUUGGGGCCGGGAGGUACAGUAAUCCCGGUCCUUUAUGGCCUCGUACACCUCGUCUAGGGAGAUUUUCAAGGAAGUAUACCGCCCAUAGUCUUGGUUCUGGUCGAUCAUGUGCACUGCCCUUUCUCUGUUUGUGCCAUUCUGAGUUGGAGGUGGUAGCAGCGCUUCUGGUAUGCUCCCUCUACUACCAUAGGGGUGUGGGUGAAGAUGACUAUAUGCCGCGUCAUGCCUUCUCCAAGGCUCCCUAGCUGGUGAGCGAGGAGGUUGCGCCCUGCUGCGCUGAUACUAUAGUGGCCUCUGAUGAGGCUGGUAAGAGGUUACCCGACCUCCUGUACCACUACCUAAGGCAUGGUGGUCCCUCCGCUUAAUCGGCCCAUUUCCUGGUACGGCUCUCUUCUCUUUCCUUUUUAAUCCUUCCAGCUGCUCUGUCUUAAUCCGUGCUGCCUUUUCCUCCUCGAUUUCUAUGUCUCUCUUAGCCUGCUCAUAAGCAGCUGAAUAUGUCUGAAUAGCUGGGCUUCUCAAGUUAUACCACAGCCGUCCUAUCUUAACUCAUUCUUUCAACCCCCUUAAUGCCUGAGGAUAGUUGAAGGCUCCCAAGUCGAGGACAACACGGUGGAACCUUUUGAUGAAUUCCCGAAGGGUUUCCUCCUCUCUCCGGUUCAUGCUCGCCAGCUCCAUCAUAUCAUCUUCCGGUGCCAUUGCCCCACGAAACUGCUCUAUAAAUUUCUGGCACAUCUGCUCGAAGGUUUUAAUGCUCCCCCGAGGAAGUUUCCUGUACCACUCGCGUGCUCGUCCCUCUAGAGAUAGUGGGAACACCCUGCAUCUUUGGGCUUGAGAUAGUCCUUGCACCCCGGUUAUGUCGUUAAAGCGCUCUAUGUGCACCAACGGAUCAGUUCGCCCCGAAUAUCUAAGGUCUGGGAGGCGAAAAUCUCUUGGAAUGACUGCCCUCAUGAUCUCUGCCGAGAGCGGAGAUUCUCCAUCCAGCAUUAUCCUCCAACCAGGUGCUCUACUCCUUCCUUGCAUAUCAUCAAUUACCUGCGCUAGUCUGCGCACUUCCUCCUUCGGCUGCACUGCACGACCAAGGUCACGUGCUGCAACUUGAUCCCGCUCUUGCUCUACAUCAUGUAAGUGUUGCCUGAGCUCUAUUUCCUCCACAUUCACCACCCCGUCAUCCUCAUCAAAAAUCUGUCUUCCUGGGGAUUGUUCUUCUUCUCUAUGAAUUCCUCCCCGUAGAGAUAAGUUACCUCUCUCACCACCAAAUCUCCUGGUGGUCUGACUUCUCAUCAUACCAUCGUGCCCUGGUGCCACUCCGCCACCUCUCACCCUUUCCUCAUGGGUUCCCCUUCGUUCACUUCUCAGUUCAUGUAAGAUGGUUGUCAGGGACUCCAUCUGCUUUUCCAUCCGUUCCAUUGGGUCAUGCAUGGCUUUUUCCCGUGCUUCAAUGGCUAUCUCCCUCAACGUCACGGAUUCGUUAAGCCUCAUAUCACCUCCUUGUGCACUACUUCCUCCUAUAUCCAUUGUUUCUUCUCUUGCUUUGCUUUUCCUCUCUCUGUCAAUAGAAGCUUUUUGAUCAGCUCCCCACAAACGGCGCCAAAAUGUUGAUGCGAGAUUCUGGUUACUCUUUCGACCACGACCAAGAUCUCUGCUCAAUCAACUUGACCACGACCAGGAUCUCUCCUCGUAUGCUUUCUUCUCUAAAAAUUACUGCGUACACAGAAAUAAGUCAGAGCACGCCGGUUGUUUUUCCGGCAUAAACUCUCCGACGCUCAAGUCAGAAAUGAAGGUUUUGUGCUCCUGGGAAUGUUAGCCACUAAUCUUAAGGCUUGUUUUUGGGAUUAUUAAAUGCUCUUUUUAUUUCAGUUUCAAUAUCAAAAGUUCCAACCCUUUUACCUUCGUUGGCCACCUUUUUAUAGGCUUCUCAUGAGUUCAGACCUUCCCUCAAUCCACGCCCAUUACCUUCCCAUCUCUCAGAAGUGGAUAUUUCGUUUCCAUAAUCGUGGGUGGUCGCGUGGUCGUCAUGCCUUGAUUCUCGGGUUGGAGUGCACGUCUCGCCAACUGUCGUUGACCGGGUCUCCUCGCCUCACCCAUUAGCAGGAGGCUCAACCAUUAGCAAGAGACCGGCCUCGCCGAUGGCGUAUUCGUAGACGAACAGAAUAUUCCUGGUCCUGUUCUCCUGCUAAUAGACUUCUGCAAGACAUACCUGUUCUUGGGAACCCUGCUAAUAGGUAUCUGCUCAUCACGGCUGGUCUCGUCGAAGUAUAUCCCCCAAACAGUAUAUGUUUUCCAAAAGCUAAGAGUCAUCAAAAGAUCUUUUGAAUUUCAAUAAAACUUGGUUUAACUUUAUUUAUUUAAUUGUGUUUUUGUAAUAUCAAUGGGGUCACCAACCCUCAAUAUAAUAGUUCCUUCGCUUGUUUUGUUGAUCCUAUUUUUGGUGUUAAGUUUUUUAAUAACUAUUUCUUCAGAAUCUAAUAAAGAAGCUGAUGCUCUUCUCAAAUGGAAAGCCAGCCUUCAAAGCCAUAACCUAUCUCUCCUUCCUUCCUGGACUAACGCCACCACUAAUGUUUCGUCCAAAAUAAGCCCGUGUGCUUGGUAUGGAAUCAAUUGCAAUGACGCUGGAAGAGUCACCAACAUCACCCUCAGAAAUACGGGAUUAAGUGGUACGCUUCGUGAUUUUUCAUUCUCAUCGUUUCCUCAACUUGUGCAUCUUGAUCUCAGUCUUAAUGGAUUCUUUGGUACCAUCCCAUCUCAAAUUGGUAACCUUACGAAACUCAACUACAUUUCUUUAGAAUCCAAUCAGAUGUCUGGAAAAAUUCCACUGGAGGUUGGUCUUCUGACUCAUUUGAAGGUCAAUUAGAUGGCUCAAUUCCACCAGAAGUUUGUCGGUUAAGUUCUAUCGAGGCGCUUUUCUUAUACUCUAACCAUUUGAACGGGUCGCUUCCUCCUUUCUUGGGUAACUUGAGCAAUAUCGUUCGAUUGUAUAUUAAUAAUAAUUCACUUUCUAGUUCUAUUCCUACGAACAUUGGAAACUUGAAAUUUCUUUUUGAAUUAGAUUUGAGUAAUAAUCAACUUGGUGGUUCAAUUCCUCUUUCUUUUGGUAACUUGAGUAACUUGGCUCGAUUGUACCUUUAUAAGAAUUUACUCAUUGGUUCUAUUCCGUCAAGUUUAGGAAACUUGAAGCUCAUUGAUUUAAAGUUGAGCUCUAACCAAAUCACUGGUUACAUCCCAUAUUCCUUAGGUAAUGUAACAAGUUUAUCAUCUUUACUUCUAGCCAAAAAUAAGCUUUAUGGUUCUCUUCCUCCAUUUGUUGGUAAUUUUACCAACCUGAGAGUAUUUCACGUUUAUGAUAACUCUCUAUAUGGCUCUAUUCCAAGGGAAAUAUGGAACUUGAAAUCUCUUGUCUACCUUGAUCUGAACAUUAAUCAAUUUAGAGGUUUUCUUCCGCCAUUUGUUGGUAAUUUGACCAACCUAGAAAGAGUAGGUCUCAUGGAUAACCACCUAUCCGGUUCCAUUCCUCCCUCCCUUGGGAAUUCAACGUUAACCUGGCUAACAUUUUCUCUAAACCAUUUCACUUGUUAUUUACCCCACGAUAUUUGUCGAGGCGGAGCACUAGAGAUUUUUACUGUUGAUGAAAACCAUUUUCAAGGAACAAUCCCUACAAGCUUGAGAAAUUGCACAGCUUGAUCCGAGUACGCCUUGAUGGAAACAACCUUACUGGAAAUAUAUCAGAAGCUUUGGGCAUUUAUCCUAACCUGACUUUCAUAGAUAUCAGCCGCAAUAAUUUUUACGGUGAAAUCUCAUCUAAUUGGGGGAAAUGCCCAAAAUUAGGCACUCUCAAUGUUUCGAUGAAUAACAUUACUGGAGGUAUACCGCGUGAGAUUGGAAACUCGUCUCAACUACAAGCACUUGAUCUCUCAUUGAAUCAUAUAGUUGGGGAUAUUCCAAAGGAACUGGGAAAGUCAAAUUCUCUAACCAAGCUCAUUUUGAGAGGGAAUCAAAUCAACUGACAGGGCGUCUACCUACAGAAAUCGGCUCACUCAUUAAACUUGAAUACCUCGACUUUUCUGCUAAUAGGUUCAACAAUUCAGUCCCAGAAAUUCUCGACAACUUGCUGAAAUUGCACUACUUGGGCUUAAGCAACAACCAGUCAUUAGACCGUGCAUUCCAGCAACAACCAGUUUUAAAAAGGCCUCAAUUUUUUAGUAUUAGUAAUAAUUCUUUAGUUAAUAAAAUCUUUUAAAAAAAUUAUAUGUGUGGUAAAAAAGCCUAUUAGACAUAUAUCUAAUUAAUAAUUAUCCUAUAAUUAAUAAUAAUUAUUUUUUAUAUAAAAACCUAUAAUUGGUUAUCUUAUUAUUAAAGAGAUAUAAUUAAUAAUAAUGUAUAUCCAUUAAUUUAUUCAUUAUUAGUUUUUCUAAUAAAAAUAAGUAAAUUUUUUAUCUUUUCAACUUCUUAAAAAAGCUCAAUUAUUCAACAUUAGAAUCUUUGACUUUGAGUAUUCCUUUUAAUUUCUACUAAAAAUCUUAUAAUCUAGAAAAUUAUAGAUGAAAAAUUUCUUGUUCUCUUCUCUACAAUGAAGAUUAUUACAUGCAUUAGUUCAUUCAAAAAAGAAAAAGAAAAAAUUAGUUACUUAAAAUACAAAGUCCAUGUCCAUUAUCUAACCAUCAAUUCAUGAUCUCAAUUUUUUAUGUGCUACCAUUUUAAAUAUUCUAUUUGAAAAUAGUAUUGUUCUCAUUUAUUCGUUUGCUUCUUUUUGUAUAAUUUCUAAUGGUAAAUUUUAGAUUUUGUUUUUGAAAAUUUUUAGAAUCUUCUUGAUUAUUUGUUGAAAUUCAAGAAUUAAAACUGAAAUGCAUUUUCAGUUCUUUAUUGUUUUAUUGAGUAUUGAAAUUACAAAAUAAAAAGAUGCCUCAUAAAAAUAAAAAAAAAGUUCGCCUAAGCCCCUAAUACUGUAAAGCCGGCCAUGUCAGUCAUUGACAUUUCUGAUAAUCAAUUGCAAGGCCCAGUUCCAAAUAGCACAGCAUUUCGGAAUGCCCCAGCGGAAGUGUUAGAGGGGAAUAAGGGAUUGUGUGGAGGUGUGAAAGGAAUGCAACCAUGCAAAGUUUACUCGUCACACAAGAAAAAUUCUGGAGCCAAGUGGUUUGCAAUAGUGUUCCCUGUUUUAGGAGCACUAUUUGUUUCAAUGGCGUUGAUAGCAAUUUUCAUUCUUCGAAAGCGGAAGUCAGACUCAGGAGAUCCACAGAGUAGCAGCCAGAACCCUCAGGGAUUGUUUUCUAUUUUAAAUUUUGAAGGGAAACUUGUGUACGAUGAAAUUGUUAGAGCAACAAAUGAUUUUGAUGCAGAGUAUUGCAUUGGAAAUGGUGGACACGGAAGUGUUUAUAGAGCUGAACUACCAUCUGGAACAGUCGUAGCUGUUAAGAAAUUUCAAUCACCACUCCCAUGUGAUCAGAUUGCAUAUCAAAAAGAAUUCUUGACCGAAGUUCAAGCCUUGACAGAGAUACGACAUCGAAACAUUGUGAAGCUUUAUGGAUUUUGCUCACAUGCCCGACACUCUUUUUUGGUCUAUGAAUUUCUUGAAAGGGGUAGCUUGGCUGCGAUAUUGAGCAAUGAUGCAGCAGCACAAGAACUGGGUUGGAGUCAGAGAAUGAAUGUGAUCAAAGGCGUAGCUGAUGCCUUGUCUUACUUGCACCAUGACUGCUUUCCUCCGAUUGUCCAUCGAGACAUAUCAAGUAAGAACUUGUUGCUGGAUUUGGAAUAUGAAGCUCAUGUUGCAGACUUUGGAAUUGCUAAGUUUCUGAAGCCAGACUCGUCCAACUGGACUGAAUUUGCAGGCACAUACGGAUACAUUGCACCAGGUAUUUAGUAUUUCUUUGUUGCCAUUUUGAGGAAUCUUUCUUCGCUUUCAUCUUCAUCUCUCAACACCAACAUAGCACUUGAUGAAAUGUUGGACCCACGGCUUCCAACUCCAUCACGCAUUUUUCAAGAAAAACUGAUAUCAAUCAUGGAGGUUGCGUUUUCCUGCUUAAAUGAGAGUCCAGAGUCUAGGCCAACUAUGAAGAUAGUCAGUCAACAAUUAACCUCAGCUGCUUGACCGAGUCUUAAUUUUCUAAGUAUACUUCGAAUUUGCUUGCCUUAUUUUUCUCAUGUACUAUGGUUUGUUUGUUCUAGUUUUCAAGAAUUAGGAGGCGUUGGUUAUUACGUCAUCCAUAUAUAAUUCGCAUAUGGUGUACUCAACUCUUUCAUUUGUAAAUAAAGUUUGCUCAUACCUUGGAGGUUUAGUUAAAAGAACGCAUGGGGCAUUUGUGAGUAAAGUCAGUUUGUAAUAAUUAAAAAAAUAAUUUCUUUCGACAUGCACAACAGGUGAACCCCUCAAAUGUAAACUUGAAAGUGUGUACCACUGUAUCAAUUAAUGGGUGGCUCUUACUUAUUGAUAAUGUUAAAUUAAAUGUUAAAAGAAAGGAACAGAUGGGGAAAAAAAAAUUGGGAUAAUUUAAAUGCAGUUGACACAAAGAGAAAUAAAGUAAAAUAAAAACUUUUCCCCAACAACAGCGCAAAAAACUUGACACAACUUAAAAGUAAUUUUUAACUCCCAAGUAUAAAAUUGUCUUGUUGUAUUAUAGCUUAGUGAGUCCGAGGUCGAUCCACAGAGAAAAAAUUUAAUUUUUUAUUUUAUUUUAUCUAAAAAUUGAAAAUGAAACUUAAAUAUAAACAACUUAAUUUAAAUAAAACUAUGAAAUUGAAUUAGUUAGGGUUGUGGAUCUACUCUUAGUAGCAAAUAAAACUUAAUAAAUUCUUUUGCCAUUUUUUUAGAUUUAUUGCCCAAAAGAUUAAUUAUAUAAAUUAUUAUUAUUUUCCCUUUAAUUUUAUGAUGGAUUAAGUAUUUAUUGUACCAAAAUUUAAUUGGUCUACAAUAAGUCAAAAUACCUUUUUACGAUACCGUAUAUUAAGAUAUUAAGAAUUUAUUGUGCCAAACUCCUUUGUUUGUCUACAAUAAAUCAAAAUUUUAAAAUAUAAAAUAUGUACAAAAUUAAAUAGAAAAUAAUUUAAUUUAUAAAAUUAAAAAUAGAAUUUGAUUAAAUCAUAUUUAUUUCCUAAGAGUUUCACCUUACCCUAACUAUUAUUAUUUAGUUAAGCAUAAUUGAAAUAAAAAGAAUUAUUAUAAUUAAAUUACUUAUAAUUAAAAUGAAUAAAAACAACUAAAAUUGAAAAUAAAACUAAAUUUAUUUAUAAAAAUAAUUACAAAAAAUAUUAAAAACACUCCUGGAAACACAAGAUUACAAGAAGAUUAAGAGAAAUUGAGAAGAAGAGAGAUGUAGAGAGAUAUCAAAAACAUAAAACUGAGGCUUAUUUAUAGAAAAAUAAAUUUAUAAUCCAGUGUUUCACGGUCCAUCAUAAGCUUCAUGCAUGCGCUCCUCACAACCAUUAAAUAAACAUCCAACGGCUGUUCAAACUUCAAAAGUCAACAUCACACGUGGCAUCAUUUGAGACGUAUGAUUCGGCCAAAGAACAGCUGAGAUUUGGCGGGUUAAUGGGUGGAUCGGGUUGACCCGAAUAUAAAUAUUUGAAUCCUACAACUUGCUUCACCAACUAUUGCCAUGUGGCACAAUCGUAGCCAUUGAAUUAUGAACGAUUAAGAUUUAGUCAAAAUUGCCAGCUAUCCCAAGCACUCAUAUCUAUUGUAAGCUCAUUUUAUCAUUCAUUCACUGCUCGGUCCACUGAAAAAGUCAACUUUUUUUUACACAAGCCCAAUUUUAAGCCGUUCUUGACUCAUCUUAAGGUUUUCGGAUCUCCGGAUUCCAAAUUUGACAUCCGCUUAUCUGUUUGGAGCCUCGAAUUACGUGAAAUUAAUAUUUUACUUAAUAAACACACAAAAAUACAUAAAAUUAGAUAUAUUUAACACAUAAUUAAUAAUUCCUAAUAUAUUGUAUGAACACAAAUAUAAAUCAUACAUAAGCACACAAUAACAUUAUUAUCGCUUGAUAAUUAAACAAUUUUUAAUACUAAUCAGCAGUCAUUGAAGGAACUUAUUGCUCUCACCAAUUGUCUUGAAUGCUCUAAUGGCUUACACUUUGUAGAAUCGCCAAUGUUGUGAUAACAACUUUGAUGGUUAAAGUUUGAUUGUGAAUCUCGGUUGAAUGACUUAAUUUAUAUUUGAUUCUUAUACCGAGCGAACCUUUACCAAGUUAAUCUUUUUUCCGUAUGUUUAGUUUUGUUAUGUCAGAGUUAGUUGAUGUCCUAUAUUUGAUCAAUGUGGACGGCUAAUCAAAAUUAAAGAAUCCUUGAACGAGAUUGAGGGCUCGACAGAGAUACGACAUCAGGGCAUUGUAAAACAUGGCUUACAUUCAAUUUUAGUUUAUGAAUUUCUUGAAAGGGGUGGCUUGGCCAUAAUCUUGAGCAACAAUGCAGCCACAUAAGAGUAGUUAAGUGGGCCGGAGUCAGAGAAUGAAUAGGAUAAAAGGCGUUGCCCAUACCUUGUAAUAUUCAUUUGUUGCCAUUUUGAGGAAUAUUAUUCGGGGAUUGCCACUUUCCCAUGAUUAGGGGAUUGCCACUUUCCCCCUACAGUAAUUAACAUAUACCAUUUAUCCCCUUGUUGUUUUUAUAAUGAUAAAAAAUCCUCCUGACAGCAUAAGUUGAUAAUAUUACCCUUAUUUUUAAUUAUUCUUUUAUUUAUAUUUAUUAUAAAUUAAAUAAAUUACAUGAAUAGAAAUUAAAUUAAAAAAAUUAAUUAUUAAAAAUAAGAAAUAUAUAUUUUGAUAUGAGCAAAAAAAAUUAAUAAUAAAUGUUUUUCUUCUAAUUAUUUAUUUUGUGAACAUUUUCUUACAAUAAACAUUUUGUAAUAAAUUUUUAUUUGUCAUUCAAAAUUUAUAAUAAUAAUUUUUUUAUCAUUUUAUAAUAACUUUCUUAUAUAUUUAUUAUAAGAAACAUUUCACAAAAUAAAUAAGUAUAGAAAAAAUUUAUUAUUAAUUUUUUUCUCAUAUCAAAACAUAUAUUUCUUGUUUUUAAUGCUUAAUUUUUUAUUUAGUUUCUUUUCAUGUGAUUUAUUUAAUUUAUAAUAAAUAUAAAUAAAAGAGUAGUUGAAAAUAAGGGUAAUAUUAUAAACUUAUGCUAUCAGAAGGGGUUUUGGCUAUUAUAAAAACAACAGGGGGAGAAAUGGUAUAUGUUGAUUACUGUAGGGGGAAAAUUGGCAAUCUCCCAAUAUUAUUAUGCAACAUAUUGUAUAGAGAUAUAAAAUCUUACUAAUUUAUACGCAUUGAUCUUUAAAAAGAGAGUAAACAUUUUUUUUUUUUGUCCUUGACGUUGCAGAGCUUGCUUACACAAUCAAGAUCACAGAAAAAUACGACGUGUACAAUUUCGAGUGUUAUUAUUGGAAGUGAUCAAGGGAAAAAUUUAAAUGCAAUAUAUAUAUAUAUAUAUAUAUGAAAAAUUUAAAUGCAAAAUUUAUAUACAUACAUACAUAUAAAAUUAUUUUUUGAAGAAUAAAAUAAUUUGAAACAAUAUAUUUACAUAUAUUAUUUUUAUUGUUUACCCUCAACUUAUUAUUCUCCAAAAAAAUAGUAUAUGUAUAUGUAUAUGUAUUUUGUUUUUAAUUUUUAAAUUAAUUCUGAAGAGUUUUGAAAAAAUUUCUGAAUUAAUUUAAAAAUUAUGACAAUUCCCUUACUUUUUCAAAUAAUUUUGCAUGUAAUUUUUAAUUAUUACCAUUUAAGAAAUUAUUUAAUUAAUUAAAUUAUUAAAGAUAUUCAUCUUCCAGACAUCAAAGAAACACCAAAGGUAAAAUAGUAAGAUCAGCAAAACAGUUUGACUCUCAAGAAAAUUUGGAUAUAGUUUAAAAAUCAAGUGGGAGGAUUCAAUUAGUUUAGUCAAACAAGAGGGUUUAGCUAUUUUUUCCAUUAAACAAGUGUCGAAUGCAUCUUUAUUUAUUAUUGAUACCAAGUGUCCGACUCAGACUGGAAGAAUGAAUCUGAAAUCGUCUUAAGACAUGGAAGAAUCAAUGCAUAAUGUGUGUGUAUGGAAGAAAAAAUAAUAAUAAGGCAAGUGGUACGGAAAUAAGGAUGAACUCACAUUAAACAUAUUCCAUGUGUUUCACGUUGCUAAAAAAAGAACAACAUUUUCCACGCACGCCAUGUGCAGCAAUAAUCAUGCCUAUCUACACAGAAGCACAUUUCACGUUUGAACUUUUUCUUUUUUAUUUUUUCCCCAUUUCACAUACCAUAACCCCAUCCCAUCCUAUACGCAAAAAGAAAUUAAAGCUUCCACAUUGUGAGGGGAAUCGAUCUUAACUAAGCAAUGUGAGCUUAGAUGGAUUAUAAUUUUUACCAUUCAAUUGUGUGUUUUUUUCUGGAAUGAUUGAACAUCGAUGAUGAAAUAAGGUAUUAAAAAUGUUGAAUAUGAACUGCAAAUCAGUUUAUAGUCAAGUGCGAGAAGUCGGUUGAAGAUUUGUUAACACCAUGACAUGUCGGUUGACAGUCCUGAGAUAGCUAUAUGACAAGAAUACCGUGUCGUCUGUGUGUGCAAAGAAGGCUUGUGGUUUGCACGUGAUUCACUUAAACAAAACGGCUGCUUGAAGUGUCGUUUUAUUAUUUAAGAUAACAGAGAUGAAGACACGUGUGAGGGAGGCUUAUCAGAAGUCUGUUAAGCCGUUAAUUAGCGCGGGAAGCUGCUGUUCAUCUUCACGGAUAACAAGGGAAGCUUGUAGGUGAUGAUCGGGCAUUGCUUAUAUAUAUAGUUGGGUAUUCUGGAAUGGGUUAAGUGGUUCAUGUAUGGUUAGCUUCUCUAAUAAGCUUGUACUCUGUAAGACACUCGUUCAAUACAAAACUUGGAUUCACCCUUUCACAGUGGACGUAGGCUUCCAUAGCCGAACCACUAUAAGCUUUUUUAUGUAUUGUUCUUUCUGCUUCUUUUAAUUCUUUCAUUGACUUGCUUUGAUUGCUUGGGCUCACAUUAGUUUUAGAUACAAUAACCCUUCUUGAGUGGAUCUUGGGGGGCCAUUAUCGGUUCUUUAUUGAUAUUUGGCAUAACAAAUUGGUAUCAAAGCCUCUCUCUGAAAUUCUUGAUCUAAAAUGACUGGUCCUAAACUUGAGGUAGACAAGUUUACAGGUGAAAAUGACUUUCACCUGUGGAGACUCAAGAUGAAAGCACUGUUGGUACAUCAAGGCCUAGAUGAAGCCCUUGCCGAAGUCACAUCACCCAAGAAACCCAAAAAGAUAUCAGAGGAUGAUCUUCCAGAUGUGCUUAAGUCUUGGAGAUGGUGUACUCAGAGAAGUGGGAGGAGAGACAACUGCUGCUGGAUUGUGGAAAAAGCUUGCAGACUUGUAUACCAAAAAGUCCAUGGCUAAGAGGUUAGCCACUAAAAAGAAGCUCUACACAUUGCAAAUGGAUGAGGGUUCAUCAAUCUCUGAUCACAUUGAUGCCUUUAAUAAGAUCAUUUUGGAUCUUGAAGACAUUAAUGUAAAGAUCGAUGAUGAAGAUAAAGCCAUGAUUCUUUUGUGCUCUCUGCCAAGCUCUUAUGAGCACCUGGUUGACACUCUCAUGUAUGGGAAGUAGUCUCUCUCAAUGGUGGAUGUGAAAGAGACAUUGAGUUCCAAGGCUGCAACAAAGAAAGAAACAAGUCAUGGCGAAAGAUUAACAGUCAGAGGGAGGCCAUAAAAUAGAGAAGGUGGUAAGGGAAAGAAGAAAAUAUCCAAGUCCAGACCCAAGAACAUGAAGUGCUUCCAUUGCCACAAGGAAGGCCACUUCAAGAAAGACUGUCCAGAGAGGAAAUACAAAGGUAAAGAAACAAAAGAGAAAACUGGUGAUGCUGCUGUUGCAUCAGAAGGACAAGAAUCUGAUGGUUAUGACUCUGCUGGGGUUCUCAUAGUCUCUGAUGGUGCAUCUAGAGGUAACUGGGUUUUAGAUUCUGGUUGUUCAUUCCAUAUGUGCCUUAAUAGAGAUUUCUUUAAGAACUAUGAAACCUAUGAUGGUGGGAUAGUUGUAAUGGGAAAUGAUGCUAGUUGUGGAGUAAUUGGCAGGGGCACCAUUAAACUGAAAAUGCUUGAUGGCACAAUAAGAGAAUUAACAAAUGUAAGACACAUCCCUGAUUUAAAGAGGAACUUAAUUUCUCUUGGCAUGCUUGACAAAAUGGGGUGUGUAAUCAAGCUUGAGUCAGGCACUUUAAAGGUGUUAAAAGGGUCUAUGGUGUUGAUGAAAGGAAACUUAGACAAUGGCCUAUAUGUGCUCCAGGGGUCUGUAGUCACAGGAGAUGUUGGAGUUUCAAACCAGAACCUAAACAAAACCUUAUUGUGGCACUUUAGAUUAGGCCAUAUGAGUGAAAGAGGCUUGAGAGAACUAUCAAAACAGGGAGUCUUGGGUGAAGAUAAAACAGUCCUUGAAAUUUUGUGAGGAGUGUAUCCUAGGCAAAUCCUCAAGAGUUAAAUUCAGCAUUGGUGCACAUGUUUCAAGAGGAACUCUAGAAUACAUACAUGCUGAUCUGUGGGGACCUGCACAGACAGCAUCCUUAGGAGGGGCAAGGUACUUUCUAUCUCUAAUUAAUGACCAUUCCAGAAUGGUCUGGGUGUAUGUACUGAAGAACAAAGAUGAAGUGUUUGAACAAUUCAAGAACUGGAAAACACUGAUUGAAACUUAGACCAAUAGGAAGGUCAAGAAGCUCAGAACUGAUAAUGGAUUAGAAUUCUGCAACAAGAGGUUUGGAGAAUUUUGCAGCAAGCAUGGAAUCAUGAGGCACAGAAUAGUAAGAUAUACACCUCAGCAAAAUGGAUUAGCUGAGAGGAUGAACAUAACCUUAGUUGACAAAGUGAGGUGUAUGAUCAUUCACUUUAAGCUACCUAUAUCCUUGUGGGCUGAGGCUCUGUCAACAACUUGUCACAUUGUGAACAGAAGCCCUUCAACUGGAAUUAACUUCAAGACACCAUAUGAACUUUGGUAUGGUAAACUAGCACAUUACUCCAGUUUGAAGAUCUUUGGUUGUCCAGCAUAUGCUCACAUCAAACAAGGCAAAUUAGAACCCAGGGCAUUGAAGUGUGUAUUUCUUGGUUACCCUGAAGGGGUAAAAGGGUAUAAAUUGUGGUGCACAGACAUGAAGCCACCAAAAGCAAUCAUAAGCAGGGAUGUAGUAUUUAAUAAAGCUGAGAUGCUCCAACACUCAAUAUCUUUAAAGACUACAAAUGUAGAACUGGAAGAUAAAGAUGAGAGAUCUUAUCUUGAGGUGGAGCUGUCAAAUUCAAACCAGAAACAAAAAUCAAGAUCAGAGGCUGGAGACAUAGCAGACAUGGAAAUUCAUGACAUUGAGGAUGAAACAGCAAGUGAUCAGGGGAGAAGUGAAGAUUAUCAGUUAGUGAUGGACAUAGAAAAGAGAGUAAUAAAACCUCUUAGAAGAUAUGCAUAUGCAGAUCUAAUAGCAUUUGCAUUAACAACAGCACAUGAAAUAGCAACAGAUGAACCAAGAACAUACUCAGAAGCCAUUAACAGUGAUAAGGUAGAAGAAUGGAUCAAGGCUAUGGAUGAGGAAAUAAUGUCUUUGAAAAAGAAUCAUAUUUGGAAUUUCAUUGAAAGACCAGCAAACAAGAGGGUAGUAGGAAGCAAAUGGAUCUACAGAAUCAAGGAGGGAAUACCAGAUGUUGAGCCAGAAAGAUACAAAGCCAGGUUGGUUGCAAAAGGCUUCACUCAGAAAGAGGGGGUUGACUUCACAGAAGUUUUCUCCCCAGUGGUAAGACAUGCUUCCCUGAGGAUCCUAUUAUCUCUAGUGGCUGUAUAAGACAUGCAUCUUGAGCAGAUAGAUGUGAAGAUUGCCUUCCUGCAUGGUGAAAUAGAUGAGAUGAUAGUGAUAUCACAACCUGAAGGGUAUGAGGAUCCAGAAAAGGUUGAUCAUGUAUGUCAUCUAAGGAAGUCAUUAUAUGGAUUAAAACAGUCUCCAAGACUGUGGUAUAUAAGGUUUGACAGGUUUAUGUCAAAUCAUGGUUUUCAAAGGAGCAGUUUUGACUGUUGUGUCUACUUUAAAACCAUAGAAGGUGGUGACAAGAUCUACUUGCUGCUCUAUGUAGACGACAUGUUAAUAGCUUGUAAGGAGAUGGAGUUCAUCAAUAAACUGAAACAGCAGCUGAGCAAUACAUUUGAGAUGAAGGAUCUGGGUGCUGCAAAGAAGAUCCUUGGAGUUCAGCUAAAGAGAGACAGAAAGAAUGGUAUCCUAAGCCUAACACAACACAAAUACAUCAGGAAAGUACUUGAGAAAUUCAAUAUGGAUAAAUGUAAACCAGUACAGACACCACUGCCCUCUCAUUUCAGACUGUCCUGCCAACAGUGUCCAAACUCUGAUACUGAGAAGGCUUAAAUGAAUAAAUAUCCAUACUCAAGUGCUGUUGGAUGUUUAAUGUACGCAAUGGUCCUGACUAGGCCUGAUCUCUCUCAUGCAGUGAGUGUAGUAAGCAGGUACAUGGCAAACCCAGGGAAAGAUCAUUGGAGGGCUGUUGUAUAGAUCUUAAGAUACCUGGCUGGUACAACUGGUUAUGGUCUGAUCUAUGGAGCUGAUAAAUAUGCAGAGGUUAGUGUGGAGGGCUAUGUGGAUGCAGAUUAUGCUGGAGAUUUGGAUAAAAGAAGGUCUUUAACAGGUUUUCUGUUUAUGAUUAAUGGCUGCACCAUAAACUGGAAGGCUUCACUGCAGAGUGUUGUUGCUCUGUCAACAACUAAGGUAGAAUACACAGCAGUUGCAGAGGCAAUCAAAGAAGCUAUCUAGCUCAGAGGGAUGGUGAAAGAACUGGGAUUUGAACAAAACCAAAUUACAGUUCACUGUGACAGCCAAAGUGCUAUAUGUCUGAGUAAGAACCAAAUACAUCACGAGAAAACCAAGCAUAUUGACAUCAAGCUUCACUUUGUCAGAUUCGAAAUAUCAAAAGGUGUGAUUAAGCUGGCUAAAAUACACACUGAUAGAAAUAUUGCUGACAUGCUUACCAAAGCUGUACCGGGAGCUAAGUUUGAGUUCUGUUUGAACUCAGCUGGCAUCUGCAGGGUAUAGACUGCAGGAAAGAAGUGGAAGGGUGAACCUGAGGAAUGGAUGAUUUGAGCUCAAGGUGGAGAAUGUUGAAUAUGAACUGCAAAUCAGUUUAUAGUCAAGUACGAGAAGUCGGUUGAAGAUUUGUUAACACCAUGACAUGUCGGUUGACAGUCAUGAGAUAACUAUAUGACAAGAAUACCGUGUCGUCUGUGUGUGCAAAGAAGGCUUGUGGUUUGCACGUGAUUCACUUAAACAAAACGGCUGCUUGAAGAGUCGUUUUAUUACUUAAGAUAACAGAGAUGAAGACACGUGUGAGGGAGGCUUAUCAGAAGUCUGUUAAGCCGUUAAUUAGCGCGGGAAGCUACUGUUCAUCUUCACGGAUAACAGGGAAAGCUUACAGGUGAUGAUCGGGCAUUGCUUAUAUAUAUAGCUGGGUAUUCUGGAAUGGGUUAAGUGGUUCAUGUAUGGUUAGCUUCUCUAAUAAGCUUGUACUCUGUAAGACACUCGUUCAAUACAAAACUUGGAUUCACCCUUUCACAGUGGACGUAGGCUUCCAUAGCCGAACCACUAUAAGCUUUCUUGUGUAUUGUUUUUUCUGCUUCUUUUAAUUCUUUCAUUGACUUGCUUUGAUUGCUUGGGCUCACAUUAGUUUUAGAUACAAGAACCCUUCUUGAGUGGAACUUGGGGGGCCAUUAUUGGUUCUUUACUGAUAUUUGCCACAACAAAAAAUCUAUCCAAGAUUAAAAAUAAAUAAAAAUAAAUUCAAGAAACUGUGUGCUUUCUAUAGCAGAUAUAAGAUCCUUAUAGGUGAUUCGGAUUAAAUUUUUUUUCUUUUAAAAAAGGCCUAACAAAUUAAAUUUACAAAGUCUUAGUGAAUUAAUGAUUUUUAACAUUUUAGCAAAUUAACUUUGUGAAAAUUUUAAUUAUUCACAAAUGCCUUAUUUUCUAGUAGUGAAUGAAAGUGUGAAAAAAAUAAAAAGACCUACUUCUAGUUUGUCCACUCCUGAAUUUUCUUCGUUUUUCUUCUUUGUGUUUUCACUAAGCUUUACUUGACGCCUUGACUCGUUUACUCCAAAUAGCCAACCCCAUUUCUGUCGUAUAGUUUCUAUAAAUUUAACUCCCGAUUGUGCUUGUUUUAUGACCCAAUGUUCCAUUUCGAUACCAAUAGGGCCACUCACUCUGCAUACAGUAGUUUCUUCUCUUGUUUUCUUGAUCCUAUUCUUUGUGUCAAAUUUUUCUCUUCCCAUUUCUUCUGAUUCUAAUGAAGAAGCCCAUGCUCUUCGCAAAUCGAAAGCCAGCCUUCAAAGCCAUAAUCGAUCUCUCCUUCCUUCCUGGACUAUCGCCACCACCAAUGUUUCAUCCGAUAUAACCCUGUGUGCUUGGUCUGGAAUCGGGUGCAAUGCCGCCGGAAGAGUCGUCUACAUCAACUUCACAAAUACAGGCUUAAGCGGUACACUUCAUGAUUUCUCAUUCUCAUCGUUUCCUCAUCUUACUUAUCUUGAUCUCAGCUUUAAUGAAUUAUUUGGUAUCAUCCCGCCUCAAAUCUUUAAUCUCUCCAAGCUCCAUUUACUUUGGCUACGUGCUAACAACUUUUUUUGGAAGAUUACCGUCUGAAAUUUGCCUUCUAACUCACUUGAAAGUUCUUUUCUUGCACUCCAAUAACUUGAACGGCCCAAUCCCUUCUUCUUUAGGUAACCUGAACAACUUGGUUAAGUUGUUUCUUCUUGAUAAUUCACUUUCUAGUUCUAUUCCUCCAAAUAUUGGAAACUUGAGGUCUCUUUUAGAACUAGAUUUGAGUAUAAAUCAACUUAGUGGUUCAAUACCUCCUUCUGUGGGUAACUUGAGUAGCUUGAUUUGAUUGUAUCUUUAUGGUAAUUCACUUCAUGGUUCCAUUCCACCAAAUGUAGGAAACUUGAAGUCCCUUGCAGUUUUAGAGUUGAAUGCUAAUCAACUUAAUGGUUCAAUACCUCCUUCUAUGGGUAACUUGAGUAGCUUGAUUCGAUUGUAUCUUUAUGAUAAUUCACUUUAUGGUUCCAUUCCACCAAAUGUAGGAAACUUGAAGUCCCUUGCAGUUUUAAAGUUGUAUGCUAAUCAACUCAAUGGCUGCAUUCCUCGUUCUUUUGGUAAUUUAAGGUCUCUUGUAAGUCUUAUUCUGAGCCAAAAUCAAUUUAUAGGUUUUCUUCCUCCACCUAUUGGUAAUUUGACCAACCUGAGAGAACUUUUCCUCUUUGAUAACCAUCUAUUUGGUUUCAUUCCAAGGGAAAUGGGGAACUUAAGGCCUCUUGUAAAUCUUAUUAUGUUCCAAAAUCAAUUUACAGGUUUUCUUCCUCCACCUAUUGGUAAUUUGACCGACCUGCAAAUACUAGAUCUCAUGGAUAACCACCUAUCCGAUUCCAUUACUCCCUCCCUUGGGAAUAUUUGCCGAGGUGGAGCACUACAAUAUUUUAUUCUUUCUGAAAACUGAUUACAAGGAACAAUCCCUGAAAGCUUGAGAAAUUGCAUAAGCUUAAUCCGAGUACGCCUUAAUGCAAACAACCUUACUGGAAAUGUAUUAGAGGCAUUGGGCCUUUAUCAUUUCCUGACUUUCAUAGAUCUCAGCCGCAAUAAUUUUUACGGUGAAAUCUCAUAUAAUUGGGGGAAAUGCCCAAAAUUAGGCACUCUCAAUGUUUUGAUGAAUAACAUUACUAGGAUUAUACCGCGUGAGAUUGGAAACUCGUCUUAACAACAUGCACUCGAUCUUUCAUUGAAUCAUAUAGUUGAGGAGAUUCCAAAGGAACUUGGAAAGUUAAAUUCUCUAACCAAGCUAAUUUUGAGAGGGAAUCAACUGACUAGGCAUCUACCUACAGAAAUCGGCUCAAAUAUUGUACUUUAAUAGUUGUUAGUAAUACAAUUAUUUUUCUCUUGCUCCCGUGGACGUAGGCAUAUUGCCGAACCACGUAAUUCUUGUGUCCUUUAUUUUUCUGUAAUUAUUCGGUGUGCUUGAUUCUGCAUUCCGCCCACAAGUGGUAUCAGAGCCGAUGGUUCGUACUUGGGGGAUACGGUAUUGUUCACGUAUACGUAUUAUUCACGUAUACGGUACUGUUCACGAAUACGGUGGAGAUGACCAUUUGUACUUAGGAGACAGUCUAUUGCAAGUAGUGUGUAUUUUUGCAUGUCUAGGAAAAUUCUGUCAAUAAGGCGAUAAGAGUCUAAGGAUUCUGGUUUUUAAUUGGGACCAAGUUCCCGUCCAGUUUCCUGGAAAUUUUCCUGGUGCAUUUAUUCACGCGAAAUUAACAUCAUAGAGAUUGUUUUUCAAGUGGAAAUAGUUCGUUGAGAAAAUGGUAGAAGGUGAAACUUCCAGAAUUGGGGAGAGAUCUACCGAGACUAUUUCAGGAGACACUUCAGGUGGGAGGCGAGAUUUGUCAAAUCGCUAUUCAGCACCUGUUAUAGGAAGCCAGAAGAUCGAUGUUGAAAAGUUUGAUGGGAAAAUCAACUUCGGCAUGUGGAGGCGCGAAGUUAUGAAUGCCCUUAUUCAAAUCGAUCUCGAUGUUGUUCUUAAAAAUAAAAGACACUUGUAUGAUGAAGAAAUUUGGGAUCGUAUGAACGAAAAAGCCUGUGGUCAGAUCAGAUCUUGUUUGACCAAGGAGAUGAAAUACUUGGUGAAAGAUGAGGAUUGUGCGAUGACUUUGUGGCGUAUAUUGGAGGAGAAGUACCUGCUAAAAAAUCCUGAAAAUCGUCUUCAUGCAAUGAGCCAAGUAUAUGGCUUUCAAAUGAAGCCUGGGGUGUCAAUGCACGAUUAUGUCUCAAGAUUUGAAAAGUUACUUGCUGAUUUGAGGAAUCGUGAUGAAGAUAUUAAGGAUGAAGUCAAGGCUAUGAUUCUGUUACAGUCACUCCCAGAGGAAUAUAGCCAUUUUGUGACUACCUUGAUAUAUGGGAAAAGUGUGAUCAUCUUCAAAGAUGUUUGCACAGCAUUGACCAAUUUAGAAAUUCGGAAUAAUGAUAAACAUUCUGAAAGAACAUCGUCUGAAGCUUUGUUUGCCAGAGAAAGGACGAUGGAGAAAAAGAAGCAUAGUGGAAAGAAUUCUCGAUCCAAAUCAAGAAACAGAAAUAUAGCUCGAGACUAGUGUGCUUUUUGUCAUGAAAAGAGCCAUUGGAGGAAAGAUUAUCCAAAGGCUCAAAAGAGAGAUGGGAAGAAACCAGCAGCAGCAAACAUGGCACGGAAAGAUGAGGACUCUGAUUAUUCACUAAGUAUUACUCCUGCAGCAUACGUGGCUAGUUCAAGUGAGUGGAUACUUGAUACUGGAGCAACCUACCAUUUGUGUCCUAUUAAGGAGUGGUUUACAAAUUUUCAUAAUUUGGAAUCCGGUGCAGUUGUAAUGGGGAAUGAUCAACCUUGUCGCACAAUGGGGAUAGGAACAAUUCGACUCAAAAUGUUUGAUAGAUUGAUUAGAGAACUCAAAGAGGUUAGAUUUAUUCCAGCUUUAAAGAAAAAUAUAAUUUCUGUGGGUGCUUUGGAAGCUAAAGGCUACAAGGUUACUAUUAAAAAUAGCACAAUGAAGUUCACAUAUGGGGCUAUGGUGAUUCUGCAAAGGGUUCGGAGUAACAAUUUGUAUUAUUUGAAGGAAGGUACAACUGAUGAAACAAAUGUUACUGAGGCGCAUAGUGACACCACCAAGUUAUGGCAUGUACGACUGAGACAUGCUAGAGAGAAGUCUUUGCAAGCUCUGAUGAAGCACAAACUCUUAAAAGGUACCAAAAUCUGUAAAUUAAAUUUUUGUGAGCAUUGUGUAGUAGGUAAGAAAACAAGGGUCAAGUUUGGUACAGCUAAUCAUGAUACUCGUGAGAUCCUUGAAUAUGUUCACAGUGAUGUAUGGGGACCAAUUAAGACUGCAUCAAUUGGUGGAAGCCAUUAUUUUGUUACAUUUGUUGAUGAUUUCUCUAGAUGUGUGUGGGUGUACACCAUGCGAGCAAAGGAUGAGGUUCUAGAGAUUUUCGUGAAAUGGAAGAAAUUGGUGGAGACUCAAACUGGCAGAAAGAUCAAAGUAUUACGAUCUGAUAAUAGGGGUGAAUAUACUUCUGAUCCAUUCUUGCAAGUAUGCUAGAACGAGGGUAUUAAAAGACAUUUCACGGUGAGACAUACUCCGCAACAGAACGGUGUGGCUGAGCUUAUGAAUCGUACUAUGUUGGAGAAAGUACGGCGUAUGUUAUCUAAUGCUGGUUUAGAUAAAAAGUUUUGGGCUGAAGUUGUGAGUUACGCAAGUCACUUGAUAAACCGGUUGCCUUUUGCUGCAAUUGGAGGUAAAACUCCUAUGAAAAUGUGGUAUGGAAAGCAUGCACAAGACUAUGAUUCUCUUCGUAUAUUCGGGUGUCCAGCUUAUUAUCAUGUUAAAGAUGGUAAACUGGAUCCUCGUGCUAGAAAAGUUAUCUUUAUGGGAUUCAAAGGUGGAGUAAAGGGCUUUAACCUUUGGGAUCUCGAAGAUAAAAAGUUUAUGCGUAGCAGAGAUGUCACGUUUAAUGAAGCUUCAAUGAUUAAAGUUAUAAGUUCUCAGCAGGUGGAGAAGAAGACCAAAGAGGUAUUGCAGCGAGUGGAGUUUGAUCCAACUCCAUAUGUACCAGUUAGUUCUACAUCAGAGAAGGGUUCAACUAUGGAGGUGACACAUAGAGUUGAAGAAGAAGUUGUUUCUUCUGAUGUCCCACAAAAUGAAAAAACAAUUGAUGAUGUAGAUAAUGAUGAUUUUAUAGUAACAAAAAGGCCAAGAAGAGAGAUAAAGAAACCCGGAUGACUUACUAAAAACAUGGUGAUAGCCUAUGCACUUCCAGUUAUUGAUGAUGACAUCCCCAACACUUUCGGUGAAGCAUUACGCAACAGUGAAAGUGAUCAGUGGAAGUUAGCCAUGGAGAAAGAGAUGAAAUCUCUCCAUCAAAACCAAACUUGGGAACUUGUAAAAUUACCAAAGGAGAAAAGGGCUAUUGGCAAUAAAUGGAUCUACACCAAGAAGCAAGGAUCUCUGAAUCAAUCAACUGCUCGAUACAAGGCAAGGCUCGUUGCAAAAGGUUUUGCUCAGAAUGAAGGUAUUGACUAUAAUAAAGUUUUCUCUCCAGUUGUAAAACAUACUUCCAUUCGUAUCCUACUUGCCUUAGUUGCAGAAUAUGAGUUAGAGUUAUGGUCACAAUGUUUGUAAAUUGCAUAAAUAGCUAGUAUCGACAAAUUCAGUUUAGUUUAGUUUGUUAAAAAGCUUGUUGAUACAAAGAUGAAAAGAUAUUAUAGUUCGAUCGACAUUUUAAAGUCUCUCUGCUCGGCCAUAUAAUCAAAGUGAAUAUAAUUAAAAAAACAAAGGGUGUUUAAAUUCUUUGACUCUUAGUAGUAGGUUUUGAAGCUGGAUUAAAAUAAAAAGGUAAGCCAUUCCACUUAAUUAUUUAAUUGAGAGAGUAUGGAGAACUUGAACUGUGCUUCUCUCACAAAUCCCACCGAUCAGCAACCGAUUUAAAGAGAGAAUUCAGUGCCUAUAUUUUUUUAUUGUCGCGUGUAUUCUAUUUUCUAUUUUUUUAUAGGCCUAUCCAAUGGCUUUACCGUGAGGCAUGAGCCAAUUUCUCUAUUCUAUCCACAGAUGUUUGGGUUGGAUUUUUCUGGUAGUGUCUCGAAAUAUAGUCGAUCCUAAUCUACUCAGAACUUAUUGAUAUUGAGUUGACCUCAUAAGUACAACCUGGAACCUAUGUUGGCGACCUGGUUUACAAGUACGACCUGAGGUUUAUGUGAAUGACCUAGUUUAAGAAUACAACAUCAAGCCUAUAUGAGCGAUUGAGAAAAUCAUAUGUCUAAUCUGAAAGUGAAGUAAUCUGACCUCGAAAUAUAUUUUUCAGACUUGAGAUUUAACUUGAUAUAGAAAAUUGCUAGUAAAGAGAACGUGGCCUAAUUUCUAGGGAAGUUGUGUGCUAAGAUCUAUUUAAACCACCUCCAACUGACAACCACUUGCAACUGCUGAAGAAAGCAGGCUGAAGUUAAGGAAGUAACCGUCCACGACCAAGAGCUUACUUAAACUGAAGAGUGCAUCAGGUGGGGUUAGCAAAAUGAACCAAAGCUUCUACAAGUUUAAACCUUCUCUACAAGAUUUUCUGCCCAUUGACCGGAAAAUUACUUGGCUUUAACUCAUUCACAAUCCUUCAUUAUCAUUUUUCUUCUUUUAUACAUAAUUUCUAACUUAAGCAUCGGAGGGUCUACGCUGGAACCCCACCGGCGUAUCCUAACCGUGUUUUCUGGUUAUCAGGUAUAAAAAGUUGCGAUCAGACUGGCAUUUGAGCUAAGAUUCACGAUGUAAUUCCCCAAAAGAAACAAAUUCAUUUGUUGAGAACGUUUUUCGGCAUCAACAUCUUGGAGCCGUCUAUGGGGAACGGUGCGAAAAGCCAUACAUUUAAUGAUUUAGAGAGAAAAGACUGUUGGAUUAGAGAAUUUCGAUGGAUGAUAGUCAUGGAGAUAGGCAGACCUUGCGCCAAUUGGCGAAAGAAAUGAAUACCACUGCAAAUAAGAGAUGGAAAGAAGGGAUCGAGAGGCAAAUGGCAAGAUUUGGGGAGAUGGUUUAGGGGAUGGUUGAUGCCUAAGUCAAAGGGGCUCAAGUUCGAACUAAUGAUCCAGAGAGUAGCGAAGCAAGAGAGAGAGAAGAGCUUGGUGGUGAAUAGCAGAGCGGGAUGAGGCUACCUCAGGUUGGGGUAUGACAAGAGAAUAGAAGUGAAGGAGAACAAGUGAAUGAGUUGAGGGGGAGAAUCAAUUACCUGAAUCAUGAAAGGGAGAGGGAAUAGUUGAGAGACCCCCAACGGGCAAAUGAGCUUGAGCAGCGAAUGCUGCAAUUUUAAAAAACUCUAGAGGCAUUAGAGGCCAAAACAGAGGGCAAGAAAGUGGUAGGAAGGUUGUUACUUGAUGACGAGUCCCUUUUGGUACCUGAAGUGAUGGCGGUAACUUUGCCACCCAAGUAUAUGGUUCCAGCCUUAGUGUGUGAAGGAAAAACUGACCCAAAUCAUCAUGUGGAGAAGUUUAAUGAGAUGACCGGGAUUCAAGGUUUGAAUGAUUUUCAAAUGUGUCGUGUGUUUUCCUUAACUCUAGAAGGACAGGCAUGCGAAUAGUACUAGAGAUUAAAGAAGGGAAGCAUAGGAAACUUCAAGGAGUUAUGUGAGCUUUUCACUGUGAAUUUUAGAGGUUCACGCAUACCAGGGUAGGAUACAAGCAGGUUGAAAAAAUUGGUCCAAGGAGAAUUUGAAAGUUUGAGGAGCUUCGUGACUAGGUAUCAUAAGGAGGUUACCAAUCUAGGGGCCUUUGAUCAUCCGGAUGCUCAGGAGGGAUAAAAGAAGGGGUUGAGAAUUAAUCAAUUGUGGAAUAGCUUAUAAAGUAAGGAGAUAACAACAUAUGCUAAGGCAUACGACCAGGCAAAAUUAGAUAUGAAAACUGAAGAUGCAGAGGAAGAAAAGAUGAGAAUGGAAAUGCAAACAGGGGGUCUAGUGAGAAUGGGAGACCUGAGAAGGAGAGGAGAUAACUUUGGGUAUAGCUCGAGGAUGAAAACAAAUGAUAUGUGUCAUUACGACAGAAGGUUGUUCAAUUACAGACAACCAGAAAGGCCGAGUCGAGAUUGGGAAAGAAAUCAUGAGAGAAGAGAAAUCUUAUUAAUCGGAAGGGGCCGAGAGGGAUGAAAUAAUUAUAAGAGGAAUCAACGGAAGAACCGAGUAAGAGGCUACAAUAGGUUGCCACCGCCUGCAGACCAGAGAGAAUUGAGAUUUGACCAUGUGGCGACCUUACUAGAGCAGAGUGGAAGAUACACAUCACUGAACACGAGUUGAGCAGAAAUAUAUGCUGCAAUAAAAGAUAAGGGGUUACUAACACCUUCAAAGCCGAUUGUAGGGGGUCUAGGCGAUAGUGCUCACAAAAAAUAUUAUGAGUUUCACAAGGUGACUGGACAUGGAAUUGUCGAUUGCAUAGACUUGAAAGAACAGAUUGAAUGGCUAGGGCAAAAUCAAUAUCUAAAGGAGUAUAUGGAUGACCAAGGAAGAGGUGGGAAAAGAGGAGACAUAAGAGAUAAUGUAGCGAUGAUGAUUAUGGGAGGGCCGACCCUAGCAGGAGACUCAAACCGCGCGAGGAAAAAUUAUAUUAGGUAUUCAUUAAAAAGUUAUGAGGUGAAUUUUAAUGUUCCGACACCAAAGAAGCAGCGGGUUCAAAGGGUGCCGAUCAUGUUCACGAACGAGGACGAGGAAGAGGAAGCGGUUGCACAUCCACAUGAGGAUGUACUUGUAGUAAAGGUUGCCUUGGCAGGGCAGGAAUUAAAUCGGGCUCUUGUAGAUAGGGGAAGCUCGGUCGACAUUUUGUUUAAGCAAACUCUGGACAAUCUACAAAUAGGAGACCUUAGGCUUGAUCCAAUUAGAGCAUCGCUAAAGGGCUUUGGUAGAGUUGAACUGAUUCCCAUUGGGUUGGUUGACUUGCCACUGACAAUAAGGUCCAACCCACUACAAAAGACAGUGAUGGUGACAUGGGUGGUAGUUGAUGAACCGAGGCCUUAUCAAGUUAUUUUAAGCAGACCAUUCAAUAGGAUAGCAAGAGCAGUAAGCUCAACCCAUAUGCAAUGUGUGAAGUUUAAAGUUCAAGGUGGGGUUGGAAUGAUGAGGGGCCAACAACAAAUAGCUCAAAGUUGUUACGCUACAGCUGCAAGAGAAUCCAUACAGAUCACGAGUAUCGAUCCACAAGCUGAGAAUAUAUUGUACCAACAACGACCUAAUGAAGAAAUGAAACAAGUGCCAGUAGGUGAGGAUAAUCAUAGCAGAGUGGUAAGAGUGGGAAGAAAAAUGACGGAUGACAUUUCCAAUGAGCUUCAAAAUUUAUUGAUGGAGUUCUAGGGCCGAGCUGGGAAGGAUCGUACAAAGUAUACUCCUUUGGUAAUAGGGCAUAUAAGUUAAGUUAUCAGGAUGACAGGGUUGUCGCCAAGGUAUGGAAUGCAGAGCACCUGCGGAAAAUACUACCAGUAGGCCAAUCUUACUAAUGAUGUUCUUGUUUGUUUGUUUUCUUUAAAUAUGCUAGGAAAGUUUUUUUUUUUAUUUCAAUUUGUUAUGUGUUCAAUUCUGUGAUUUCUGUUAUAUUAAUAUCAAUGAGGUUAUUCAGAAAUGCAACUCUAUUUCUUACCUACUUGUGAUCGGUCUUAUUUGAGAUCGGCAUAUUUGGGCCUUAUUGAGGUCCAAUGUGAAAAACUUUAUCCAAUCUUAUUGAGAUUAAGAUUGGCAUUUUGGCAUUGUUGAGGUCGAACAUGAAAAUUUGUCUAAUCUUAUUGAGAUUAAGACCAGCAUUUUGGGCCUUAUUGAGGUCCAACAUGAAAAAUUUGUCCAAUCUUAUUGAGAUUAAAAUCGGCAUUUUUGGACCUUAUUGAGGUCCAACCUGAAAAAAUUUAUCCAAUUUUAUUGAUAUUGAGAUCGACAUUUGGGUCUUAUUAAGGUCCAACGCGAAAAAAUUUAUCUAAUCUUAUUUAGAUUGAGAUUGGCAUUUUGGCAUUAUUGAGGGCGAACGUGAAAAAUUCAUCCAAUCAUAUUGAGAUUGAGAUCAGUUGUUGGCCUUGUUGAGGUCAACGUGAAAAUUUUGUCCAAUCUUUUUUAGAUUGAGAUCAGCUCUUGGCCUUGUUAAGGUCCAAUGUGAAAAUUUUGUCUAAUUUUUUUGAGAUUGAGAUCAGCUAUUGGCCUUGUUGAGGUCCAACGUGAAAAAUUCAUCCAAUCUUUUUAAGAUUGAGAUCGGCUGUUGGCCUUGUUGAGGUCGAACGUGAAAAAUUUGUCCAAUCUUGUUGAAAUUGAGAUCAGAUGUUGGCUUUGUUGAGGUCAACGUGAAAAAUUUGUCCAAUCUUUUUUAGAUUGAGAUCGAAUGUUGGCCUUGCUGAGGUCCAACGUGAGAAAUUCAUCCAAUCUUAUUGAGAUUGAGAUUAGCUCUUAGUCUUGUUGAGGUCCAACGUGAAAAAUUUGUGUAAUUUGCUCUCUCUUUACCACUCUGUUCUCUCAAGUUCAUGGUUUGUGUAUUUAUUCCGACGGUAGCAGUCGCCGCCGAGAUCGACUGUUGGCCUUAUUGAUGUCCAACAUGAAAAAUUUGUCCAAACAUUUUGAGAUUGAGAUCGGCUGUUGGCCUUACUGAGGUCCAACGUGAGAAAUUCAUCCAAUCUUAUUGAGAUUGAGAUCGGCUCUUGGCCUUGUUGAAGGGCAACAUGAAAAAUUAUUGAAGUUGGUCAUAGCCUUAACAUUAAAGUUCUACAAUUUUUAAUUUGUUGAGGUCGACCAUUGCCUUGUCAAGGUCGGCCAUAGCAUUAACAUAUUAUUGAGGUCGGUCAUGGCCUUAACAUUAAAGUUUUACAAUUUUGAAUUUUUUUGAGGUCGGCCAUUGCCUUAACAUUAAAGUUCUAAAAUGUUCAAUUUUGUUGAGGUCGGCUAUUAGCUUGUUGAGAUCGGCCAUAGCCAUAACAUUUAAGUUCUAUAAUUUUCAAUUUGUUGAGGUCAGCCAUAUCCUUAACAUUAAAGUUCUACAAUGUUCAAUUUUGUCGAAGUCGGUUAUUAGCUUGUUGAGGUCGGCCAUAGCCAUAACAUUUAAGUUCUACAAUUUUCAAUUUGUUGAGGUCAGUCAUAGCCAUAACAUUUAAGUUCUAUAAUUUUCAAUUUGUUGAGGUCGGCCAUAGCCUUAACAUUCAAGUUCUAUAAUUUUUAAUUUAUUGAGGUUGACCAUUAUCUUGUUGAGGUUGAUCAUUCGGUCUUAUUUGCGAUUGAGGUCGACAAUCGGAGAGGUCAUAUUUUCAAAUAAUCAUCCUCUCAUAUGAAAAUCAGAGUCAAUAGUUGGGCAUUAUUGACUCGGACUUACCACGAUUAAGGUUGAGGUCGACAUUUUAGCCUGAUAAGACCUAUGGUCGAGGUCGACACUUUAGCUUUGUGAAGUCUACGGCUGAAGUCGACAUUUUAGUUUGGUAAGGCCUACGAUUGAGGUCUUCAUUUUAGUUUUGUAAGAUCUACGAUUAAAGUUUACGUUUUAUCGCGGUAGGAUCUACGGCUGAAGUCGACAUUUUAGCUUUGGAAGAAUCUAUGGUUGAGGUCGACAUUUGAGCUUCUUAAGGUCGAGAUCUACAUUUGAGCCUUAUUGACGUCCUACUUGAAUAACUUCAUUUGUUUUUAUUUGAGAUUGAGGUAUACAUUCGACCCUCAUUGAGGUCUUACCUAAAUAACUAUCCGGUCUUAUUUGAGAUUGAGAUCUACAUUUGAGCAUUACUGAGGUUCUACGUAAAUAAUUAUCCGAUCUUAUUUGAGGUUGAGGUCGACAUUUUGUCUAGGUAUGGUCUACGAUUGUGGUUGACGUUUUAGCUUAGUAGGGCUUACUCUAUUGAGGUCGAUAGUUUAGUUGAGGUUGACAUCAUAGAAUGUGUUGAGGUCGACAUUUUAGUUUUCUAUUUUAACCUUAUUAAGGUCGACACUCUAUUUUGUUGAGGUUGACAUUUUCUUUGUCGUGAGGUUGGCAUUUUAGCUCUACACUUAACCUUGUUGAGGUCAACAGUCUAUCUUGUUGAGGUUGACAUUUUCGUGAGGCCAACAUUUUCUUUGUCGUGAGCUCGUGAGGUCAGCGUUUUGGCUCUACACUUAACUUUGUUAAGGUUGACAUUUACUUUGUUGGGGUCAACAUUUUCCUUAUCGAGAUUGACAUCGAAAUGAUAUAGUCUUGGUGAAUUCAAGGUCAUUGCUCGGUCUUAUUGCUACCAAAGUUGACCAUAUCUAUUUGUUUGACCUCAACAGAGUCUUAGAUGAGCUCAGUCUACGGAAUGAAAGUCAUAACCAGCCCUAGUAAAUAAAGAGUAAAAAUGACAAGGUCAAUAUAAUAAUUAUCAGACUACAAAAGCAAAUUAAAGUUCAGUAACAUAUGGUCUACACAAGUUCAUAUUGCACAAAGGGGCAAGCAUUGUAAUAAUUAAACUUAGGAAGUUCUCUUUUGGUCUUCAACAACCCUACUAGUUAGGGAGACCUCACCCUCAACCCCGGCCCUAUCACCUCGAGGCACUUAGUCAUAGUUAUCUUCUUGGUCCACACCUGAAGGUUUCUUCCUACCCUUCUCUUUGCUUACCGUUCUGCUCUACACCGUCUUUCUUUUGCUUUCGGCCAUAUUGCUCUUUCUUCUUUCUUUUAGUUUCCAAUACUGUUCAUAUCUUCUCAAUAUUGAAAACUAGGGGACUGGUGUUGGGUUUUGAGAAAAUUUUCUAUUUUUAAAUAAUCAGUUUCCAACACCGGCAAUGACUUUUCGGUAUUGAAAACUGGGGGACUGGUGUUUGGGUUGGAUUUUUCUGGUAGUGUCUCGAAAUAUAAUCAAUCAUAAUCUACUCAGAACUUAUUGAUGUUGAACUGACCUCAUAAGUAAAACCUGGAGCCUAUGUUGGCGACCUGGUUUACAAGUACGACCUGAGGUUUAUGUGAAUGACCUAGUUUAAGAAUACAACAUCAAGCUUAUAUGAGCGACUGAGAAAUUCAUAUGUUCAAUUUGAAAGUGAAGUAAUCCGACCUCGAAAUAUAUUUGUCCGACCUGAGAAUUAGCUUGACAUGGAAAAUUGCUAGUCAAGAGAACGUGGCCUAAUUUCUAGGGAAGUUGUGUGCCACGAUUUAUUUAAACCACUUCUAACUGACAACCACUUGCAACUGCUGAAGAAAGCGGGUUGAAGUUAAGGAAGUAACCAUCCACGACCAAGAGCCUACUUAAACUGAAGAGCGCAUCAGGUGAAGGGGUUAGCAAAAUGAACCAAAGCUUCUACAAGUUUAAACCUUCUCUAUAAGGUUUUCUGCCCCUUGACCAGAAAAUUACUUGACUUUUAACUCAUUCACAAUCCUUCAUUAUCAUUUUUCUCCCUUUAUACAUAAUUUCUAACUUAAGCAUCGGAGGGUCUAUGCCGGAAACCCACUGGCGUAUCCUAACCGUGUUUUCUAGUUAGCAAGUAUAGAAAGUUGCGAUCAGACUGGCGUUUGAGCUCAGAUUCACGUUGUAAUUCCCCAAAAGAAAUAAAUUCAGUUGUUGAGGUCGUUUUUCGGCAUCAACAUCACAGAUUAAUAAAAUUCAAACCAAAUCUAAUCCAUAUGUCUGCAGAUUGGAUGCGCAUUUGACUCAAUUCAUAUCCAGUCCAAUAUUUUGUGGAUUUAUUUGUGAAUUAAACAAUUUUAAUUUUUUUACCAAUCUAUGAAGUAAUUAAAUUAAAAAAUCUAAAUAUAAAAAUAAUUUUUUUAACAGAUUAAAUUCAAAAUUGAAUAAGAUUUAAAUAAAUUAAUUGUUUAAAUGGAGAUCGAAUAAUACAUUCAAAAUUUUAAAAUAUAACACAUCGAAAAGAAAAAAUCUCAUUUUUUUUAGAUCAAUACAUGAAAAUUAACUAAAAUUAUUAAUUUAAAUAUAUACAAAAGUUGAAACUUGAGAGUUUGGAUGUAAUAAGAAGAAAUUAAGAAACUUGAAGAACUUGAAAAUAAAGUAAGAAAUUAAGCUUAAUUACCUCAAGUAGUGUAGUGAAACAGUGGUGGCUUGUACAUGCAGUGGGGUAGAGGUUUGAUGUUAUAUGCUAAAAUGUCUUGUUUGGCUUAGGGUUUUUUUGUUUUGCUUUAGAAUUUUCAAUGUUUAGGAAGCUAUAUUUGCUUUUUUAAUUAUUCAAAUAUUUAAUUUCUUAUUUUAUAUUAUUAUCGAAUAAGACACAAUAUGGUAUUAAUUUAAUUAUAUUUUAACUUAUUUAAUUAUUAGUAAGUAGCAAUGCUACGUUUAUAAGUUUUAUCUUUUAAUUAAAUAAAUUCUUUUUGCGUAUUUAUGGAUUUUUGUAUAUUUACAGAAGUAAAUCCACAUCAAAUUCACUAACUGUGGAUUUUCAAAUUUUCAAUCCAAUCCAAUCCACCAAUCCACAGAUUGGAUUUUUGCGGAUCGAAUUUUUUCGAAUCAAAUGGAUUGAUUUGCAACCCUGAAAAACUUGGAAAUAAUAGACCAAUAAAUAUGAAACACCCGUUAUUACUCUUGAAUUUGGGACCAUUAAACUUGAAACCAAAGUAACUUGGAACUUAGGGCAAUGAAUAUGAAAAAUAGGAUCACUAACUUGCAACCCUGAAAAUCACACAAAUUAUAGAGCAAUAAAUAUGAAACACCUACCAUUAAUCUUGAUAUUGAGAUCAUUAAUCUUGGAACUUAUUUUUUAUUAUUAUAAAACUAGUUUUUUACUAUUAAGUGGCCCUUACAAGUAAAAUAUUUAUUAUUUCAUUUCAUUUAAUUACUAUGUUAUUUAUUAUUAUUUAAUUCAUUUAAGGGUAACCGGUUGCUCCCACUUAUUUAUUUAUUUUUUUAAUGUUUGGCUGCCACUUGGCAGUUGAACAAUUGCAAAGUUUUUUAAUUUUUUUAUUACUUGCAUGUAUCUCAUACAUGCGUGUAUUGUAGCAAAUGCCAAAUGAAAAUAAUAAUAAUAAUAAUUAAUUGUAGUAUUAAAUAUGAGGAAAUGUCAUUUUUCACUAGAUCUUUCAAAGCGUAGGAUGAUAACGAAGGACCUAUAAAAAAAUUUAGAAAUGAUUGACCUAGUUUCCAGUAGAUAAUUUAAUUUACAUUUGAUUCUUAUUCCAAAUGCGUCGAGUCAGUAUGUUAAUGGGGAUGCAAGAGAGUUUACAGAAACUCCAAUCAAUGUUAUCAUAGUAAUUUUGGUGGUUAAAAUUUAAUUGUGAAUUUCGGUUGAAUGAUUUAAUUUACAUUUCAUCUUAAUAGAACCUACAAGUUUUUCAUUCUUUAUUUAUUUAUUUAUUUUUUCUCAAUGGAUGUUUGUAAUGUCCAAGUUAGUUGAUGUCAUACAUUUGAUCGAUGUGGACUAAAACCUCUUUGAGUGACAAAAAUAAGAAGACAAAAAGAAUAUUACAAAACAAUAAAACAAUUGAAAGACCAAGUCCUAGUGGCCACCGGUCUAUUGAAUUCCAAUUUAUCUUUGUUUCUCUUCUGUGUUGUUUCACUAAGCUCACUGACUUGUUGUCUUCAAAUAAAAAUAAGCGAAGAAACUACUACUAUAAAUUCGCUCGAAUUGAACAAUUUUUCUGCACUAUUGUGUAAUUUCAAUUCGAUUCAAGUUAUAUUAAUUUAUUUGCCUUUGCUAAUUUAUCAGUCUUCUAUAGUGUCAAUGAGGUCGGCAGCCUUGAAUAGAGUAGAAGUUUCUUCACUUGUUUUGUUUAUCCUAUUUUUUUGUAACAAAUUUCUCAAUUACUUAUCGUCUGAUUCUGUUGAAGAAUCUGACGCUCUUCUCAAAUGGAAAGCCAGCCUUCAAAACCAUAACCACGUAUUCUCUCCUUAUCCUGUCCGCAACACCACUAAUGUUUCAUUAAAGUCCCCCCCAAAAAAAAAAAAACAACGUGUGCUUGGUCCGGAAUCAGUUGCAAUGAUGCUGGAAGAGUCAUCAACAUCAAACUCACAAACACAGGAUUAAGCGGUACGAAUACAGGGGAUAAAGGGGUUGCGUGGAGGGGUGAAAGGAUUUCGACUAUGUAAAAUUCUAACGCCACCCAAUAAAAUAAUAAAAAUAAAUUAUUUCAGAUAAAAAAAUAUUUAAUUUAAUUAAUUUAAUCAUAUCACGUUAAUUUGUAUAAAAUAAAUUUAUAUAAAAAAAUUAUAAUUAAGUUAUUACUCUUGUAAACAAGCACCGAUAUGUACGGUAUGCUAUUUGUGUGAGUGUUCUAUCCAAUUUUUCAAAUAUGAUUACUCUUAAAAAAAUGAAAAACAUGGAAACAUGGACCCCAUCAGACAUCACGUUGGCCCACUAAACUUGAUGAUUACGUCUUUUUCAUGCACCCCCCCCCCCCCCAAAAAAAACAAUAGCAACGACACCGUUUUUGCUUAGUCUUUCCUUUCGUUUUCGUCAGCCUGCACAAACACUUGCUUAUGGGCCCCAUCUCUGCGAAGACCACACCGUCUGUUCUCUUUGUGAAAAGAAAAUAAAACUAUUUAAAAAAAAUCUCUAAUUUUGUAUUAAAAAAAUCUCUAAUUCACUCUAUCUUCUCGUGAUAAAUUGAAUUGAAUUCUUUUAUUUUUAAAAAAAUAAAAAAUCAAAAUUAUUCAACUAAAUAUUCCUUUUGAGAAAUUAUAAAAAAAAAACUAUAUAGUAGUGAACGUCCUUGCAUGAACAUGACCUUAAUUCAAUUUAUUAAACAUGCGUAUAUGUCAUAUAGUUUACAAAAUGUAACACUUAUUUUCUUUUGGAUACCAAACAGUAGAUGUGUAUAUUAGGUUGAAGCAAAUAUAAUAUCAUAAACUAACACUAUGUUGUAUCAUAUUUGGUAAAAUAUUUAGUGUUGACAUCUUAUGACAAUAUUAUUAAAUCUUCAAUGAAGAUUAUUCAUUGUAUUAAACAUUUUUUAUGAAAUAUAGACCAUAUCUUUCGUUACAAUGCAAGUUGUCAAAAAAGAUUGUCUCAACUUUGUAUUAGGAUUUUAUACUUAUAAGUACAAAGUAUGAUCAAAACCUUACACAUUAAAAUUGUUCCAUAACUUAGCUAUCAACAAAAGAUUUGAUGAUUUCUUAAUUCUUAAUUGUAAAUAUUAGUAUAUUAUACUACAAUAUUAAAUUUGCCUUAAUUUAUUAUUAUCACAUUAUAAAUCUAAAGAAUUAAUUUGACUUGGUAAAAUUAUUACGGCAAAGAAACGUAUAUCAAAUUCAAAUAAAAAUAAAAUUUACUUGUAGUUCAGCUAGUCUUGGAAUGACAUAGUACUCGUAUAGAGUUACGAUGCUCAAUACUUAUUAUCUAAAGUUGUAUUCUGUUGCUUUGAUUUUUAUGCUUGGCUAGAUCCCAGCCAAUUAUCUUGUUAUUUUUUAUAGGUAAUUCGGAAAUAAAUGAAGUCUAUUGUUCAGAAAAAUAAUUACCUGCAAAAACCGUACUCCAAUUUCAAUUAUUCGUAUCCAAAAUCUUACAAAAAGGUAAUAAUAUUCCGAAUUAAUUAAAAAAAAAAUGAUACGUAAGCAGGGAAGAUCACACGAAACCUACCUAAAAUUGCAAAAAAAAAAAAAAAAAACACGUUCAUUCCAUUUAUCGCGAUACGGUAAAUGCUUAACAAAAUGUCAUAUCAAUUUCACCAUCAAAACUACGGUAUUUUUUUUUAUAUAUUAAAGAUUUUUAAAAAAAAGUAAAUAAAAACAAAAAAAAAAGCAACAACUGUACUGGAACUCACCGUUCCCAAUUUCCUAAUGAACAAAAUAAAUAUAAAGGACUCGUGCGUGCCUUCCAUUUCCCUCCUGUUUUUGUCACCCGCCUCGUCCUCAUCUGGCCACUUGUUUCCCCCACUACACCCACAAAAACGUCACCGUUUCAUGCUCACUCCUUCCUCACACCCCUCCUUUUCCCCACAUUCCUUCAUAUCAUGUCUAACUCAAUUCAUUUUUUUUAACAUCAAUAAUAAUUUUAUCGAAUAAAUCAAUCAAAAUGUAACUGCAAAUUAAAAAUCUCCUUCAGCUUUUGCUUCUUCUCAAUUUCGAUCGACUGUGACGAUAUACCAAAGCUUCAAUUUUUUUUCAGUCAACGCCUUUGCUUCAAGAUUUCAUUUUACCUUCCUUGAAAAUCAAACCACACCUAAUUUGCUUUAAAAUUCUUUUUGCUGAAAUCAAUUCAUUUUUUCUUAAUCUUGUACCCAGAUUUGCUGUUUUUGUUUAGAGUUUUUACUUUUUAUAUUUUUGUGCGGAACUCAGCAUGACUUUGGUUAAAACUUUAUAUUAUUUUAACAUAUAAUUAGUCUAAUUUAUUUAUUUAUUGAUUUAUUAAUUUUUUAAAUAUGGUUUGGGACUUUUGAUGUUUCAUUAUUUAUUGAACACGAUGGUAUUGUAAAGUUUAAAGCUUUUUGCAUGUGAAUGACUGGAUAUGUGUACACUUUCAUUGAUGUUUAGAUUCAUGUAUGUGGUGGUCUCUGAUCUGGGUACACGUUACAUUUUAAUUCUAUGGCAUAGUUCAUUUAACCAAAUUUUGUUGUUACUUGAACUGAUGAACGCGAAUUUCGAAGUGAAUACGAUCGAUUGGAUUUUGUAAGAUUCCUUUGUAGAAGUAUUUUAAUCCCACGAACAGUAUGAUUCACCAAAUAGCUUUGGGAGUGGUAUUGAUUCUAUUCUUGUUUGUUUAUUCAUAUAAGAACUUUGAGUGGUUCUGAUCGAAUCCAGCUUAAAUCUAGGUAAAAAUGUGUUAAAUUUAGGUUUAAAUGUGUUUUCUGAGAGAAGCUUGUGCUAAAUAUAGGUUUAAAUGUGUUUUCUUAUGUUUGGGGCAAGUGACUUAGAUAAGGUAAUUAUGUGGUGAGUUAAAGUGAUAUGCAUAGUAAAUUGAGGUGGUCGUACGGAGAAUAAUAGAGAGAGAGCAUUAGUGGAAUUUUGUAGGAGUUAAUAUAGAGAGUUGAUAUUGGGGGCUAAAUUGUGCACAUAGUAGCUCAAGUGUGCUUGAUGGAUAAUUCAAAUGAUCUCACGAAAUAUUUAGCGUAACUAGAGUAGCUCAGAUAAGCCCAUACGUAAAACAUAAUCUCGAUCUUAAAUUGACAAUAUAGUAAAGUAAGCUUAAAUAUAAAGAAUGCACAAUAUUUAUGUGAUUUGGUCUUUGGCCUAUGUCUAUAAGAGCAAGUCAUUACUAAUCCACUGUAUAAAUGGGAGAUUACAUGAAAUUUUAAGAUGAAUAACACAAGCUAUAUAGUGAGAUAUCUAUAUAGAGAUGUUUGGUAUUGAUAAAUAUGAAGAAGGUGAAUAAAGACAUGAAGAGUGAUAAUAUAGUAGAAAAGAUGAUGGGGGUGGAGAAUAGAAAAUGGACCUUUGAAAAAUGGAGAAAUUUGUGAUGAUCUAAAAGAUAGAGAUAGAGAGAGGAGAGCCCAUAAAUAUGGGUGAAUAGGACAUUUAUAUAGUGGAGGCUAAUGGUAAAGAGAAUUCAUAAAAUUUAGGGAUAAAUGUCAUGUUUAAGUCAAAAGAAGAUGAAGCUUUUAGGGCUAUAUGUCACAUCGGGGGGAAAAUGGGUAAGAAUAUUAUUUUUUACCUAGGUUCAUUUUUUAUUAUAAAUAUUUUGGAGUGUCCAACAUUGACUAUCGAUUUCCAAAGCCAUCCAAUGUAGGAAAUUCUUCUAAAUGGCAUCUUUGAUUGCUUCAAAUAUCAUGCCCAUUUUGACCUUGUAACUGUCUACGUGUCCUCCAUUUCUUGCUCCCAAAGUAUCCUUCCAAAUUUGCCCCCGAACAAGAUCCCUAGUGUUAAGUCCAUUAUUUAUAGAGUUGGCAUCUUAUGGCAAGUCUAGUUAAAUUGAAAUUUUAUUUAUUACAUAUAUUGUAAUAGGUAUUAAUUUAUUAAUUCCUUAAUUUAGUGAGAUUCUAAUUUAUUGGGAAUAUUUUUUUCAUAAUAUAAUUAGAUGCUAAUUUAGAAAGUCUAUUAAUGAUGGGAUUGUAUAAUUGGCGCAUAAGAUCUAUUUAGACCAAGAAGUUGGUUCAAACAGGAAGUUCAUUAAAUGUUCUAGAUAUUUCUUGGGAGACAAGUAAGGCAAGAAGAUAUAUUUAUUCAUAUUCAGAUUCAUAGGAAUUAUAAGAGGAAAAAAACUUUUAUUUAAAAAGUAUCCAAAUCUUUUAAGAUUUGUUAUUUUUGUGGAACCCUAAAGCCUAUAUAAAGAGAGGUAUUUCACAAUUAAAGACGCGCACAACAAAGAGCAUAAAGCAGAGAAGCAAAAUUCGGCCUCCUCGCUAGAGUAUCUGGAUUUGGCGCAUAAUGUUGUGUUGAUUUAUUUAUAUCUUCUUUUCAUCUUUGUGGAGAGUCUAUGUAGAUCUUAGAUCACUAAACGUUGAAGAAUUAAAGAAUUGCUAGUGAUCAAUUUACGAAACGCCUUGAAGAUCAUGGAUCAAUAGGGGUAGCUAUUAUUCAAGAGAAGCAUAUUCAGUCUAAGGUUGAGUAAAUUGUGUGGUGAUAAACUUAAUUGUGAAUAGUUCACAGUGAACAAUAAUGGUAAACAGUAACAGUGAACAAUAUUUUAAUUGCCUACAUCUAUUUGUGAUAGAUCUAAAUUCCUUUCAAUUGGUAUCAGAGUAGGAUACUAAGUAUUUGGUGAGAUUCUUGGAACCUAUGUCUAUUUUGUAGGUAUGAGUUUGCAAAACGAGGGAAGCUUUUUGGCUUGUCCACCUGUACUAGAUGGGAUGAAUUAUGCUUAUUGGAAGCAAAUGAUGGAAAUUUAUCUGACAACUAUUGAUGAAAGAGUUUGGCAAUGCGUACUCACAAGAUAUACUCCACCUAUCAAAAUUGAUGAAGAUGGUGUAAAAUCUCCUAAGCCAGUAAGAGAAUUGACUAAUAAUGAACUUGAUGCUUCUGGAUUUAAUGCAAAAGGACUUAAUGCCAUUGUUAAUGGAGUUGAUGUGUUUCACCGCCAACUAAUUUCUACAUGCAAGACAUUUAAAGCUGCUUGGGAUAUACUCCAAAGUACUUUUGAAGGUGACAAUACAGUAAAACGUUCUAAACUUCAUAAACUUACAUCUGAUUUUGAAAACCUAAAAAUGCAUAAACAUGAAAUCAUAUCUGAAUUUAAUUCUAGAAUCCUUGCUAUGAUUCUAGAAUUCUAGAAUCCUUGGAAAACCUAUUUCUAAGGAAGAAAUUUGUAGAAAAAUCUUAAGAUCUUAAGAUUUGUCUAUCCGAGAUAUCAUCCUAAAAUUUUGGCCAUCGAAGAAUAUGCUAAUUUGUCUACCAUGACUAGAGGUUCACUUAUAGGAAAAUUGAUGGUUUAUGAGACUAACUACUUGAAUUUGAAUUUGAAGGAAAAAAAAAAGUAUUGUUUUGCAGACUAAAACACAAGUUCCCGUCGCCAAACCUAGUGAGAAGGAUAAUCCAUAUGUGUACGUUGAUAAUUCUCUUGCACUCAUUAGAAAGAAUUUCAAGAAGAUUCUUCUUAUCUUAAUUCUAAAUUGUUUGAUCUUAACAAGCUUGAGGGUAUUCAAUAUAGAGAAUGUGGAGGCAUAGGACACAUACAAGCACGAUGUGCUAACACUCUCAUGAAAUUGAAAGCAAUGCAAUCCAUCUGGAGUGAUGAUGAUUAUAAUGAUAGCAUUGAUGAAGAGGACCUUAUUAGAGGACUUGUUUCCAUAAUGAUGUGUCAAAAUAUACUAAUGGCAGUGAACAGGAAUCAAACAUCAGAGAUGUAUCCACAUCUAAAGCCUCGCAUUUAGCUUCUUACAAGGAAGACACUAAUUCCCCUCUUGACACAACUGUGCAACAUGUUAACAAGAAUAAUGAUUCAGAUAGUGACAUCAGUGACAUUGAUAUAAAUAACAAGAAAGUUUUUUAUGAAAGCUACAAGAUGAUGUUCGCUAAAUAGAAAGAAGUCUACAAUGAGAACGUGACAUUGAUGACUCAAGUAUCCAAUUUUUUGGAUGAUAAGGUGAAACUUGAGAGUAAGGUAAUUCAUUACAAGUCUUUACUUACUGACAAAGAUAACCAAUUACUUGCAGUGAAACCAAAAAGUCACUUAAGAUGAUGAAUUUUGGAACUCAGAAGUUAGAUCAUAUCUUGUCACUUGGCAAACCUAGCUCAGAUCAUUAUGGUCUUGGAUAUCAACAUAGUAAAGACUCAAAUUCUCGAGGUGUGUUUUGUUAAAGCCUCUCAAGUUACAGGUUCUCCACCAAUAGUUAAAGUUCUAUAUCUUCAAAAAAGUAAAAUUGCUACACAUUCUUCACCGGUUCAUCAAGAUAAGAACAACAUGUUUAUUCCCACUUGUCAUUUUUGUCAUGUGAAAUGACAUAUAAGACCUAAUUGCUUCAAGCUCAUUAAAUAUAUGAAAAAGGCUAUGUUCUUUAAUUAUUCUUAUGGAAAACCAAGGAUGACAUCUAGACCUAAGGUUGAGACAAGUGAAAAUAAACCUAGAACUACUUGGAUGAGGAAUACUGAUUAUAAAACUUAUGUUUCCUUUAUUUCCUUGAGAAAUUGCACCACUGAUUUUUAGUACUUUAAUAGUGAUGCUUCUAGACACAUGACAGGUGAUAGAAGUGCCUUGAUCAAUUAUCAAAAAGUUAAUUCAGAAAAUGUAACUUUUAUUGAUGGCGUGAAAAGUCGAGUGCUUGGAAAGGGAACUUUGAAUGUGGAAGGUUUUCCAAAACUUGACAAUGUUCUGCAUGUGGAAGAUCUCAAAGCAAAUUUACUCAACAUUAAUCAAAUUUGUGAUCAAAACUUGUUUGUCAACUUUGAUAGGAACAAAUGCCGUGUCGUCGAUGUUAAUGGAAAUUGCAUUUUGGAAGGACAUCGAUAAUCUAAUCAUUGUUACAAAUUAACUAGCUCAAUUAUUUUUCAUAAAAACACUCUUGAUGACACAGAAUUCUGGCAUCAAAAGUUGGGUCACUUGAACUACAGAUUACUUAUUAGAAUUAUGAAAACAGGUGCUGUAAAAGGAGUUCCAAUGCUUAAAAAGAAACAACCUAGAAUAUAUGGUUCAUGUCAAUCUGGAAAACAACAAAGGGUGUUGCAUAAAGCCAUUCAGGAUAAAGAAACAUCAAAGAUGCUACAACUACUUCAUAUGGACCUUAUAGGACUAAUGUAGGUUGAAAGUUUGGUUGGAAAAAAGGUACACAUUUGUGAGUAGAUGAUUUCUCUAGGUAUACAUGGGUUGACUUUAUUAAAGAAAAAUCAGAAACAUUUAAUGUGUUCAGAAAACUAUGUGAAAAGGUUAAAAAUGAAGAAAAUUGUAAUAUUGUUAGAAUUAGGAGUGAUCAUGGAAGAGAAUUUGAAAACUCAAGUUUUGAAUAAUACUGUAAUUUACAUGGAAUUUCACAUGAGUUUUCCUCACCUAUUACUCUAGAAUAGAAUGGUUUUGACUUUGAUGAAACCUUUGCACCUGUUGCUAGUCUCGAAUCUAUUCAUUUACUUUUUGCAGUUGCUUGUUUAAUAGGCUUUAAAUUAUUUUAAAUGGAUAUUAAGAGUGCCUUUUUUAAUGGCAUUUUAAAUGAAAAAGCCUAUGUUGAACAACCUAAAGGUUUUGAAGACCCCCAUUUCCCAAACAAUGUUUUUAAAUUGAAAAUAGGCUUUGUAUGGUUUAAAGCAGGCUCCUUGAGCUUUGUAUGAAAGGUUGACCAAAUCUUUACUUGAAAAUAGCUAUAAACGAGAGGGAGUAGAUAGAAUACUAUUUAUUAAGCAACUUAAUUCAGGGAUUUUAGUUGUUCAAAUUUAUGUUGAUACAAUGUUUGGUUCUACUUCUUCUGAUCAUGUGUAAGAAUUUGCGAGUCAAAUGAAAAUGGGAUUUAAGAUGAGCAUGGUGGAAGAAUUGACUUACUUUUUGGGUUUUCAAGUGAAACAAAUGGAGAAUGGAAUUUUUGUUAAUCAAAGUAAGUAUGCCAAAAGUUUAGUUAAGAGGUUUGACUUAAAUUCUGCAAAACACAUGAGAACCCUUAUGAAUACUAAUACCAAGUUGACAAAUGAUGAUAGUGGUUCUAGUGUUGAUCCUAGUCUUUACAGAAGUAUGAUUGGUAGCUUAUUGUAUUUGACUACAAGUAGACCUGAUAUAUGUUUCAAUAUUGGUGUAUGUGCUAGGUACCAAGCAAAUCCAAAGGAAUCACACUUAGCUGCUGUCAAACGAAUCAUUCGUUUUGUUAGUCGAACAGUUAAUGAUGGUAUUUGGUACAUUAAUGACACUAAUUCAAGUCUUGCAAGAUAUAGUGAUGCAGAUUGGGUUGGCAAUGCCUAAUAGAAAAAGCAGCACUAGAGGAUGUUUUUAUCUUGGAAAUAACUUAGUAUCGCAGCAUAGGAACAAAACAGAAUUCAAUUUCUCUUUCUAUGACUGAAGUUGAAUAUAUUACAAUUGGAAGUUGCUGCACCCAAUUACUCUGGAUAAAACAAAUGCUUGCAGAUUAUGGUAUGGUUCAGGAUACUUUGACUGUGUUUUAUGAUAACAUGAGUGCUAUCAAUAUUUCUAAAAAUCUUGUUCAACACUCUAAGACUAAGAAUAUUGACAUUCAUCAUCACUUCAUUAGCGAUUUAGUUGAGAGCAAGACCGUGUCCUCAGAAUACAUUGAUACAGAAAAAUAGCUUGUAGAUAUUUUCACAAAAGUUUUAAACUCCAAACGAUUUGAAUCUUCAAGGAAAGCUUUAGUUGUGUGUUCCAUGUAAGUCAAAAUGUUUUUUUUUUCUUUAGUUUUAAAUCAUGCAUUUGUGCAAUUAAAUAGAGGACAUGCAUUUAUAAUUUUUUAUUUUAAAACAUUGUUUUUGUUUUUUUAUAUGACAAGCAAUUUUUCAUGUUUGUAAAGAUUUGUGGUCAAAAUGGUUUUUUUAAUGCUUGUUCUGAAAAAUUUCCGAACUUUUUUUUGUUCAAUUUCUUUAUUAAUGCAUUUUUUAAAAAAACAAUUUCAUGAUGCAUGUGCAUUCUCAUGCUCUUACAUGAUGAUAUGUUUUUAGAUCUUAAGAGUCACAUAUUGUUCAAGAAAAACGCAAAUUUUUGUUUUCUAAAGUGCAUUGACAAGCUUUUACCCAUCACAACUGAGCAUGUUACGCUCUUUUGAUCUUAACUUUGUUUUCAUAAUUCUAAAUUCAGUUCUGUAAAAUUCUAUGAAAAGUUGAUUCAAUAAGCUUUCCAACGGUAUAUAGAUCACAUUCUGAAUCUCUUUUAUUCGUUCUCAGUUGAAUUUUGAAAUUCUUUGCUCUGCACUGUGUGUUUGUUUCGUAAAGUAUCAUGCAUGGGAUUUCACUUUUGCUAUUUUCCUUUUUGUUUUUGACUUGUUCGAGUUGGUUUAUGUUUAUUUAUUGAUCUGGAACGAAAUCAAUGAUGGUUGGUGCAUUAAAUUGGAAUAAAAUCUUUUUUGUUAAUUCUUUCCUUAUUGUUGACCGAGAGGAGAUUUAUGUAUUUUUCGCUAUGUGUAAUGGAUGCCAUGAAUUGAACGAACGACAAAGAUGUGCCAACAUGAUUUAUGCAAUUUUAUCUAAGAAUUUUCAUAGAGCUUAAUGAAUCUUUGCAUAUUUAAAUUCACAUAGAGAUUUAGUGGGUUAAUAUGUGAAGGUAUUUUCAAUAUUACUCGAGAGAGGAUAUUAAAUAGAUUAGGGAAAUUCACUGUCAACAUGGGUAAUAAAUUUUAAUAAAAUAGAUGGAGGGUUAAAUUGGAUUGGUUAUGGUGAAAUCGGAUGUCCUAGUAUCUUUAUCUUUUGGUGAUUUUUAUUACUGUCUGCAUAUUUAUUUAAAUUUUAGUUUUUUUAUUUUUUAUUUUUUAAUCUAAACCCACUUAUUUGGUUGUUCAAAUAAAUUAUGGUUAGAAUAAUUUCGAUAACUAAUAGGAUCUACAAUCCAUGUGGGACGAUACUCUACCCUUCAUUAUAUUACUUAUGCCGACUAGUACACUUGUUAAUUUAUGCAUCAACCCACAUAUUUUUGAGUUAAGGAAUAGAAACUUGAUUCACAUGGGAUUGAGAAUCAAGUUUCCAUUUAUUGAACUCACCAUUUUACCCCACUCAUAUUUCAUAAUUUCAUUUUUUUCAUCAAUUAAAAUAUCAUUAUAUUAAUGUUACUGUCAUUAUUCUAAUAAUAAUGAUAAUGAUAAUAUAAUAAUAAUGAAAAUAACAACAACAACAACAAUAAUAAUAACAGCAAAAAGUAAUAAUAAUAAUAAUAAUAAUAAUAAUAAUAAUAAUACUAUAAAUAAUUAUUAUAAUAAUAGUAAUAAUACGUUACAGUCAGUAAUUUCAUCAUUUCACAAGCCACAUCCAAGGGAUGAUCAUGUGCACCUUGCGGAUCUUGUCGUUUAUCAUACCCACCUUUCAAAAAAAGAAGAAGAUGAUGUGGUGUGUGCGUGUGUGUUUAGAACUCUACCUUCAAGUAGUGUUUGGUUUUAAAAAAGAGGAGAGGAGGAUAGGAGUGCGAAAAUUGAUUUUUAUUGUUUGGUUUCACAAGAAAUUUUAAGGGAAAGAAAUUACAUGUCUUUUUAUUUGGAAAAGUAUAUCCAUUGGACUUUAGUGUUAAAAUGUUAAUAUUAAUAGUAAAUCUAAUAAAAAUAAUUAAACUAUAAAUUAAAUUAAACUAGAAAUAAAUUAAUAAGAAAACAUUUAAUUUUAUAUUAUAUAUUUAAUCAAUUCAAUAUUAUUUUAUAAUCAAAAUAACUAACCAACAAGUCGUAUAUCGACGUAGAAGAACACGACAUAUUGACUUGACUUAUCGAACAUUAAGACGACAAAUCAAACAACUCGCCGCAUUGACUUUGUUGACCUCCCAAUUGCUCUUGCGUGGGGUUUCUAUAAAUUUGGCGUCCAAGAUGCUCGUUUUCUGCACCGUUGUAUGUUUUCCAAAAGCGAAGAGUCAUCAAAAGAUCUUUUGAAUUUCAAUAAAACUUCGGUUUAACUUUAUUUAUUUGAUUGUGUUUUUAUAUUAUGUUUCAAUGCUGUCACCAACUCUCAGUACAGUAGUUCCUUCACCUGUUUUAUUGAUCCUAUUUUUUGUGUCAAGUUUUCUCAUAACUGUUUCUUCGGAACCUAAUGAAGAAGCGGAUGCUCUUCUCAAAUGGAAAGCCAGCCUUCAAAACCAUAACCGAUCUCUCCUUUCUUCUUGGAUUAAGGACACCACCAAUGUUUCAUCCAAAAUAAGCCCAUGUGCUUGGUCCGGAAUCAGUUGCAAUGAUGCCGGAAGAGUCGUCAGCAUCAACCUUAGAGAUAUAGGAUUAAAAGGUACGCUUCAUGGUUUCUCAUUCUCAUCGUUUCCUCAUCUAGCGUAUCUUGAUCUCACCGGGAGUGGAAUCUUUGGUACUAUCCCCCCUCAAAUUAGCAACCUUACGAAUCUUAGCAGCCUUUAUUUAGGAUCCAAUCAAUUGUCAGGAAAUAUUCCACCAGAGAUUGGUCUUCUGAGUCAUUUAAAGUUCCUUUUUAUGGACACGAACCAAUUAGAUGGCCCAAUUCCACCAGAAGUAGGUCAGUUAAGUUCUAUGGAGAUGCUUUUCUUGUGGUCUAACCACUUGAACGGUUCAGUCCCUCCUUCUUUAGGUAAUUUGAGCAGCAUUUCUCUAUUGUUCAUUUAUGAUAAUUCAUUUUCUGGUUUCAUUCCUCCGGACAUUGGAAACUUGAAAUCUAUUUCCAAUCUAGAUUUGAGCACGAAUAAAUUUAUUGGUCCAGUCCCUCUUUCUUUUGGUAAUUUGAGCAACUUGAAUUAUUUAUACCUCUAUGAAAAUUCACUUUCUGGUUCUAUCCCAUCAAAUUUAGGAAAAUUGAAGUCUCUUGUUAAUUUACAAUUGAAUGGAAAUCAACUCACCGGUUACAUUCCACGUUCCUUUGGAAAUCUAACCAGUUUAUCAACUUUACGUUUGUCUGGAAACAAGCUUUCUGGUUCCAUUCCAGAUGAAAUAGCAAAGAUGAGGUCUCUUAGCAUUCUCGAUUUGAGCCAAAAUCAAUUUAAGGGGAUUCUUCCACCGUUUGUUAAUAAUUUAACCAACCUAAAAGAAAUAAUGCUCCUUUAUAACAACCUAUCCGGUUCCAUUCCACCCUCCCUCGACAAUCCUGUGUUAACUAUGCUAGGAUUGGGUAAUAACCAUUUUACAAGUUAUUUACCGGAAAAUAUUUGUCGAGGUGGAGCAUUACAGUAUUUUGGCGUUUCUGAAAACCAUUUUCAAGGAACAAUCCCUAAAAGCUUGAGAAAUUGCACAAGCUUAAUCCGAGUACGCGUUAAUGGAAAUAACCUUACUGGAAAUAUAUCAGAAGCUUUGGGCAUUUAUCAUAACCUGACUUUCAUAGAUCUCAGCCGCAAUAACUUCUACGGUGAAAUCUCAUCUAAUUGGGGGAAAUGCCCAAACUUAGGCACUCUCAAUGUUUCGAUGAAUAACAUUACUGGAGGUAUACCGCGUGAGAUUGGAAACUCGUCUCAACUACAUGCACUCGAUCUUUCAUUGAAUCAUAUAGUUGGGGAGAUUCCAAAGGAACUUGGGAAGAUACAUUCUCUAACCAAGCUCAUUUUGCGCGGGAAUCAACUUACAGGACGUCUACCUACAGAAAUCGGCUCAUUCAAAGAACUUGAAUACCUUGACUUAUCUGCAAAUAGAUUCAACAAUUCAGUCCCAAAAAGUCUCGGUAACUUGCUGAAAUUGCACUACUUGGGCUUGAGCAACAACCAGUUUGUCCAAGAAUUGCCAAAGGAAUUGGAGAAGCUAGUUCAACUUUCAGAAUUAGAUGCAAGUCAUAACCAUUUUGGAGGAGAGAUACCAUUUCAAAUAUGCAGUUUGAAAAGCUUGGAAAAGUUGAAUCUCUCCCACAAUAAUCUUUCUGGUUCGAUUCCAAAUUGCUUUGAUGGAAUGCACGGUCUAUCAGUCAUUGACAUUUCUGAUAAUCAAUUACAAGGCCCAGUUCCAAAUAGCACAGCAUUUCGGAAUGCCUCAGUGGAAGCGUUAGAGGGGAAUAAGGAAUUGUGUGGAGGUGUGAAAGGAAUGCAACCAUGCAAAGUUUUCCCGUCACACAAGCAAAAUUCCGGAGCCAAGUGGUUUGCAAUAGUGUUCCCUGUGUUAGGAGCACUAUUUGUUUCAAUGGCGCUGAUAGCAAUUUUCAUUCUUCGAAAGCGGAAGUCAGACUCAGGAGAUCGACAGAGCAGCAGCCAGAACCCUCAGGAAUUGUUUUCUAUAUUAAAUUUCGACGGGAAACUUGUGUACGAUGAAAUUGUUAGAGCAAUAAAUGAUUUUGAUGCAGAGUAUUGCAUUGGAAAUGGUGGACACGGAAGUGUUUAUAGAGCUGAGCUACCAUCUGGGGAGGUAGUAGCUGUCAAGAAAUUUCACUCAUCACUCCCAUGUGAUCAGAUUGCAGAUCAAAAAGAAUUCUCGACCGAAGUUAAGGCCUUGACAGAGAUACAACAUCGAAACAUUGUGAAGCUUUAUGGAUUUUGCUCACAUGCCCGACACUCUUUUUUGGUCUAUGAAUUUCUUGAAAGGGGUAGCUUGGCUGCUAUCUUGAGCAGUGAUGCAGCAGCACAAGAACUGGGUUGGAGUCAGAGAAUGAAUGUGAUCAAAGGUGUAGCCGAUGCUUUGUCUUACUUGCACCAUGACUGCUUUCCUCCGAUUGUCCAUCGAGACAUAUCAAGUAAGAACUUGUUGCUGGAUUUGGAAUAUGAAGCUCAUGUUGCAGACUUUGGAAUUGCUAAGUUUUUGAAGCCAGACUCGUCCAACUGGACUGAAUUUGCAGGCACAUACGGAUACGUUGCACCAGGUACUUAGUAUUCGUUUGUUACCAUUUUGAGGAAUAUUUAUAUGUUAUGUGCGCCGUAACAGAACAAUGCAAAUAGAUAUUGUUGAAAAAAUUAUAUAUUACAUUCAGUAGACUUGUAAAAGCUUACUAGUUUAUGCACAUUUAUCUGAGAAACAGAAUAAACAUUUUUCUUUUAUCUUUUUUGGUCGUUGACCUUGCAGAGCUUGCUUACACAAUGAAGAUCACAGAGAAAUGCGAUGUGUACAGUUUUGGAGUUUUAGCGUUGGAAGUGAUCAAAGGGAAGCAUCCAAGAGAUUUUCUUUCUUCGAUUUCAUCUUCAUCUCUCAACACGGAUAUAGAACUGGAUGAAAUGUUGGACCCGCGUCUUCCAACUCCAACACGCAGUGUUCAAGAAAAACUGAGAUCAAUCGUGAAGGUUGCGUUUUCAUGCUUAAAUGAGAGUCCGGAGUCUAGACCAACUAUGAAGAUAGUCAGUCGACAAUUGCGGAUUUAACCUCAGCUGCAUGCCUGGACUUAGUCUUAAAUUUCUAAGUAUACUUGUAAUUUGCUUGGUUUAUUUCUCUCAUGUACUGUAGUUUGUUUGGUCUAGUUUUCAAGAAUCAGGAGGCGUUGGUUAUUACGUCAUCCAUAUAUACUUGGUAUAUGGUGUACUCUUUUCAUUUUUAAAUAAAAUAAAGUUUAGUUAAAAGAACGCAUGGAGCAGUGGUGAGCACAUUUGAGGACAUGUGGAGUCUGUACAAUGAAGACCAAGAUUAGUAAGACAGUUUGUAAUAAUAAAAAAUAAAUGCACGUACGAGAAUCUAUGUUAAUUUUUAUUACAGUCUCUGAGUUCUAACCAUUUUUUUUUAAAAUUCCUGCCUAGUGGCGUAUGUAUUAUACAAUCUGGGUACCGUAUAUCUAUUGGGAGUCUGAUUCAUACAUAUGAAACAUUUAGUGACAGAAUAAAUUCAAAGGGUUAUUUUUACAUACCUCCCCUGAGAUUUUACGUAAUAACAGUUUAAUAGAAAGUAUCUCCGUAUUUUUACAUCCCUCCCCUGCAGUUAGUAUUUCCGUCAGUUGACCGUUAAUUGAGCAAUAGGAUGACGAAAAUACCCUUUCAAGGCUGACAGGUACAAUUUCCCAGCAAAUUUUGGCAGUGUAAUGAUACGAGCGAGCGUGGGCUAGCAUGCUUUUUUUUUUUUUUUGAAAAGGGAAAGUAACACUUUCAUAACUUCAACAAAGAUAGUACAUCCAUUAUAGGAGCUGGAACACCAACAGCGGAAUCACAUGGGCCACGGGAGGGUUACAGAAAAAUGUUUCAUUGUCUUGUAACUUUCUUUUUAAUUAAUUAAUUAAAAUAAAUAAUUUUUUUUGAAUAUUCCUUGAUUGGGUGGCAAAUUGUUGUCUGCCGGUUGGGAAAGAGUUAAGAACAAAGUUGUAUUUCAAAAUUAUAAAACCUUCAUAAAACCUGAAAAUAAAUAAAACGGGCAAAGUUAUAUAUAUAUGUAUAUACAUCGAGCAUCUAAAAAUAAAUAAAACGGACGGUUUGGUGGUAGAGAAAUGAUUCUUCAUUAAUAUUGUUUUGGCUUUAGACAGCAGUAAAGUUGACUUUUAAUCAAAAGAAUAUGAUGCAGAAAGUUAGAAAAUGACUUCCAUUCAAAGAAAGGAAGCCAUUCGUUUUGUUACUAUUAUUUGUUUAAGGGAAAAAGAAAAGAAAAGGAGCCACAAGAAACUGGUGAUCAGUGAAGGAAGCAAAAUUAAUUCACCACUUACUACUUCAUAUUUAAACUUGGAAGUGGGGGAACUGUAAACAACUCAACAAAUACUCAGCAUCACCAAACAUUGGAACUGUCAAAGAAGUUCUCUCCGAAACCCGUAAACCAAAACCAAAGCCAAACCCAAACCCAUACCCAGUUUUCGCUGCUCAUAUGAAACAAGAGUUGCAGCAACAACAAGAACGAGAACAAGAGAAAGAGGCCAAGAUUAGUGAUAGCCCCGCAAAGUUGAAGCCUUUGCCAAGAAUGCUCAAGAAAAGCAGAACUUGAGCAACAUCAAUGAGGAAGAAAUCAUGUCUCAAGUGUCCGAGAUUUGCAGCGUCAGCGUCAGCGAGAGCCUCUCAACGAUGACUAAUGUCACUGACAUGAGAGACAUUGAAGAGGGCGAGCAAGAAGUGAGGCAACGACCGAGAGUGAUUACUAGAUCUCCGGCAAAGCCGCCGCCGAGAAACGGCUUCAGAAGAGACCGGGUCGUCAACCAAUCCCCCACCAGGAGAUCCGACCAAUCACCCGCCAGACGAAUUGGCAGCGGGUCCCCAGUUCAGAUUCAUAACUCGGGUCGGGUCAAAUUCCCCGGGAGAAGGGACCAGGGCGAAUGCUUGGGAGGAAUGAUUGGAUGAGAAAGGAUGUGGCUCUUAGGGCUCAUUUUGUUUUGUGAAAUUGGGAAUUAGGGGAGCGAAAUCGUGGGCUGCAACGGCGAGACAUGGUGUGGCAUGAAGGAAUCACCGGGAGGGGUGACCGCAUGAGAGAGGACGUGGUUGUUAAGGAUUUACUGUAAUAGUUUUCCCUAAAAAAAAAAUAAGAACCUUAAAAAAUUUUCGAUUUUUUUUUAAUUUUAAAUGAGAUUUUACGAUUUUAGCCUUGUAUACUGAUGCUAUACAUAACUUUGUGAAAUUGCAGGGGAGGAAUGUAAAAAUACAGAGAUAAUUUCUAUUAAACUGUUAUUACGUGAAACCUUAGAGGAGGUAUGUAAAAAUAACCCUAAAUUCAAAUUAAUCCGGGACCACACCAUUUUAUCCUGAGGCCACAAUCUUACAAGGUAAAAUCAAUGAUUUUUAUAUCAAGAAGUGACAUAAAAUUUGUUUCCCAACUUUUUACAUAUAUUAUUUAUUGCAGGAGAACUUUACGUGAAGUGAUUUAAUUUGUAUAAAAAUGAGCUAACUUACUACUUAUUUUUUUGCUAUAAUUUAUAAGUAAUGACGUCUGCACUAAUGAAAAGUUUCAAUUAGAUAUACAAGUUCUAAUGUAGUAUGCUAGUGAUUAAAAAUAAAAUAAAUAAAUAAAUAAAACAUUAUCCUACUGUUUAUUUGUUGGAAACCAAAUGUUUAAAGUAACUUGAUUUACAAGAACCCGGUUCGCGAGUCCACGUUUUGUCUAGGAAGCCUCAGUAGUCUUGCAUUAUCACAUCACAAUUAAUAGAAUCAUCAAAAAUAGCCUUAUUUUGAUAUAAUAAAGAUUUGUACUUCUAAAUUCAGCAUUUGAGUUCGUUACGAUGAAGUUUCUAAGUUUCUUAAUGAACUAAAAUAAUAUCCUUUGUAUUUUCUCAUCAAUAAUAAUAAUAAUAAUAACAUCCUUUAUUAGCCGAGUCAAGUAUAAAAGGUGCUGAUGGGCAAGCAUGUCAAAGCAGGGUGAUUCGCAAUUAUCACAAAUGUGAUCUUAAUUAGCUCUGUCUAAAAAGCUCAUCUUGGUAAUCUUUUUAAUACUCACUAUAUAUAAAUAUACUCUCUUCUGAGAUCAACUGAUUAAAUUUGUCUUUCACCUUGCAGAGCUUACUUAGACAUACGAUUGGAUAUUUGUCUUAUUUUUUCAGGGCAAUUACCGCGACAUUAUUAAGAUUAGACAUGAUUAAUAUGGUGUGAUUAUUUGUAAGAUUAAGGAAUCAAAAUUCACAGUGGGAAUGAUUGAUACUUUUUACUUAUUACAAUAAAAUGGGGAAUCUAAAUAAAUUAUGUGGAACCCACAUAUUUUUGAGUUAAGGAAUAGAAACUUGAUUCACAUGGGAUUGAGAAUCAAGUUUCCAUUUCUUGAACUCACUACUAGAAAAAUGAAAAACACUAAUACUAAGUUUCUGAUACUAAAUAAAAAAGUAUCAAUAUUUAAGCGGUUUUUUUAGUUUUUUACACAUAAAUGUCUGUCUUCAUUGACACUAUACUAUCAUAAUAAAAUAUUGACACUAAUUAGAGGCGUAAUCUUAAUUUUAUUUUUAUUUUUUCUAUUUUCCUAAAUCUAAACGGUGUCGUUCUGAUUGCUAAAAUGUUAUCGCUAUAAAUUAAACACUUGGGGGAAUUUUUUGGCUACUCGUUUCCCCCUCCUUCCAAAAUCGAUUCCCUCACUCUCUUUCUAUAGAAACUGCAAAACUAAAAUCAAUGAGACAAAACAAGAGCAAAUGAAAUAUUGUUUGAAGAAACUAAAAGUAAAUCAAAACCCACAUUCCCAACAAACCCUAAAUCGAAACUCACAUUCUCAGUAAAUCUUAAGUUGAAUCUGAAACAGCAACAAAUCUAGGGUUUUUGUUCAGCAAAUCAAAUCGUUCAAUGGGUCUCAAAUAGGUUGUGCUCGGAUACGCCGCGGCUGUAGAGGCCAUCAUAGUGCUGCCGCUAACACUUCCGCUACUCGACAGCCUUCGAUGCGGGCUAGUUGCUCUGACGCGUAAUCUCAUAAACCUGUUCUUGUUGGUGGUGCUAUUUUGUCUGUUUCUACUCAUGGACAUCUACUGGAAGUACGAGAUGUACCCUCCUUGAGAGGGCAACUCGUGCACACCGACGGAGCACUUGUGUCGCCAGAAGUCUAUCAUGAAGAGUCAACGCAAGUCGCUGUUGAUUGCAUCAGCUUUGAUGUUCUAUUAGUUGCUGUACUCAGUGACUCAUUGUAACAUAUGUAAAAAAAAAAAAAAAUGAGGUGGUUAAAAAGUUAAUAAAAGCAAAAGAGGAAGCUGGAAAACAGGGGAAACAUAUACACGUGGAAGAGAGUGAGAGAGAAGCUGUCAAACCCGACCCAAAAACCUGACCCGUUUGACCUGAAAAUUGACCCGGCCAUAUCUUGCGAUUCCGACCAUCACACCCCAGCCAUCCACAUCGCCGAAAAACAACCAAAACGCCGGCGACCAAGGCUUGAAAAACCUGCGACUUUUCCACUUUGCUCCGCCGGGAUUUUCAUCGGUUUUGGGUGACACCACUAGUUGGAUUUUGUUCCCCACAACUCCCUCUUCAAUUUCCGACCAUCCGUAGCCACCAGAAGUCACUGUUUCACCACCUGUUAAUUGUUGGAGUUUCACGGCUGCUGAGCUAGAUUCCGACGUCGUUGCCGCGCAUGGGAGUUCACCACCGGCACUAUUAGACUCAGCAGGAUUGGAACUUUCAGACUUGAGCUUCCCACCCAAUGUCGACUAAAUUUCGGUGAUCGUUGACCGGCAAGGGCAUUUCAGUAAUUUCAAACUCUGAGGGCAAUUUUGUAAUUUCUGAGCCUAUGGAUAUUUUAGUAAUUCCUGGAAUUGAGGAUUGGGUGUAAUUACGAUUCCGAGGGUAAUUCGGUGAUUUACAAUUUCAGAGUAUUUUAAUGAUUUACGGACUCAAGGGUAUUUUAGUAAUUUUAUCAACACGAGAGUUGUAAAUUAUGGAUAGAUGUUCGUUUCGAGUUUAUUGCAUAAAUUUAGUUCUAAUUCCAUUUUACGAAAAAUAAUUUUGUCGGUUCCUUGAUUUAAGGGGAUCCGCGAGCGAGAACCGAUCCGCGGACGUGCAUGAUAACCGAGCGUGAGCACCGUCACUGUGAGUGGGAUAUACAAAACCUAUUUUCAUAAUUAAUUAUGAUAGUAAAGCAUGUUUGUGAAAUAAGUGUUUUAAAUGUUCUGAUUUAAUGAUUUCCUCGAAAUGGAUUUUAUACACGCAUUGAUAUUAUAUUAAAAUGUUUGGUCAAUGGUUUUCCGUAUCGACAUUGAAUAAAAUAUGAUAGUAUUUUAAAGUUGAGAAAAGUGGAUUUAGAUGUGAUAAUGAAAAGAAAUAUAUGAUUUAAAGUAUGAUUAGAAUGUACAUGAAUAUGAGUAUAAAGAUUGUUUUCAAAAGCAUUAGACAGUACCCUUCCCUCCAGAUACAAUGAUACAGAUGAUAUGAGAUGAGAUGUCUUUGGGGUCCGUCUAAACACACAUAGAGGCUUUGGGCGCUUCUACCAUUUGGGGGCAUAUGCAUGCGGUAUGAUGAUUACAGAGAUACAGAUAUGAGAUACAGACAGAUAUUGAGAUACAAGUGAGAUACAAGCCUUUGGGGCCUGUCUGAGUACACACAGAGGUUUUGGGCCGUGUUCUUGGGCGCUUUUGUCUUUUGGGGACUAGAUUAUGCAUGUAUGGAUAUGAUGAAAUAUUGUGAGAUAUGAGAUGAUAUUUCCCUAUCUAUCCGUGUAGCUCUGGGGCAUGACAGUACCCAGAUAGUACGUCAUUGCCCGUCCAUUGAGGUCCGGAUACGACGAGAUUAUUUCCCAGCGUACUUGUUUGGUGAUGAUUUUCAUAUUUGUGUAUUAUGUAUGAUAUUGUGAUAUGAUUGCCAUGGUUAUUUGGCACGAUAUUAUAUAUGCUUUUCAUGGUUAGUAAUUUGAUUUAAAUGUUAAAUGAUUUACUACUGUUUCUUGCAUAUGGUUUGAUGAAAUCGUGUUUGGAAAUGAUAUAAUUAUUUCUUUUAAAGUAAGAAUUAAUUUUCAAAAUCUACUAUCCACUCACUGAUCUCACUCAGUUUUAUACUCAUUCCGCUUUUAUUAUAUCCCCCCCCCACCAGGAGAUUGCAGGUACACCAGAUCGACCCAGCGACUGUAAAUAUAUUUUGAGUCUUGGUCAUGUGAUGGUGUUAGAAGAUAUAUGUGAUUUUUGUUAGGACGUCUUGGUUAUCUCGUUCUUUUGGGAUUGUAUAAUUUCGUUAUAUUAUUCUUUUGGGGAUUAAGAAUAAAAUGAGGUAUAUUAAUAUUAGUUAUAAUAUUAUCUUUUGAGACUCUGAAGAUAUCUUGAGUAAAACUCAGCAUUUUUGUUGAGGAUGUUGAACAUUAGGGUUUGUUGUAUAUUGAAUUAUUUUGGGAGUGUUAUAUUUAUAAAGGUGACUCUGCCGAAUUUACGACAGAAUCCUUACUAAUAGAAUUAUUAUCAAGUCCAUUUUGAUGAGACUAGAUUGACUCGCCCAAGGGGAUUCGGGGCGGGUCGGUUCACUCAUCUUGUAGUCAAGAUCAAGCAGUUGAAACAAAGGAUUGAGAGGCUCAAGAAUAAGAAUUUGAUAAAUAGGUAAAGCCGGCUGCCUAAUUUUAAUUCCUCCAAUUUUGACAUAUAUAUCGAAGUGAAAUGUAAUAAAAUUUUGGUUGUUGUAACUUUAAAAAUUUGCAUCUUGGAUCUGGGUUGUUAAUUUAAUGGUCACUAUAAUUAUUGCGCCCACAUAAUAGGUUUCAAAUUAUACACGAAUUGUUAUAUUAAUUGUUCUGCCUAAUUUUCUAGCUAAUAACCGAAUGAAAAUCCUAUCACAGAAUAUACAUGUUCAUUUACCAUUUUUGAUUUAGCCAUCUUGAGGUCGUUAACAAUAAUUCUCUUUUAUUUUUGAUAGGUGGCAAGAUUCAAGUGUGUAUAUAAACUGGAACUGUAGUGUUGCAAGGAGUAAGAAAAAUAUAAUUAUUAGAACAACUUUGAUAUGCUAGUGAAAGCACUUGAGCAUGAUUUAACUUUCGUGAUUUCCUCUGUGCAAUUGUGUGGCUCUGAAACAACUAAAGUUUUGAGGAAAUCAUAUUUGAUAUUACUUUCUUUUUUAUGCUAUUUUGGCAAUGUUCAUAUGAUUUGGACACUGUUCAAAUUGGGAUCACAAUUGACAUUUUUUUUCCCUUUGUUAAGAAAGACAAAAGCUAUUGACAGCAUUGGCCAUUUGAUUUUCUUUUCUCCCGAUACAUUAUUCUUAAGCUUUUUAAGUACAUUGUCUCGUUUCCUGAACCUUGCAAUUUUCUUUUCUUUUUUCCCUUGCAAUUUUAUUACAAUUCUGAGUGUUUGAUGCUUACAGGUGGAACUUCAGUUUUUCAGAAAUGAAUAUGCUAAUGCUUGGCUAGAAUGUAAUGUUGCUGAUGAACGUGCCAAAAUAUUGGCUUCUGAUCUUAUUGGCUUCGAAGAGAAGGUAAAAAUUCUUUGAUAUGUUGAAUUUAUUUCCUUGAUUUUCCCCCUUUUCGUAUACUGUCAUUCAAGAAGAAAAAAUAGUUAUCUCCUUUGGCUAUUAAAGGAAGGAUUGCUUCUGCAGAAAGUGUUGUAGAUUUAUUGGCAAAUCACUGUAUUGCAGAAAGUGUUGUUUAAUGUAGUUCAACUUCAUGUAUAUAUGCUUGAUUCAUUCAAAUGUGGCAUUGAUUAGUUUACAUAUUCUGAUGAAAUUUCUCCUUUCAAUGACCAGAAUGUUACUCACAGAUUUGAAAAAAGAAAAUAUAGUGUGCGUAAUUAUUUUCAUAUUGCCUAUUGCUAAAAAGAUGCUGGUGCUCUUAUAUUCAACCCUUAACUUGCUGGAGUAUUUCAUUUUUUUUUUCAUCUUAUCCUUUAAUUAGGAUUUCUAGUAUAUCUCUUGGGACCAAUUAGUUAUGAGGCUCAGUCUACCUCCACUUAAUUCACUUGAUAUUAUCAAGCUAAAACCAUUAAUUUAGAAUCUGAUCGUGAAAACCCUAUGGACCAAGCAUCUCUACUUGCUAUUGUUUGACCUAUUUGCAUUUGAGGCAUUGGGUGGAAAAAAACACAGCUGAUAAUACUAAUUAUGAGUUAGGCCAAUCAUACUUUCUGGAAAUGUGUUCAAAACGGCCAUUGCAGCUAAUGCAAACCAUACGUGUGAAAUUUUUAACAAAUAUUUUGGAUUCCUAAAAGAAAGAUUUUAAAUCUUCUUGAUUUUAAUAAUGAGAUUUUCCCAUUCUCUAUGUAUUGUUUAAUAUACUCCUAGACAUUGUAGAGCAUGCCAUAUGUUUGUCCUUACAAUAUAUUGCAUAUACAAGUUAGUUUAAUAUAUGCCUGCAACAUGUUUAACUGAGUAGCUUAGAGAAACUUGGUUUAGCACGUAUAGCAUCUUUCUUUCUAGAUAUAUUGAUAAAGCCCUGUGUAAAGAAUCGAAUCAUCCAUGUUGUUAUUUCUAAUUGCUUCAUUCCUUCUAUCUUUGGAAUUGGAUGAUCCUAUAAAGCACUUUCCAUUCAAUACAGUUACAUCAUGUGUGUGGACUGUGGUGAUGCAAAGAAUGAUCAGUGUUCUUGGUUGGGAUUGAGUUCUUUGAAGUUGUAAUUUUGUAGGGGAUACUCUAGUUAAAGUUUUUUAGUUUAAUUUAUGUUUUCUAAUUAUUAUUACUAUUAUUGUUUUUAUUAUUAUAAUAAGUUACAAAAUAAAUUGUUACUGAUUGCUAGAUCUAAUUCUACUAAGUAUAAAAAUAAUAUAUAGUUUUUUUAGCACGUACAUUGGUCAAAACUAAAUAAUCAGAGCAAAUGUCAAACUGGAACUUGGUAACAAUAAUAGAAGGCUUCAUUUCAAUUAUCGAAAUUAAGAAUCUGCAGAAGCAAUAACCGUGUGUUGGAUGAUGGUGCUGCUACUACAUAUCAGUUUAUAAAUUACUUGUUGUUGGAUGAUGGUGCUGCUACUAUAUAUCAGUUUAUAAAUUACUUGUAGUUGGUAAGCAAUGUAAUAAGUUUUCAACAAUGUAAUAAUUUUUAAAUAGUUCAAUGCAAUGUAAUACUUUUCAUAUUGUUGAAAGUAUAUUUCAAUUCAAAUGCCGAUUGCAAAUUUUCAAUCUCUAUUAUGUUGAUUUCUAUUUUUUUUAAAUUUUUCUCAAAUAAACAUUGAUACCAUAGUAUUGGUAUAUUGUUAUGCUCUUGUACCAAUAUUUGUUUGAUACCAUAGUCUCGUUAUUGAUGUGAUGUUCGAGCAUCAACAUUUUUUUGAUACUCUAGUGACAUAGAUUUGCUGACACAAAUUUUGUGUCAGCAAAUUUCUUACAUCGUGAUCAGUGACACUAAACUCGGUGUCAAUAAAACAAGUUGCUGGUACUAAAAUAGUAUCAGAGAAGACCAUUUUUUUAGUACUGACUCACCCUCUUACCUCACUCAUAUUUCAUAAUUUCAUUUUUGUCAUCAAUUAAAAUAUUAUUAUAUUAAUGUUAUUGUCAUUAUUCUAAUAAAAAUAAUAAUAAUCAUCAUCAUUAUAAUAAUGAUAAUGAUAAUAUAAUAAUAAUGAAAAUAACAACAACAACAACAAUAAUAACAACUAAAAGUAAUAAUGUUAAUAAUCAUAAUAAUAAUAAUGAUAGUUGUGAAAUGUGAACUAAAUACUCAGUCUCGACAUGUCAUAUGUUGAGUAUGUGUUAGCACGACAUGUCAUUUGAUAAGCAUUUAGAACAAAACCGACAUGAGCCAAAAUGUCGUUCUUUGUUUAAGUAGCUCACAUGCCUGGCACGUGAGCUGAAGAAAAUGUUUUCUCUCUAAACGACUAAGUAAGGAGCCGUUUUGAGCAUGCUUAUUCAAGACACGUUGCAAACACGUGACUGAGGCAGAUUCUGUUAUGUUAGCGGGAAAAGCCGCUGAAGAAGGAAUCCCAGAAUCAGUUAAUAAAGAGCUGGAGUUCUGGGUUUUGUAACAGACCAGAAAAUCGAGAGAGGGCAAGAAAAAGGGAAUGCGAGAGAGAGUUCUGAAUAGGCUUGUAAUCUCCAUUUGUGUUUGCUCUCUGUAAACUCUUGAACAAGCAAUAAAGUGAAAUCACAGAGUUUGUUUCCAGUGGAUGUAGGCAUCAUUCAUUUGGUGUUGAACCACUCUAAAUUUGUUGUGUUUUGUUCUUGAUCUAUUUGUUAUUCUUGAUUCUUAGUGAGUUGAUUUCUUCGUGGUUGGUUCUUGAGUAUAAACCAGUGAGUUAAGUGUUCCUUAGGGUGGGUUUAGUCUUGAUAGUUAGGGCUUAAAACACAACAAAUUGGUAUCAGAGCUACUGCUCUCUGGCUUUAUAUUCAAGAAAUGGGUACCAAGAUCGAUCUGGAAAAAUUUACAGGGCAAAAUGAUUUCAACAUGUGGAAGAUCAAGAUGGAGGCUUUGCUGAUCACUCAAGGUUUGGGAAAUGCCAUCGAACCAGACUUCAAGAAAGAGGGUCUGGAGGGCCCUUUUUCUACAACUCCUGACAAGCAGCUGAGAUUGAUAAAAAGGCAAGAAGUACGAUCAUUCUCAGCCUAGGGGAUUCUGUGAUAAGGGAGGUGGCAAAAGAAAGAAUUGUUGCUGGGCUAUGGACAAAAUUAGAAAAUCUGUAUAUGACAAAAUCUCUUGCAAAUAGGCUAUACAUCAAAAAGAAAAUGUUCUCGUUAAGAAUGAUUGAAGGAUCAUCACUUGAUGAGCACAUUGAUGAGUUCAACAAGGUUGGUGAUGCUCUGGAGACAAUUGAUGAAGGCUUGAGUGAUGAGAGUAAAGCACUCCUGUUAAUCAGCUUAUUGCCUAAAUCAUAUGAGCAUUUUGUUGAUGCCCUUUUGUAUGGGAGACAGACACUUUCUUUGGAAGAGGUUAAAUCAGCUCUUGGCACAAAGAAACUGAAAGACAAGCAAGAAAAGGCUGACAGUGAGUCUGGUGAGGGUUUAAUGGCCAGAGGCAGACCUGAAAAGAGGGAAGGCAAAGGGAAGAAAUAGGGAAGAUCUAAGUCAAAACAGAAACAGCUCAAAUGCUUCCAUUGUCACAAGGAAGGGCAUUUCAAGAGGGACUGCCCUGAGAGGAAGUCCAAGAUUAAAGAUUCAAAGGAUAAAGUAGGGAAUGCAGUAAUUGCCACAGAUGAAUCCAGUUAUGAAACAACUGAAGUACUCAUAGCUUCCAAAGAAAAGAUUCAAUGUGAGUGGGUUCUUGACUCAGUAUGCACCUUCCAUAUGUGUCCAAAUAGAAACUAUUUUACAUCAUAUCAAUCCUGUGAUGGUGGUAUGGUAUUAAUGGGGAAUAAUUCCAUAUGUAAAGUAGUUGGUAUAAGAACUGUGAGUCUGAAAAUGUUUGAUGGUGUGGUGAGGGAAAUCACACAAGUCAGACAUGUCCCUGACCUUAAAAGAAGUCUAAUUUAUGUGGGGAUGUUAGAUCAGAUGGGAUGUAUUGUGAAGGCUGAGAAAGGUGUGUUGAGAGUGAUAAAGGGCUCCAUGGUCAUAAUGAAGGGUAACAAAAACAAUGGCCUGUAUGUUUUGAAUGGACAAACAGUCAUUGGGGAAGCAAGUGUAAUUGAGAGUGGUGAGGAUAAAUCUAAGCUCUGGCACUUGAGGUUAGGACAUAUGAGUGAGAAGGGGCUGAAGGAACUGGAAAAGAAAGGGGUGUUUGGAAAAGAUCAACUGAACUCUUUGGGAUUCUGUGAAGACUGUAUACUAGGGAAGGCUUCCAGGAUAAAGUUUGAAUCUGCAGUUCACACUACCAAAGAAAAGCUAGGUUACAUACACUCAGAUCUGUGGGGACCUGCACAGGUAACCUCUCUAGGUGGCUGUAAAUUUUUCUUGACCUUUAUAGAUGAUUUUUCUAGAAUGGUGUGGGUUUAUGCUCUAAAAACUAAAGAUGAAGUCCUUGAAAAGUUCAAAAGGUGGAAAGUUUUGGUUGAAAACCAAACAAAUCUGAAGGUGAAGGUAUUAAGAACAGACAAUGGGCUGGAAUACUGUAACAAGUUGUUUGAGGAUUACUGUGAGAAGAAUGGUAUUUUGAGGCAUAAAACAGUAACAUACACUCCUCAGCAAAAUGGUCUUGCUGAGAGAAUGAGUAGAACAUUAAUGGAGAAAGUAAGAUGUCUACUGAUCCACUCAAAGUUACCAAAAGCUCUUUGGGCAGAAGCCUUAAACACAGCAUGCUAUUUGGUCAAUAGAUCUCCAUCAACAGCUAUAGGCUGUAAGACACCAAUGGAAAUGUGGUUAGGAAGGGUAGCUGAUUACUCUAAGCUCAGAAUUUUCGGUUGUGAAGCAUAUGCACAUGUGAAGCAGGGGAAGUUGGAAGCAAGAGCUUUGAAGUGCAGAUUUCUGGGCUAUCCUGAGGGGGUCAAAGGCUACAGAUUAUGGUGUACUGACUUCAAACCACCAAAGUGCAUAAUCAGCAGGGAUGUAACCGUUAAUGAAGCUGAAAUGUUGAACAAAAGAAGGAGUUCUAAGCUUAAAGAAAAGAAUCCAGAAGCUGAAGAUGAUAAAAUUCAGUUUGAGGUGGAGCAUGCUGAAGACAAGAAGUCUGAAACACUCACAAUAGAAGAAUCAGGAGAGGUUGAUGAUGGAUCUUAUGAUGAAGAUGGAUCAGAAUCAACUGAGAGUGGUGGUAACACUUACCAACUAGCAAGGGACAGGAAAAGGAGAACAAUCAGACCACCAAAGAGGUAUGCAGUUGCAGACUUAAUUGCUUAUGCUUUAUCAGCUGCUCAUGAGAUCAAUGAUGAUGAACCAAAGACUUAUCAAGAGGCAAUCACAAGCAAGAAUAGCCUGGAAUGGAAAAGGGCAAUGGAUGAGGAAGUUGAAUCCCUCAUAAAGAAUGAAACAUGGAAGUUAAUUAAAAAGCAAAAAAAAAAGAAAGGCUGUAAGCUGCAAAUGGAUAUAUAAAAUCAAAGAAGGGAUACUUGGAGCAGAACCUAGGAGGUUUAAGGCUAGGUUAGUGGCUAGAGGCUUCACUCAAAGGGAGGGUAUAGACUUUACUGAAGUAUUCUCCCCAGUGGUGAGGCAUGCAUCCAUAAGAGUCAUCCUUGCACUUGUGGCUGUGCAAGACAUGCAUCUUGAACAGAUGUUUGGCUAGAUCCCGGACAAUUACUUUGUUAUUUUUGAUUGGUUAUUCGGAAAUAAAUGAAGUCUAUUAUUCAGAAAAAUAAUUACCUGCAAAAAUCGUACUCCAUUUUGAAUUAUUCGUAUCCAAAAUCUUACAAAAAGAUAAUAAUAUUCCGAACUAAUUAAAAAACGACACGUAAGCAUACAAGUCCACACGAAACCUACCUGAAAGCGCAAAAAAAAAAAAAAAAAGAAACAAGAAACACGUUCAUUCAAUUUAUCGCAAUACGAGAAAUGCUUAACAAAAUGUCAUAUCAAUUUCACCAUCAAAACUACGGUAUUUUUUUCUAUAUAUUAAAGAUUUUUUUUUAAAAGCAAAUAGAAACCCAAAAAAAAAAAAAAGGCAACAACUGUACUGGAACUCACCGUCCCCAGUUUCCCAAUGAAUAAAAUAAAUAUAAAGGACUCGUGCGUACCUUCCAUUUCCCUCCUGUUUUUGUCACCCGCCUCUUCCUCAUCUCGCCACCUGUUUCCCCCACUACGCACACAAAAACGUCACCGUUUCAUUCUCACUCCUUCCUGACACCCUCUCCUUUUCCCCACAUUCCUUCGUUUCAUAUCAACUCAAAAGUUCAUUCUUUUAACAUUAAUAAUAAUAAUUUUAUUGAAAUAAAUCAAUCAAAAAGGUAACUCCAAAUAUCCCCUCCAGCUUUUUGUUGCUUCUUAAUUUUGAUCGACUAUGACGAUGUACUAAACUAAAGCUUCAAUUUUUUUCAGUUUUUUCAGUCAACGCUUUUGCUUCAAGAUUUCGUUUUACCUUCCUUGAAAAUUAAAGCUCACCUAAUUGAUACAAUUAAAACUCUUUUUUUAGCUGAAAAUUGAUACAAUUUUCACUUCAUUUUUUCUUAACUUUGUAUCCAGAUUUGCUGCUUUUGUUUACAGUGUUUAUUUUUUUAAUAUUUUUCUGUGGAGCUAAGCUUGACUUUGGUUACAGCUUUAUAAUAUUUUAACAUAUAAUCAGACUAAUUUAUUUAUUUGUUGAUUUAUUAUUUUUUAAAUAUGGUUUGAGACUUCUGAUGUUUCAAUAUUUAUUGCACACGUGUAGUGCAGUGGCUUCAAUAAAUAUGGUAUUGUAAAGUUUAAAGCUUUUUGCAUGUGAAUGAGCUGGUGUGUACACUUUCAUUGAUGUUUAGAUUCAUGUAUGUGGUUAUCUCUGAUCUGGGUACACGUUAGAUUUUAAUUUUAUGGCAUGGUCCAUUUGACCAAAUAUUUUUGUUACUUGAACUGAUGAACACGAAUUUUGAAGUGAAUACGUGUGUUUGAUUGCUGGAUUUUGUAAGAUUCCUUUGUAGAAAUAUUUUAAUCCCACGAACAGUAUGAUUCAGCAAAUAGCUUUGGGAAUGGUAUUGAUUCUAUUCUUGUUUGUUUAUUCAUAUAAGAACUUUGAUGCAACCUUCAGAUUCCUUUUGAACCAUGUAGUUAUAUAUUUGGAUUAGUUUAUAGAUGUUUUUUGUUACUUCCGCUCUUGAUUGCUUAUCAUAUGUUAGUUAAAGAGCAAACAUUAUACAAGUUCUUUAUUGAUUAGUGCUCUUUCGUAUAACGGGUUCGUUACUGAUGUUCACUUUCUUAUUUGACUUUGUUUAUGCAGUUCUUGUAGCGAGAUUGUGUAAUUUGAAUAUUCAGAUACUUCCGUAGCUAAUGGCUUCGCCAGAUAUUGAGUCUCCCUGGCUUUGUGCCGCUGGUGAAUCCUUCCGUGCACGGUCGUUUAAUAUACGCGUGGAGAAGGGGAAUGCAGCUGAUAUUUUACAUGUGCUGGAAGUUCCCACCUCUUCUGUACCCUAUAACUGUAGUAUACCCAAGCCACCCCCUCUCCCAUGUCUAUUAACUCAUGGGUGGCUUUAAGUAUAAGCGAACAAGAUGGUCGCCUAAGGCCCUAAGUUUUAGAAAGACCUCAUUUUUUGAGUAUUAGUAAUAAUUCUUUAGUUAAUAAAUAUUUUUAAAAAAAAAAUUGUGUGGUAGAAAAGCCUAUUAGACAUCUCUCUAACUAAUAAUUAUCCUAUAAUUAAUAAUUAUUUUUUAUAUAAAAACCUAUAACUGGUUAUCUUAUUGUAAAAGAGAUAUAAUUAAUAAUAUUGUCUAACCAUUAAUUUAUGCAUUAUUAGUUUUUCCAAUAAAAAUAAGUAAAUUUUUUACCUUUUCAACUUCUUAAAAAAGAUCAAUUAUUCAACAUUAGAAUCUUUGACUUUGCGUAUUCCUUUUAAUUUCUAUUAAAAAUCUUAUAAUCUAGAAAAUCAUAAAUGAAAAAUUUCUUGUUUUCUUCUCUGCAAUGAAGAUUAUUACAUGCAUUAGUUCAUUCAAAAAGAAAAAAAAAUUAGUUACUUGAAAUACAAAGUUGAUAUCCAUUAUCUAACCACCAAUUCAUGAUCUCAACUUUCUAUGUGCUACCAUUCUAAAUAUUCUAUUUAAAAAUAGUGUUAUUCUCAUUUAUUCGUUUGUUUAUUUUUGUAUAAUUUCUAAUGGUAAAUUUUAGAUUUUGUUUUUGAAAAUUUUUAGAAUCUUCUUCAUUAUUUGUUGAAAUUCAAGAACUAAAACUGAAAUUGAUUUUCAGCUCUUUUUUGUUUUAUUGGGUAUUGAAGUUGCUAAAUAAAAAGAGGCCUCAUGAAAAAAUAAAUAAAUAAAUCGCCUAAGGCCCCUGAUACUCUAAAGUCGGUCCUGUAUUAACUCACCAGUAUACCGGAAUGAGCUGGGAUACAGGACUUGUCCUCGGUAAUAAUAUAGACAUCUGCACCAUUUCCUUCCUUGAAAAGCUUAUCCCAUACAUCCUUUGUUUCCUUUGGAACAAAACUACAAUGUAAAAAUCUAUUGGGAUAUUGAACUUUACCUUAGUUCUCUGUUAAAGUAGAGCUACACCGGGUUUUCUCAAUAACAAUUGCUUUAGUACUGUAAAGUAAUUUCACUUCGGAGAUGUUAUGGAUGUUAAAUAGAUGGUCCAGUGGCUAAGUUAGCAAUUUUAGAACCUGCUUGAAGAGUUGGCAUCUAUUCAACAUAAAUAUACAGUGUUUGGAAUUACUCUGUUUAUGAUGAAUAUAGUUUUUAGAGGAUUUGCAUGUUACCGAUUUAUUGGGUCCUAGAUUCCUUGAAAAUGAAUUAUUAUGGGUGUUGAUGAUUCAAAAAGGGGUCCCAGAUAUAUCAAAAUUGCUUGGUUUAAUUUUUAAGACUCGUAAGGCGUUGGUUAUUACGUCAUCCAUAUAUACUUGGUGUAUGGUGUACUCUUUCAUUUAUAAAUAAAAUAAAGUUUGCUCAUUCCUUAGAGGUUUAAUGACAUCCAUCUCUGUAUAUAUAAAAGACUACGUCCAAUCAGAGUUUUGAUUUUAAAUAUAUUUUAGUUUGAAGAGCGUACGGGGCAGUGAUGAACACAUUUGACGAGUUCGAAUGGGGGAUAUGUUGAAGAUUUUUGUAACUAAAAUGUUGUAGCUCAAAACCAACCGACUUUUUUUCUUUUCAGUUGAUUAAAUUCAUGACAAUACAAGAAAAGCUUUUAGUGUACGAGCCUUAGUAUAAUUUUUUAAAUAGAGCUUAUUUUACUAUAGCUUUGUUAACAACAGCUUUUAUUUUUUAAAAAAUUAUGUUGUGAAAGAAAUGAAAUAAGAUUGUCAAAUAUGCAAAUGAUAUUUUUAAAAUUUUAACAUUUUAAAAAGCUUAUCAACAUUUAUUCUAAAAAAUCCAGAAUUUGAGCUUUUGUUUGUAAAGGUAAAAAACUUAUUCAGUCCUCAAAAACUCUACUAAAAAAUUAUCUAACAACAACAAUAAAUUUUAAAAGAAAUUAUGAGUUUAAAUAAAUACUUAUGGUCAUUAGAUAAACGAUGCUAAACAAAGACUGAAAAAUAAAAAAGAAAUAAUGAAAACGCAACAGAUCAGCUUAUGGGAGACACAAUGAGUUUUACCUUCAUUAAAUACAAGAAAUAAAAAAAAUUGAGAAGCUCCACGCAGGGAGCAAGAAAAGUAGAGAACCAAAAGUUAACAUAAAUAAUAGUUUAAAAAGCCAUUAGCAUUUCUUGAAAGAAAAAGUGGAGCUUAUGCAAGAGGUGAUGACCACAAGUGAAGAUCACCAAAUAAAGUCUGUACAAUGAAGCUCAAGAUUAACAAUGACAAUCUGGAGCAGUAAUGCAACAUCAAAAGAAUUUAUUCGGUUGGAGUCAGAAUGAAUGUGAUAAUAUUUGCUCCACGAUUUCUUUCCACCGAUUAUCCAUCGAAGCAUAUCAAGCAAGAAUGUGUUGUUGUAUUUGGAAUAUGCAGCUCACUUUUCAGAUCCAGCCUUUGGAAUUGCCAAGUUUAUGAAGCCAGACUCGUGCAAUUGGACUGUAUGCGCAAGCACGUAUGGAUUUGUCAUUGUUUCUAAUUUAUAGACAAUGAUCUUUAAAACGGAGUAAACCAUGUUUCUUUUUUUUUUUUUCUCAGUUGACUUUGCGGAGCUUGCUUACACAAUGAAGAUCACAGAAAAACCCGACGUGUACAGUUUCGGAGCGUUACACUGGAAGUGAUCAAGGGUAUCUAAGAGAUUUUCUUUCCUCAGUUUCGUCUUCAUCUUCCAACAUGAACGUGCACGAGUAGUUGCUCUGCUAUACUAGUCAUUAUUAUUUGAGUUCUAAAUAUUUGCCUUCAUUACUCAUUGUUGCACAAACUAAUCGUACACAUCAUGCUAUGUAGGCCUCAAUUCGGAACAAAAGAAUGUUAGUUGAAGACACAACACAAAAUAGAAAAAUUUAGUUCUCAGAUGGCCACAAAAGACUAGCUACGUUUUUGUCCCAAAAAAAUAAGAAAUAAGAAAUAAACUGUUUGUACGGCCUCUGUAAACCAACUGCUUCAAUGCCCCAAUUUCAAAUCUAUCAUUGAUGUCAGAAGGAGUCAAAUUUUGAUAAAACGUUUUUGGGAUUGUAUCUAACAACAUUUUUUUUCCCGGUUAGAUAUCAAUGUUUAUACAAAAGCAAAGAUUUGGAUGACAAUUAAGCUAAUAAUUACGAAUAAUCCCAAGGGGUUGGAACUAAGAUUUAAGGUGAACUGCCACGGAGGAGUCAAAAUCAAUCACUAAAAUAAUUGCCAUAGCCUCAGCAUAGUAAUAAUUAAAAAAUAAUUUCUUGCGCGUGUACAAAGAGGUGAACCCCUCGAAUGUAAACUUGAAAGUGUUCACAAUUGGAUUAGUUAAUGGACAAUUCAUAGUUAUUGUUAAUGUUAAAAGAAAGUAAUAGAUUGGGAAAAAAAAUAAAAAAUUAAGGAUAAUUUACAAUUAAUGUAGUCCUUGUGAUUUAAGGAAAAAUCAAGUAAGCCGGAAAUAAUUAGUACUAUUUUUCAAAUAAGUCCUCUGACCGUGUUUGACCAUUCACCGUACUGCAAAGUAAGUGAAAAAAUCGACUUCUUAGCAGCCCACUUCUAUGAUGCGAUUAAUUUCAUCCAUUCGCUGAUUCGCGUGCUGGUAGUUAGGCAAGUUCAUUUGUUGGCUGGAGAAAUUUGAUAUUUUUGGUACCAAAUUUAUACGUGUGUGUGUGUGUAUUUCCUUUAAUUUGUGAAUUUGGUAUUUGUUGUGAAAAUUUUAAUAUACUCGCAAGCGCACGAAUCUAGAGAUAGAAUAGUGGUAACGAGGUCGAUCCCACAGGGAUUGUUAUAAAUUGAAAAAUCUAAUUUAAAUAUAAAAUUAAUAUCAAUUCUAACCUAGUUGACCAAAUUAAGUUUUAAGAGAAAUUAAACUAAUUAAACUAAGAAAACAAUUAAAGCAAAUGAGAAUUCAAUAAGACAAAAAUUACCAAGGUUUCAGAAUCCACCACUAUUCAACUAAUAAUUAUCUAAUUAUUAAUUAAUCCCCAAUUUUAGAGUGACAACUCGAAAUCAAUCUAUGUCAUCUCAUGGAUAUAACAAUUAAGCCCAAGUAAUUACAUCUAAUGUAGGUUCUUUUUCUGCUUAAUAAUAUGAUAUCUAAACAUCCCAUGUAAACGUAUUGAAUAACAAAGAGUCAAAGUUUUCCUAAGUACUAUGUGUAAACAAUUUAAUGAAAGACAUAGAAUCAAAGAUAAUCAUGUAUAAACUUUAUAAAUCCAAGCAUAGAUUUAAUUGAAUAUUAAUCCUAACAAUCAAUAAUGCAUGACAUAAUUGAUGAAAAGAUUUUAAUAACAUCCAUUUAAUCAUGUGAAAUAAAAACCAUAAUCAUUAAAGAACGUAUAUAGGGAAUUAAAAAAAUAAAAAGAUAAUUAUUUCAUUGAAUAGAGUUUCAUCUUUAACCUCAAUAUAAGUAAAUUAGCUAGACAUACUUGAAUUAGGAGCAACAAAAGAGAUAAAACCAGCCAUGGAAGCCGAACUGCUACUGCUCAGCCUUGCGUCUUGCGUCUGCAGCUCUGGCGGCCCCCUUCUCUCCAAAAGCCAAAAGCUUGCUUUUAUAUUACUCUUUAAAAUGGGCCCCACCGACCUUGUUAUUUCCUUAAGUCAAAAGGCUUGGCCUUUUAAUUUCUUUGCUCACUCACGUGCUCACCAAUUAAGCUUGCACUAGGAUUCCUUUUUCCAAUUGUAAAAGCCAAGUGUGGGCCCCUUUAAGUUGCUUUCCAUGCAUUACAAUGCUAUGCACGCCCAGGUCACUUGAAAAAUUGAAAUUCUUUUUUAGUGCAAAUUACUCUUGGCUUCACAUGCUAUAAACUCUUAAUUGUGUCACGGCUUUGAUUGAUUCUUUCCCAAACUUGUUAUUCUUUAUGCACUUUUUAUCCAUAAUCUCCAAUUAAUUCCCUAUUCAAUAAAAAAUACAAUUAAUUAAAAAUAAGAAAUAAAAAUAACUAGCAAAUAUAUAAUAAAGGGUAAAAUAUGUAUAUAAAUUAUGUUCAUCAGUAUUACUUCUGAUCAAGUGUGCGAAACAGAAACAACGGUAUUUAUUACAGAAAUAUUUCUAAUUUGCAGUAUGGAAAGCUUGGAGAUGUUAAAUCUAUCCCAAAAUAACCUGUCAGGUUCAAUUCUAAGUAAUUUUGAAGAAAUGCAUGGCUUGUCAUUGGUUUAUGCAUCUCCUACAUUGAAUUACAGGGCCCAAUUCCAGUUGACAGAUACACAGCCAGAAAAUAAAUAAACUCCGUAUGGACAAACUUGACACUCCCGCGGCCAGAUAUGUUCCAAAAUCUACUUAUAGCCAUAAUUUUGAUACAAAAGCCAAUGGAAUUAUUGACCCUUAUAAAUUAUGAAUUACAUCCUAAUCUAGUUGCUUAAUUUUGGAUAGAAAAUCUUGCUUUGAUCAUUAUACCGCUUAGAAAUAUCAAAUUGGGAUAAAAUUUUAUAUCACAGCUUUCUAAAUAAUUUACUUAUCAUUCAAAUAUAAAGUGGCCAGAGGACAUGCCGAGCGUCAAAAUGAAAGGAGAGAGGAGUAGUAGAUAAGAUACGGGUUAGAAGGAGUCAAAAUUUGAUAAACUUUUUUGGAUAUUAUCUCACAAGUCACAACUUUUUUUCCUUUUCCCCUGUUUGGAUCUCAGUGUUUAUAUAAAGCAAAGAUGAGCGAUGGUGUCUACCAGAUUAGUUCUCUGGAGUUUAGAUCACCGGGGUAACACAGACAUUGACUCCUUCACUUCUCAAUUGCUCUUUUGCUUCCGCUGUAAUUGUUUUCUGCAACGUUGUUAAAUUAUAAAUGAGUGUUUGAUAACCUUUUCAAUUUCAAUCAACUUUUGUAUUACCUUAAUUAUUUUGUUUCCUUUCUGCGUAAUUGAUCUUGUGUUUUUAUAAUAUCAAUGGUGUCACAAACCUUGAAUACAGCAUCUUUUACUGUUUUGUUGAUUCUAUUUUAUACGUGUUUGUAUUAGAAUUUUUACUUAUCAUUGAAAAACCCGGGGAUGAAAUCUCAUACGUACUAAUUAAUUAAAUUUAUUUCAUAAUAAUAAACUAAAUUAAUUUUUUUUAAUAAUUUGAUAACUUUACCUUAAAAGAAAAACUUUGAUAUGAAUUAUAACACUUACUAUGGCAUGAACAUGGACGCGUUUUUUCCCAAUCCAAAGCUUAUCCUAUGUUUGGCAAGGUUUUAUAUACUGGGAGAGGGAUAAAUAGAGAAAAACAUAUCCAUUGGAACCGUACCUUCAACAGGAUAAGUUGGGAAAAGCAAUCAAUAAUUUAACUAAUUAAUUAAAAUUAUUAAAAAAAAAGUUGAAGGUGGGACAAAAUCAAAUUUAUUUUUUAUCCUUUACCUCCCCAUGAUACUAUUCAGUCAGGGCCUAGAGACAAAUUAAAUUAAUUAUUACUAAGAUAACAAUAUUAUAGGUAAAUCAAUUUAUUCUAAUUCAAUUAUUUAAUGAUACAUAUAUUACAUAAAUUAAAAAAAUUAUAGAAAUUUUUAUUUAUAUUUAAUUAACUUCCAUUUACAUUGAUUCAAAUAAUAAGCAGUACCAAAUUUUUUUUUGUUAAUAAUAUAAAAUAUGUUAUUGGCAAUAAUAAAAGAAUGUAUUACAAAUAAUAAUACAUUUAAAUAUCUUGUAAUUUAGAUGUAUAUUUUUAUUAUUUAUUUCAUGUGGGAAUCCUCCUUGUUUUUCAGCUUCAAGUUCGUUUGAUUUAUUUACUUCCAUACUAGGCACAGUAUAUGGUGUUCUCAUCCUUUUACAAUGUAGUUCUGGUUGUAAUAACUAAUGAUUAGAAUUUUCCAGAUAAGUCCUCUUACCGUUUUUAAUCAUUAACUAACAAUUCAUAUUUUUAACGUUUAUUAAGAAUUUUAGGUUUGUCUAUAAAUAAAUGAAAGGAAUUAAUAAGAAAAUUAAAGAAGGAUGAACAAUUUUGGUAGAGUUAGGAUGUAAACGAAAAUAUAAACAAUUAAUUGUGGCAUUAAGUAUGAGAAAAACUCAAUCUAGACCACUCAUAUUUUGAUAUAUCAUUUGUCAUUAGAUCUUUAAAAGUCUAAUAAACUAAGGGUUACAAAUCCUUUUUUUUUUCUAACGUGCUCGAGUUCUACAGUACAUUGGAGAAGUCCUAAAAAAUUGAUCAAGGCAACCUGGCUACAAUUGAUAGAAAGGAAACGUUUAAAGUGGCUUGAUUAAUUUACAAGAACCCAGUUCGCGAGUCCAUGGUUUCUCUAGGAAGCCUCAGUCGGCUUGCGGUACCACAAUUAAUAGAAGCAUAAAAAAUAGCUUGAUGUAACAAAGAUUUGUGCGUUCUUUUAAAUUCAGCAUUUGAGUUCGUUAUGAUGAAGUUUCUGAGUUUCUUAAUCACCUAGAUAACAUCCUUUAUUGGCCGAGUCAAGUUGCUUCAGUGCCUAAUCCAUAUUAAUUCCUUGCAUUUUAAUGAAACAAGGAUAAAUCAAGUUCAACAAGGCAAAUCAUAUGCAUCCUCACUUCAGGAUUUUUUACCACUCGUAUUCUGAUAGAUCUUUAAAAGUCUAAUAAACUAAGGGUUACAAAUCCUUUUUUGUCUAACGUGCUCCUUUAAAUUCAGUAUAAAAGGUGCUGAUGGGCAGGUGUGUCAAAGCAGAGUGAUUUGUGAUUAUCACACCAGUGAUAUUUACUAGCUCUGAGUGAAAAGAUCAUCCUUGUAAUCUUGUUAAUCGUCUGCUUAAACAUACUGAAUAUUUGCCUUCCUUUUUCCUUCAGGGUAAUUACUAAAAGUUUUAUAGUCUUGGGCAUGAUUUUAUUGUCAAUGUAUAAAUUUAUUCUUUGCUUUUUACGCUUAAUUCCGCAUGAUUUCUCUCAAAUAAGCAAAUUAAUUCGCAAAUUCGCAAAUUAGUAUACCGGAAAUCUGGCUAGGAUCGAGAAAUAAAACUUAGUUUUGUUUGUUAAGCUGGUUCAUAUGAAUAUGAAAAGAUAUUGUAAUUCAACUUUUAAAGUCUCUUUAAUUUGUCUCGAACAUUUUAAUAACUUAAACAAAGUAUGUACAUUUGAUGACAAAAAAAGAAGGGUAUUGGAAAAGCCAACCCCAAAAUAUUUAGUCUUUCCGCUCUUUCUCUGGCAUAAUUUUCGAGGAGACAAAAUGCCCAGCUAACAAGUUAAUUUGAUCUGUUAGGAUCGAAAGAAACGUUAAUUAGUCAAUUCGUCCAUUAAUCUUGGUCACAAAUGUUUAUUCUAUGUUCUGGGACUACUUUCCAUGGACUUUAAUUGUAGUUCGAAGGAGAAUGGCUAUCAAUACAAAGAUUUUUUGAACAGAACCGCAUGCAACAAGUGAACCUUUUAUUUGGAAAACUCUUCCCUACUUGAUCAGGCUUUGACUCAUACGCCUCUCAAAUGCUUGUUUAGAAAAAGCUUGUGGGCACGAUCCCCAUACCCCUAGAAACACUCCACACCUUCAAAAUGCAAAAGGUAUAUGAGGAGGAAACGAUAGGAGAGCAAGGCAAAAAAAAAAAAAAAAACACUAAUUCAAAACAAAGUCAAUACCUUUACAAGAAUUCCACAUCUUUGCUAACUUAAGCAUCGGAGUGGAAUUCGGAAAUCUCAUUUUCCAAUUGUCCCAUUUCACAUUUUGGUUUAUUAUGUGCGCAAAUGACUUCCAUCUACCGCACUUGGUUCAGUUCACAUAGAAAAGAAAUAGGUAUUAACAAUCACAUAUAUUUUUUUAUUAUAUUUCCGAUAUGACUUUUCAUGUCCUUGCGUUGUAUAAAUUAAAAAAAAAAGGAGAAAGAGAGAGAGAAUUGAAGAAUCUUCCCGGAAAAACAUUAACGUCAAUUCAAUCCCAGAAAUUGUGCAAUUCACGGUAAGCUAAUCCGCCUUAACAAAGCUUGAAAACGUGCGUGCCGAGAAUUUUUAUUAUAAUUUUUUUAUUGCUAUUUAAAUUAGGUAGUUGCGAAUGCGAACUUGAAAAUGACAUAUGCAAUUUUAUGAGCUGGCAUUGAUUACAUUGUAAACCAUGCAUGCGAUCUUCACUGUCAGCCAUCAAUGAUAAUGGAGGUUCUUGUGUUGAGUUUUAUUACAGUCUCUGAUUCAUACAUAUAAAGCAUUUAGUGACAGAAUAAAUUCAAAGAAUUAGACUGUAAUUUUUUUAUAAAAAUUAAUUCGGUUCUCUUAUCUUGGGACCAUACCUUUUUAUCCUGAGCCACACUCUUACAAGGUGAAAUCAAUAGUUUUUAUAUCAUGAGUGACAUAGAAUUUGUUUCCCAACUUUUUACAUAUAUUAUUAAUUUAAAGAGAACUUUACAUGGCGUGAUUUAAUUCAUAUAAAACUGAGCUAACAUACUUUUUUUUUUUUUGCUAAAAUUUUUUUAGUAAUGACGUCUGAACUAACGAAAAUUUUCACUUACAUAUUCGAGUUCCAACAUAGUAUGCCAGUGAAAAAAAUAAAACGUCAUCUUACUGUUUAUUUGAUGAAAACCAAAUGUUUAAAGUGACUUGAUUUACAAGAACCCGAUUAGCGAGCCCAUGCUUUGCGUAGGUGCUUCAGGCCUCAGUAGCCCUGCGUUGUAAUAAUUAAUAGAAGCAUCAAAAAUAAAAUUUGUUUUGAUGUAACAAAGAUUUGUACUUACUAAAUUCAGCAUUUCAGUUCGUUAUGGUGAAGUUUCUGAGUUUCUUAAUCAAGUAAAAUAGCAUCCUUUAUUAGCCGAGUCAAGUAUAAAAUUAAGGUGCUGAUGGGCAGAUGCCAAAGCAGAGUGAUUUGAGAUUAUCACACCAGUGAUCUUUGCUAGCUCUGAGUGCAAAGAUAAUGUUUGUAAUCUUGUUAAUACUCUGUAUAAACAAUACUCUCUUCUGAAAUCCGUUGAUCAUAUUUGUCUUUCACCUUGCAGAACUUGCUCACACAAUGAAGAUUACUGCAUAUUUGUCAUUUCUUUUUUCCAAGGAAAUUAUUAUGACAGUAUUGAGAUUUGAAAUGAUUGUUUGCAAAUUUUAUAGUUUAAAAUUAAGUAUGGAUUUAUUAUCAUAGUAUGUUUAUUCUUUGCUUUAUGCUUAAUUCAUCUUGACUUGCUUACAGAUAAGUAAAUUAAUUUGAAAAUUAAGCUCGAAGUGUUGUAUCCAUUCUUCCAAUAUUAAUUACAAGCAUUCAAUAGGAUGCAACUGUUACAAGGUGCAAAUCAAAAUUAUGGUAACAAUGUUAGUAAAUUGGAAAGCUAGCUAGUCUCUACAAAUUCAAUAUAGUCUUGUCUAUUAAAUUGGUGGAUACGAAGGUGAAUAGAAAUUAUAAUUCAACAUUUAAAGUCUUUCUGUCUCACUCAUUUUAAUAUCUUAACAAUGUACAUUUGAUGACAAAAAAGAAGGGUAUAGAUAAGCCAACCCCAAAAUAUUUUGAAUUUCCAUUCUCUCUCUGGCGUAAUUUUCGGGGAAGCAAAUGCCCAGUGAACAAAAGUUUGAUCAAUCAAUGAUUGGAUCCAAAGAUACGUUAAUUAGUCAAGUCUUUCCAUUAAUUUUGAUCACAAAUGUUUAUCCUAUUUUGUGGGACGACUUGCCAUGGACUUUAAUUGUAGUUGGAAGGGGAGUGGCUAUCAAUACAAAGAUUUUUUUUCACGGAAUCAGAAUUGCGUGCAACAAGUGAACGUUUUGUUUGGUCAAUUUUAAAAUCGUAGAUGUCUUUUAAGACUUUUGCCUUAAGCAACGGGGAAAACUCUUCCCUACUUGAUCAGGCAUCGAUCAUACACCAGUUAAUUGCUCGUCUGGAUUCGAUAUAAUAUUGGUUCGUGUGAAAAAAAGCUACUCGUGGAUUCCACCUAAUAACUCCAAUAUUUUUUCCUGAAAUUAAAACCAUAAUCUUUAGCCUUUAACCAUUUAGACUUUGGGCACGGACGAACGGUGUGUUAUGUAGUUCAUAGUUGAAGUGAAAACGGUCUAAAUGUGGUGUGUGUGCGUGUUUAGAAAUGUACCUUUAGGUAGCGUUUGGUUUUAAGAAAGAGGAGGAGAGGAGGGAUAAAAAAUGGAGAGGAGUGGAGAGGUAAUGAGAGGAUAGGAGUGCAAAAAUUGAUAUUUAUUGUUUGGUUUAAAAAAAAAAAUUAAAAGGGAAAGGAAUUACAUGUUUUUUUAAUUUGGACAAGUAUACCCAUUGGAAUUUAGUGUUAAAAUGUUAAUAUUAGCAGUAAAUAUAAUAAAAAUAAUUAAACUAUAAGUUAAAUUAAUCUAUAAUAUAAACUAAUAAGAAAACAUUUGAGUUUAUAUUAUAUUUUUAAUUCAUUCAUUAUUAUUUUAUAAUCAAAAUAACUAACCAACAAGUAGUGGAUGGACGACUACAAGUCGUAUAUCGACGUAGAAGAACAUGACAUACGGCUCAAACGGUGAUUGAUUUACUGAACUGCAACCAAAGGAACCAUUUUUUGGAUAAUUUCAGAGCAAUAGUAUUCAGACUACUAUGUAAAAAACAUUCUAAUCUUGGAAAACUUUUCCACCUUAUGAAACAUUGGAAAAAUCUUCCCAACUUGACGCAUCGACUUGUUGACCUCUCAAUUGCUCUUGUGUGUGGCUUCUAUAAAUUUGGCGUCCAACGUGCUCGUUUUCUGCACCGUUGUAUGUUUUCCAAAAGCUAAGAGUCAUCAAAAGAUCUUUUGAAUUUCAAUAAAACUUCGGUUUAACUUUAUUUAUUUGAUUGUGUUUUUGGAAUAUCAAUGGGGUCACCAACCCUCAAUACAGUUGUUUCACUUGUUUUGUUGAUCCUAUUUUUUGUGUUAAGUUUCUUAAUAACUGUUUCUUCAGAAUCUAAUGAAGAAGCCGAUGCUCUUCUCAAAUGGAAAGCCAGCCUUCAAAUCCAUAACCGAUCUCUCCUUUCUUCUUGGAUUAAGGAUACCUCCAAUGUUUCAUCCAAAAUAAGCCCAUGUGCUUGGUCCGGAAUCAGUUGCAAUGAUGCCGGAAGAGUCAUCAAGAUCAGCCUCCCAGGUGUCGGAUUAAAAGGUAAGCUUCACGACUUCUCAUUCUCAUCGUUUCCUCAUGCUUAUCUUGAUCUCAGUAGGAGUGGACUCUUUGGUACUAUCCCGCCUCAAAUUAGCAACCUUACGAAUCUUAGCAACCUUUAUUUAACAUCCAAUCAAUUGUCAGGAAUAUUCCUCCAGAGGUUGGUCUUCUGAGUCAUUUGAAGUUCCUUUACGUUGAUUCGAACCAAUUAGAUGGCUCAAUUCCACCAGAAGUAGGUCAAUUAAGUUCUCUGGUGGAGCUUUUCUUGUUCUCUAACAACUUGAACGGUUCAGUUCCUCCUUUAGGUAAUUUGACACACAUCUCUUUAUUGUACAUUCGUGAAAAUUCAUUUUCUGGUUUUAUUCCUCCGGACAUUGGAAACUUGAAAUCUAUGUCCAUCCUAGAUUUGAGCAGUAAUCAAUUUAGUGGUCCAAUCCCUGUUUCUUUCGGUAAUUUGACCAACCUAAAAAACCUAGACCUCCUUUAUAACAACCUAUCCGGUUCCAUUCCACCCUCCCUCGACAAUCCUGUUUUAACUAUGCUAGGAUUGGAUUUCAAUCAUUUUACAAGUUAUUUACCGCACAAUAUUUGUCGAGGUGGAGCACUACAGUACUUUGGUGUUUCUGAAAACCAUUUUCAAGGAACAAUCCCUAAAAGCUUGAGAAAUUGCACAAGCUUAAUCCGAGUACGCCUUAAUGGAAACAACCUUACUGGAAAUAUAUCAGAAGCUUUGGGCAUUUAUCCUAACCUGACUUUCAUAGAUCUCAGCCGCAAUAAUUUUUACGGUGAAACUCAUCUAAUUGGGGGAAAUGCCCAAAAUUAGGCACUCUCAAUGUUUCGAUGAAUAACAUUACUGGAGGUAUACCGCGCGAGAUCAGAAACAUGUCUCAACUACAAGUACUCGAUCUUUCAUUGAAUCAUAUAGUUGGGGAGAUUCCAAAGGAACUUGGAAAGUUAAAUUCUCUAAGCAAGCUCAUUUUGAGAGGGAAUCAAUUGACAGGGCGUCUACCUACAGAAAUCGGCUCACUCAUUGAACUUGAAUACCUCGACUUUUCUGCUAAUAGGCUCAACAAUUCAGUCCCAGAAAUUCUCGGCAACUUGCUGAAAUUGCACUACUUGGGCUUAAGCAACAACCAGUUUGUCCAAGAAUUGCCAAAGGAAUUGGAGAAGCUAGUUCAACUUUCAGAAUUAGAUGCAAGUCAUAACCAUUUUGGAGGAGAGAUACCAUUUCAAAUAUGCAGUUUGAAAAGCUUGGAAAAGUUGAAUCUCUCCCACAAUAAUCUUUCUGGUUCGAUUCCAAAUUGCUUUGAUGGAAUGCACGGUCUAUCAGUCAUUGACAUUUCUGAUAAUCAAUUACAAGGCCCAGUUCCAAAUAGCACAGCAUUUCGGAAUGCCUCAGUGGAAGCGUUAGAGGGGAAUAAGGGAUUGUGUGGAGGUUUGAAAGGAAUGCAACCAUGCAAAGUUUUCUUGUCACACAAGCAAAAUUCUAGAGCCAAGUGGUUUGCAAUAGCGUUCCCUGUUUUAGGAGCACUAUUUCUUUCAAUGGCGUUGAUAGCAAUUUUUAUUCUUCGAAAGCGGAAGUCAGACUCAGGAGAUCGACAGAGUAGCAACCAGAACCCUCAUGGAUUGUUUUCUAUAUUGAAUUUUGAAGGGAAACUUGUGUACGAUGAAAUUGUUAGAGCAACAAAUGAUUUUGAUGCACAGUAUUGCAUUGGAAAUGGCGGACAUGGAAGUGUUUAUAGAGCUGAACUACCAUCUGGACAAGUCGUAGCUAUUAAGAAAUUUCACUCGCCACUUCCAUGUGACCAGAUUGCAGAUCAAAAAGAAUUCUUGACCGAAGUUGAGGCCUUGAAAAAUAUACGACAUCGAAACAUUGUGAAGUUUUAUGGAUUUUGCUCACAUGCCCGACACUCUUUUUUGGUCUAUGAAUUUCUUGAAAGGGGUAGCUUGGCUGCGAUCUUGAGCAGUGAUGCAGCAGCACAAGAACUGGGUUGGAGUCAGAGAAUGAAUGUGAUCAAAGGCGUAGCUGAUGCUUUGUCUUACUUGCACCAUGACUGCUUUCCUCCGAUUGUCCAUCGGGACAUAUCAAGUAAGAACUUGUUGCUGGAUUUGGAAUAUGAAGCUCAUGUUGCAGACUUUGGAAUUGCUAAGUUUCUGAAGCCAGACUCGUCCAACUGGACUGAAUUUGCUGGCACAUACGGAUACGUUGCACCAGGUAUUUUGUAUUCGUUUGUUACCAUUUUGAGGAGUCUGCGGUAACAGAACAAUGUAACUAGAUAUUGUUGAAAAAAUUAUGUAGUACAUUCAGUAGACUUGUAAAAGCUUACUAGUUUAUGCACAUUUAUCUGAGAAACAGAGUAAACAUUUUUUUUUUUUUUGGGUCCUUGACCUUGCAGAGCUUGCUUACACAAUGAAGAUCACAGAGAAAUGCGAUGUGUACAGUUUUGGAGUGUUAGUGUUGGAAGUAAUCAAAGGGAAGCAUCCAAGAGAUUUUCUUUCUUCGAUUUCAUAUUCAUCUCUCAACACGGAUAUAAAACUUGAUGAAAUGUUGGACCCGCGUCUUCCAGCUCCAUCACGCAGUGUUCAAGAAAAAUUGAUAUCAAUCGUAGAGGUUGCGUUUUCCUGCUUAAAUGAGAGUCCAGAGUCUAGGCCAACUAUGAAGAUAGUCAGUCAACAAUUAACCUCAGCUGCUUGACGGAGUCCUAAUUUUCUAAGUAUACUUCAAAUUUGCUUGCCUUAUUUUUCUCAUGUACUAUGGUUUGUUUGUUCUAGUUUUCAAGAAUUAGGAGGCGUUGGUUAUUACGUCAUCCAUAUAUAAUUCGCAUAUGGUGUACUCUUUCAUUUGUAAAUAAAGUUUGCUCAUACCUUAGAGGUUUAGUUAAAAGAACGCCUGGGGCAGUUGUGAGUAAAGUCAGUUUGUAAUAAUUAAAAAUAAUAAUUUCUUUCGACAUGCACAACAGGUGAACCCCUCAAAUGUAAACUUGAAAGUGUGUACCAUUGUAUCAAUUAAUGGGUGGCUCUUACUUAUUGGUAAUGUUAAAUUAAAUGUUAAAAGAAAGGAACAGACGGGGAAAAAAAAAAAUUGGGAUAAUUUAAAUGCAGUUGACACAAAGAGAAAUAAAGUAAAAUAAAAACUUUUUCUCGACAACGGCGCCAAAAACUUGACACAACUUAAAAGUAAUUUUUAACUCUCAAGUAUAAAAUUGUAUUGUUGUAUUAUAGCUCGGUGAGUCCGAGGUCGAUCUACAGAGAAAAUUUUUAAUUUUUAAUUUUAUUUUAUCUAAAAAUUGAAAAUGAAACUUAAAUAUAAACAACUUAAUUUAAAUAAAACUAUGAAAAUGAAUUAGUUAGGGUUGUGGAUCCACUCUUAGUAGCAAAUAAAACUUAAUAAAUUCUUUUUGCCAUUUUUUUAUAUUUAUUGCCCAAGAGAUUAAUUAUAUAAAUUAUUUUUAUUUUCCCUUUAAUUUUAUGAUGGAUUAAGUAUUUAUUGUGCCAAAAUUUAAUUUGUCUACAAUAAGUCAAAAUACCUUUUUACCAUGCCUUAUAUUAAGAUAUUAAGAAUUUAUUGUGCCAAACUCCUUUGUUUGUCUACAAUAAAUCAAAAUUUUAAAAUAUAAAAUAUGUAUAAAAUUAAAUAGAAAAUAAUUUAAUUUAUAAAAUUAAAAAUAGAAUUUGAUUAAAUCAUAUUUAUUUCCUAAGAGUUUCACCUUACCCUAACUAUUAUUAUUUAGUCAAGCAUAAUUGAAAUAAAAAGAAUUAUUAAAAUUAAAUUACUUAUAAUUAAAAUGAAUAAAAACAACUAAAAUGAAAAUAAAACUAAAUUUAUUUAUAAAAAUAAUUACAAAAAAUAUUAAAAACACUCAUGGAAAACAAGAUUACAAGAAGAUUAAGAGAAAUUAAGAAGAAGAGAGAUGUAGAGAGAUAUCAAAAACAUAAAACUGAGGCUCUAUUUAUAGAAAAAUAAAUUUAUGAUCCAGUAUUUCGCGGUCUAUCAUAAGCUUCAUGCAUACGCUCCUCACAACCAUUAGAUGAACAUCCAACGGCUAUUCAAACUUCAAAAGUCAACAUCACAUGUGGCAUCAUUUGAGACAUCGAUUCGGCCAAAGAAUGGCUGAGAUUUGGCGGGUUAAUGGGUGGAUUGAGUCAACCCGAAUACAAAGAUUUGAAUCCUACAACUUGUUUCACCAACCAUUGCCAUGUGGCAUAAUCGUAGCUAUUGAAUUAUGAACGAUUGAGAUUUAGUCAAAAUUACCAGCUAUCCCAAGUACUCAUAUCUAUUGUAAGCUCAUUUUAUCAUUCAUUCACUGCUCGAUUCACAGGAAAAGUCAACCUUUUUUUUACACAAGCCCAAUUUUAAGCCAAACUUGACUCAUCUUAAGGUUUUUGGAUCUCUGGAAUCCAAAUUUGACAUCUAUUUAUCUUUUUGGAGCCUUGAAUUACGUGAAAUUAAUAUUUUACCUAAUAAACACACAAAAAUACAUAAAUUAGAUAUAUUUAACACAUAAUUAAUAAUUCCUAAUAUAUUGUAUGAACACAAAUAUUAAUCAUACAUAAGCACAAAAUAACAUUAUUAUCGCUUGAUAAUUAAACAAUUUUUAAUACUAAUCAGCAGUCAUUGAAGGAACUUAUUGCUCUCACCAAUUGUCUUGAAUGCUCUAAUGGCUUACACUUUGUAGAAUCGCCAAUGUUGUGAUAACAACUUUGAUGGUUAAAGUUUGAUUGUGAAUCUCGGUUGAAUGAUUUAAUUUAUAUUUGAUUCUUAUACCAAGCGAACCUUUACCAAGUUAAUCUUUUUUCCGUAUGUUUAGUUUUGUUAUGUCAAAGUUAGUUGAUGUCCUAUAUUUGAUCAAUGUGGAUGGCUAAUCAAAAUUAAAGAAUCCUUGAACGAGAUUGAGGGCUCGACAGAGAUACGACAUCAGGGCAUUGUAAAACAUGGCUUACAUUCAAUUUUAGUUUAUGAAUUUCUUGAAAGGGGUAGCUUGGCCAUAAUAUUGAGCAAUAAUGCAGCCACAAAAGAGUUAAGUGGGCUGGAGUCAGAGAAUGAAUGGGAUAGAAGGCGUUGCCGAUGCCUUGUAAUAUUCGUUUGUUGCCAUUUUGAGGAAUAUUAUUAGGGGAUUGCCACUUUCCCAUUAUUAGGGGGUUGCUACUUUCCCCCUACAGUAAUUAACAUAUACAAUUUAUCCUCUUGCUGUUUUUAUAAUGACCAAAAACCCUCCUGACAGCAUAAGUUUACAAUAUUACCCUUAUUUUUAAUUACUCUUUUAUUUAUAUUUAUUAUAAAUUAAAUAAAUUACAUUAAUAGAAACUAAAUAAAAAAUUAAGUAUUGAAAAUAAAAAAUAUAUGUUUUGAUAUGAGCAAAAAAAUUAAUAAUAAAUUUUUUUCUUGUAAUUAUUUAUUUUGUGAACAUUUUCUUAUAAUAAACAUUUUGUAAUAAAUUUUUAUUUGUCAUUCAAAAUUUCUAAUAAUAAUUUUUUUAUCAUUUUAUAAUAACUUUCUUAUAUAUUUAUUAUAAGAAACUUUUCACAAAAUAAAUAAGUACAAAAAAAAAUUUAUUAUUAAUUUUUUUCUCAUAUCAAAACAUAUAUUUCUUGUUUUUAAUGCUUAAUUUUUUAUUUAGUUUCUAUUCAUGUGAUUUAUUUAAUUUAUAAACCUAAAUAUAAAUAAAAGAGUAAUUGAAAAUAAGGGUAAUAUUGUAAACUUAUUCUAUCAGGGGGGUUUUGGCCAUUAUAAAAACAAUAGGGGGGGAAAUGAUAUAUGUUGAUUACUGUAGGGGCAAAAUUGGUAAUCUCCCAAUAUUAUUAUGCAACACAUUCUAUAGAGAUAUAAAAGCUUACUAAUUUAUACGCAUUGAUCUUUAAAAAGAGAGUAAACAUUUUUUUUUUGUCCUUGACCUUGCAGAGCUUGCUUACACAAUCAAGAUCACAGAAAAAUACGACGUGUACAAUUUCGGAGUGUUAUUAUUGGAAGUGAUCAAGGGAAAAAUUUAAAUGCAAUAUAUAUAUAUUUAAAUGCAAAAUUAAUAUACAUACAUACAUACAUACUUACAUACAUACAUACAUACAUAUAAAUUAUUUUUUGAAGAAUAAAAUAAUUUGAAACAAUAUAUUUACAUAUAUUAUUUUUAUUGUUUACCCUCAACUUAUUAUUCUCCAAAAAAAAAUAGUAUAUGUAUAUGUAUUUUGCUUUUAAUUUUUAAAUUAAUUCUGAAGAGUUCUGAAAAAAUUUCUGAAUUAAUUUAAAAAUUAUGAUAAUUCCCUUACUUUUUCAAAUAAUUUUGCAUGUAAUUUUUAAUUAUUACCAUUUAAGAAAUUAUUUAAUUAAUUAAAUUAUUAAAGAUAUUCAUCUUCCAGACAUCAAAGAAACACCGAAGGUAAAAUACUAAGAUCCGCAAAACAGUUUGACUCUCAAGAAAAUUUGGAUAUAGUUUAAAAAUCAAGUGGGAGGAUUCGAUUAGUUUAGUCAAACAAGAGGGUUUAGCUAUUUUUUUCCAUUAAACAAGUGUCGAAUGCAUCUUUAUUUAUUAUUGAUACCAAGUGUCCGACUCAGACUGGAAGAAUGAAUCUGAAAUCGUCUUAAGGCAUGGAAGAAUCAAUGCAUAAUGUGUGUAUGGAAGAAAAAAAAAUAAUAAGGCAAGUGGUAACUGAAAUAAGGAUGAACUCACAUUAAACAUAUUCCAUGUGUUUCACGUUGCUAAAAAAAAGAACAACAUUUUCCACGUACGCCAUGUGCAGCAAUAAUCAUGCCUGUCUACACAGAAGCACAGUUCACGUUUGAACUUUUUCUUUUUUCUUUUUUCCCCAUUUCACAUACCAUAACCCCAUCCCAUCCUAUACGCAAAAAGAAAUUAAAGCUUCCACAUUGUGAGGGGAAUCGAUCUUAACUAAGCUAUGUGAGCUUAGAUGGAUUAUAAUUUUUACCAUUCAAUUGUGUGUUUUUUUCUGGAAUGAUUGAACAUCGAUGAUGAAAUAAGGUAUUAAAAAUCUAUCCAAGAUUAAAAAAAAAAAAUCCAAGAAACUGUGUGCUUUCUAUAGCAGAUAUAAGAUCCUUACAGGUGAUUCGGAUUAAAUUUUUUUCUUUUAAAAAAGGCCUAACAAAUUAAAUUUACAAAGUUUUAGUGAAUUAAUGAUUUUUAACAUUUUAGUAAAUUAACUUUGUGAAAAUUUUAAUUAUUCACAAAUGCCCUGUUUUUCUAGUAGUGAAUAAAAGCAUAAAAAAUAAAUAAAAAAAAGACCUAAUUCUAGUUUGUCCACUUCCGAAUUUUCUUCGUUUAUCUUCUUUGUGUUUUCACUAAGCUUUACUUGACGCCUUGACUCGUUUACUCCAAAUAGCCAACCCGAUUUCUGUCGUAUAGUUUCUAUAAAUUUAGUUCCCGAUUGUGCUUGUUUCAUGAACCAAUGUUCAUGUCGAUGCCAAUGGGGCCACUCACUCUGCAUACAGUAGUUUCUUCUCUUGUUUUCUUGAUCCUAUUCUUUGUGUCAAAUUUUUCUCUUCCUGUUUCUUCUAAUUCUAAUGAAGAAGCUGAUGCUCUUCUCAAAUGGAAAGCCAGCCUUCAAAACCAUAACCGAUCUCUCCUUUCUUCUUGGAUUAACGACGCCACCAAUGUUUCUUCCAAAAUAAGUGCUUGGUCUGGAAUCAACUGCAAUGAUGCUGGAAGAGUCAUCAACAUCAACCUCACAAAUACAGGCUUAAGCGGUACACUUCAUGAUUUCUCAUUCUCAUCGUUUCCUCAUCUUGCUUAUCUUGAUCUCAGGCUUAAUGAAUUAUUUGGUAUCAUCCCGCCUCAAAUCGGUAAUCUCUCCAAGCUCCAGUUACUUUCGCUACAUGCAAACAACUUUUCUGGAAGAAUACCGUCUGAAAUUUGCCUUCUAACUCACUUGAAAGUUCUUUUCUUGCACUCCAACAAUUUGAACGGCCCAAUCCCUCCUUCUUUAGGUAACCUGAACAACUUGGUUAAGUUGUUUCUUCUUAAUAAUUCACUUUCUGGUUCUAUUCCUCCAAAUAUUGGAAACUUGAGGUCACUUUUAGAACUAGAUUUGAGUAUAAAUCAACUUAGUGGUUCAAUACCUCCUUCUGUGGGUAACUUAAGUAGCAUGACUCGAUUGUAUCUUUAUGGUAAUUCAUUUUAUGGUUCCAUUCCACCAAAUGUAGGAAACUUGAAGUCCCUUUCUGAUUUACAGUUGAAUGACAAUCAACUCAUCGGUUAUAUUCCACGUUCCUUUAGUAAUCUAACCGGGUUAUCAAUUUUACGUUUGUCUAAAAACGAGCUUUUUGGUUCCAUUCCAGAUGAAAUAGGAAAGAUAAGGUCUCUUAGCAUUCUCGAUUUGAGCCAAAAUCAAUUUAAAGGGGUUCUUCCACCAUCUGUUAGUAAUUUGACCAACCUAAAACAACUAGACCUCCUUUAUAACAACCUAUCCGGUUCCAUUCCUCUCUCCCUCGACUAUCCUGUGUUAACUAUGCUAGUAUUGGAUGAGAACCAUUUCACUGGUUAUUUACCCCACAAUAUUUGCCGAGGCGGAGCACUACAAUAUUUUAGUGUUUCUGAAAACCAUUUUCAAGGAACAAUCCCUGAAAGCUUGAGAAAUUGCACGAGCUUAAUCCGAGUACGCCUUAAUGGAAACAACUUUACUGGAAAUAUAUCAGAAGCUUUGGGCAUUUAUCCUAACCUGACUUUCAUGGAUCUCAGCCGCAAUAAUUUUUACGGUGAAAUCUCAUCUAAUUGGGGGAAAUACCCAAAAUUAGGCACUCUCAAUGUUUCGAUGAAUAACAUUACUGGAGGUAUACCGCGUGAGAUUGGAAACUCGUCUCAACUACAAGCACUCGAUCUUUCAUUGAAUCAUAUAGUUGGGGAGAUUCCAAAGGAACUUGGGAAGUUAAAUUCUCUAACCAAACUCAUUUUGAGAGGGAAUCAACUUACAGGACGCCUGCCUACAGAAAUCGGCUCACUCAUUGAACUUGAAUACCUCGACUUUUCUGCUAAUAGGUUCAACAAUUCAGUCCCAGAAAUUCUGGGCAACUUGCUGAAAUUGCACUACUUGGGCUUAAGCAACAACCAGUUUGUCCAAGAAUUGCCAAAGGAAUUGGAGAAGCUAGUUCAACUUUCAGAAUUAGAUGCAAGUCAUAACCUUUUUGGAGGAGAGAUACCAUUUCAAAUAUGCAGUUUGAAAAGCUUGGAAAAGUUGAAUCUCUCCCACAAUAAUCUUUCUGGUUCGAUUCCAAAUUGCUUUGAUGGAAUGCACGGUCUAUCAGUCAUUGACAUUUCUGAUAAUCAAUUGCAAGGCCCAGUUCCAAAUAGUACAGCAUUUCGGAAUGCCCCAGUGGAAGCGUUAGAGGGGAAUAAGGGAUUGUGUGGAGGUUUGAAAGGAAUGCAACCAUGCAAAGUUUACUCGUCACACAAGCAAAAUUAUGGAGCCAAGUGGUUUGCAAUAGUGUUCCCUGUUUUAGGAGCACUAUUUGUUUCAAUGGCGUUGAUAGCAAUUUUCAUUCUUCGAAAGCGGAAGUCAGACUCAGGAGAUCCACAGAGUAGCAGCCAGAACCCUCCGGGAUUGUUUUCUAUUUUAAAUUUUGAAGGGAAACUUGUGUACGAUGAAAUUGUUAGAGCAACAAAUGAUUUUGAUGCAGAGUAUUGCAUUGGAAAUGGUGGACACGGAAGUGUUUAUAGAGCUGAACUACCAUCUGGGACAGUCGUAGCUGUUAAGAAAUUUCAAUCACCACUCCCAUGUGAUCAGAUUGCAUAUCAAAAAGAAUUCUUGACCGAAGUUGAGGCCUUGACAGAGAUACGACAUCGAAACAUUGUGAAGUUUUAUGGAUUUUGCUCACAUACCCGACACUCUUUUUUGGUCUAUGAAUUUCUUGAAAGGGGUAGCUUGGCAGCGAUCUUGAGCAGUGAUGCAGCAGCACAAGAACUGGGUUGGAGUCAGAGAAUGAAUGUGAUCAAAGGCGUAGCUGAUGCUCUGUCUUACUUGCACCAUGACUGCUUUCCUUCGAUUGUCCAUCGAGACAUAUCAAGUAAGAACUUGUUGCUGGAUUUGGAAUAUGAAGCUCAUGUUGCAGACUUUGGAGUCGCUAAGUUUCUAAAGCCAGACUCGUCCAACUGGACUGAAUUUGCAGGCACAUACGGAUACGUUGCACCAGGUAUUUAGUAUUCGUUUGUUACCAUUUUGAGUAAUAUUUUUAUGUUGUGUGUCGUAACAUAACAAUGUACCUAGAUAUUGUUGAAAAAAUUAUGUAGUACAUUCAGCAGACCUGUAAAAGCUUACUAGUUUAUGCACAUUUAUCUCAUAAACAGAGUAAACAUUUUUUUUUUGGGUCCUUGACCUUGCAGAGCUUGCUUACACAAUGAAGAUCACAGAGAAAUGCGAUGUGUACAGUUUUGGAGUGUUAGUGUUGGAAGUGAUCAAAGGGAAGCAUCCAAGAGAUUUUCUUUCUUCGAUUUCAUCUUCAUCUCUCAACACGGGUACAGCACUUGAUGAAAUGCUGGACCCGCGUCUUCCAGCUCCAUCAUGCAGUGUUCAAGAAAAACUGAGAUCAAUCGUGGAGGUUGCGUCUUCAUGCUUAAAUGAGAGUCCGAAGUCUAGACCAACUAUGAAGAUAGUCAGUCGACAAUUGCAGAUUUCAGCUGCCUUGACUGAGUCUUAAUUUUCUAAGUAUACUUCUAAUUUACCUGGUGUCUUUUUUUUUUUUUUUUCUUCUUUCUUCUAAUUUGCUUGGUUUAUUUUUCUCAUGUACUGUAGUUUGUUGGGUAAUUUUCGGAUACCUCCCUGAGGUUUACCCCUGCUACACUUAGAGAGAAAGUAUGAAUAUAUUAACAUAUAGCACCCCUGACGUAUAUAAGCGUUAGGGAGCCGUUUGGUUUGACUGAGUCAUAAUUUUCUAAGUAUACUUCUAAUUUACUUGGUGUCUUUUUUUUUUCUUUCUUCUAAUUUGCUUGGUUUAUUUUUCUCAUGUACUGCAGUUUGUUGGGUAAUUUUCGGAUACCUCCCCUGAGGUUUACCCCUGCUACACUUAGAGAGAAAGUAUAAAUAUAUUGACAUACAGUGCGUACCACUGUAUUAAUUAAUGGCUGGCUCUUACUUACCAAUAAUGUUAAAUUAAAUGUUAAAAGAAAGGAAUAGAUAUGGGGGAAAAAAUUAAAAAUUGAGGAUAUAUAAUUUACAAUGUAGUCCUAGUGAUUUAACCAAAAAUCAAAUAAAGCAAUAAUAAUUAGUUUUUUUUUUUGAAUGAUUUGUUUUAGCUUUGAGUAAACGAUUUGAAGGAACUUAUCGCUCUCACCAAUUGUCUUGAAUGCUCUAAUGGCUUAUACUUUGUAGAAUCGCCAAUGUUGUGAUAACAACUUUGAUGGUUAAAGUUUGAUUGUGAAUCUCGAUUGAAUGACUUAAUUUACAUUUGAUUCGUAUGCCGACCUCUACCAAGUUAAUCUUUUUUUCUGGAUGUUUAAUUUUGUUAUCUCAAAGUUAAUUAGCUGAUGUCCUAUAUUUGAUCAAUGUGGAUGGCGGAACAAAAUUAAAGAAUUCUUGAACGAAGUUGAGGCCUUUACAGAGAUACGACGUCAGAGCAUUGUAAAACAUGACUGACAUUCAAUUAUAGUUUAUGAAUUUCUUGAAAGGGGUAGCUUGGCCAUAAUCUUGAGCAAUAAUGCAGCCACAGGAUAAAAGGCGUUGUCGAUGCCUUGUAAUAUUCGUUUGUUGCCAUUUUGAGGAAUAUUAUCAUCCAACACAUUCUAUAGAGAUAUAAAAGCUUACUAAUUUAUACGCAUUGAUCUUUCAAAAGCGAGUAAACAUUUUUUUUUCUUUUUUAUUUGUCCUUGACCUUGUAGAGCUUGCUUACACAAUCAAGAUCACAUAAAAAUGAGGUGUACAGUUUCGGAGUGUUAGUAUUGGAAGUGAUCAAGGGAAAGCAUCCAAGAGAUCAGAUGUUUUUUUCCGCAGUUUCAGCUUCAUCUUCCAAUGCCGCUUGAUGAAAUGUUGGAUGUUCAGAGCAAGUUGAUCAUUACUGUUUGAAUUUUAAAUAUCUGCCUUCAUUUCUGCUGCACAAGUUAAUUAUACGCAUCAUGCUUAUGCAGGCCUUAAUUCGGAGCAAAAGAAUGUUAUUAGUUGACAGAAUGUGCAACUAGAGAAGGAUUUCAUCCACCAAUUCAUAGUUAAUUAGUCUCUCUUCAACACAAAAUAGAAAAUUUAGUUGACAGAUGGCCACAAAAGACUAGCUUCGUUUUUGCUAAAAAAAUAAAUAAAAUCUGCUUCUAUGGCCCCUGUAAACCAAUUCCUUCAAUGCCCCCAAUUUCAAAACUAUCAUUGAUAUAGAGCCAUUGAACCUGGGCUUCAUAUUCAACUUUUCAGCGUUCCAUUUCUUGCCUGAAGUUUUUGAGAGCUUGGACGCACUUAGGGUGCGUUUGGGAUUGAGGUGCUGUAGCUUUUAAGCUACAGCUGCUGUGAAAAAAAAGCUGUAAUUAUGAAAUAAAAGUUAAUAAUAUAUAGUAAAUAUAAAUUUUAAAUAAUAAUUUUAUCAAAAUUAUUAAAGAUAUAAUAAAUUUUAUAUUAUACAAGUGAAAAAUUAUAUCAACAUAGCUUAAAAGCUACAGCAGCUAGUGUUUACCAAACACUUUAGUGCUGUAGCUUUUAAGCUACAGCUGCCCAACCUCAAUCCCAAACGCACCCUUAGUCUUGACAGUACUACAUAACCCUCGCGAGAUAUGUCCCAAAAUCCCCUGGGCCAUAAUUUUGCUACAAAACCCGACAGAAUUAAUGAUCCUUAUUAAUUAUGAAUUACAUCGUCCUUUGGUUGCACAAUUUUGGAUAAAAAAAUUGGACCAGUUUCGGUGAUCGGCUGAGCUUGUGUGGACUAUUAAGCACUAAAUCAAUAGUUGAGAUUUGUCCAACAUGAGUUUCACGUGGAUCCCAAUCAACUCUUGACCAUAGAUUCUGUACCCUACACAACAUGCUUAUGGUUUAAAAAUAAAAUAAAUCAUGUUAAUGCUUUGAAUCAAUACUUAAUGCAUUGACAAUCAUUUUCUUUGUGCACCGACUUGUCGAUAAAGAAAGUUUAAUGGUCCAUCUAUUAGUUUACAUCUGCUUAAUUUGAUUGGAAUGAAACGAAAUUAAUAGUUUCUUUGUUUUAAAAAAUAAAUAACUAUAAUUUCUUGAAUAUUCGAUGAAUAAACAAAAGAAUUGUGAAUGAAGUUUUGUUUAGUAUUAAGGUAUUGUUAUCUUUAAAUCACAAUUAUCAUGAAAAAUAAAGGUAUAAUAAAAAAAAGAAAUUGAUAAUUUGUAAUAAAUAUAAUUUUUAAAUAAUAAUUUUGAUAAAAAUAAUAAAGAUACUGUAAUUUUUCUAUCAUUAAAAUAAAAUCAUUUCAACUUUCAAGUCAUAGUGAUGAUAGAAUUAUAAAUUUUUAUAUAAAUUUAUUUUAUAUAAAUAGCUGCGUCAUAAAUUAUUAGUUAGAUAAAAAUAUAAAAUAAUAAAAUAAACUAUGUGAAAGAAAAAAUAUUUAAUCUAAUUAAUUUAAUUAUGUCAUGUUAAUUUAUAUAAAAUAAAGUCUUCUAUUUAUGUUGGCGUAAACCAGCACCGAUACACACAGUAUUCUAUUUGCUUGAGUGCUCUAUCCAAUUUUUCCGUCCAAUAUGAUUACUCUUAAAAUAAAGGAAGCCAUGGACCCCACGAACGAGACAUCACGUGGGCCCACUAACCUUGAUGAUAACAUCUUUUUCAUGUAAAAAAAACACCCCCGCUUUACAACGACACCGUCUUUUCUUUGUCUUUCCUUUCGUUUUCGUCAGCCUCCACCAACACUUCAAUAGCCGCCCCAUUUUCUUACACUCCUAUCCAUUGUCCACGCGUCCGACCAUGAUUGCUUCUCCGGUUCUAAUCUCAAGAUUUUCGUCAAAUGGACGUACGAGAUGGGCCCCAUCUCUGCGCAGACCACACCGUCUACUCUCUUUGUGAAAGGAAAAUAAAACUAUUAAAAUCUCUAAAUCAUUCUAUCUUCUCGUGAUAAAUUGAAUUCAACUCUUUUUUUAAUCUUUUAUUUAUAAAUUGUAAAUAAAAAAAUCAAAAGCAUUCAACUGAAUAUUCCUUUUUAGAAAUUAUAAAAACAGAAUUAUACAGUGGUGAACUUCCUUGCACGAACAUGACCUUGAUUCAAUUUAUUGAAUAUACGUAUAUGUUACUUUAAUAUACUUUUUUCUUAUAGUUUACAAAAUGUAGUGCUUAUUUUCUUUCUUAUACCAAACAAUAGAUGUGUAUGUAGGUUGAAGCAAAUAUAAUUUUAUAAACUAACACUAUGUUGUAUCGUUUUUGGUAAAAUAUUUAAUGUUGACAUCUUAUGACAUUAUUAUUAAAUCUUCAAUAAAGAUUCUUCAUUGUAUUGAACAAUUUUCUAUAUAAUAUAAAUUAUGUAUUUUGUCAUAAUAGAAACUGUUAAGAAAGAUUGUCUCAACUUUAUAUUAAGAAUUUGUAUUCAUAAAUAUAUAAUAUGAUCUGAACCUUAAACAUUAAAAUUGUUUCAUAACUUAGUUAUCAAUAAAAGAUUUAACAAUUUUUUAAUUAUUGAUUGUAAAUAUUAGCACAUUAUAAUACAAUAUUAAAAUAACCUUAAAGUUAAUUUAUUAUUGUCACAUUAUAAAUCUAUAGAAUUAAUUUGAAUUAGUAAAAUUAUUAAGCCAAAGUUAGAAAGAUAUAUCAAAUUUGGCUAGAACUACCUAUUAAAGAAACAUAUACGUAUUAUAUAUGGAUACAUUAUGUGGCAAAAAAAUGAAAACUUUGGCUAGUCAACCAAUUAAUCAAACAAGGUCCCCUCAAUAUAAUGAGAACUUGACCUUUUGCUUUAUAUUAGCAACAAGUUGAGUGUUGUGUGACUUAAGAUUAAAAUAUUAAUUAAACUACAAAAUUAUAUCAUUUAAGAAAUUAUAUUUAGGUAUUUACUUAAUUAAAAUUUUAGUUAGCCACCGAGUGAUUUAGAUUUAGAAUUUUAGAUAAGACUCUAGUUGAUCUCUCAUGUGAGAAUGUUAAUUCACUAAGCAUCAUGUGGCAUUUUCUUUAAAGAUUUUUGAAUUGUUUGAUGGUUGUGAGAGUAAAAUUUAAAUUAAUAAAAAUAAAUAUAAUUAUCAUGUUAACGGGACCACAUCUUAGUCGCUAAUUCAUAUAAGAAUAUGAAUUCAAAUAUCACAUAAAUGAAAUUAAAAAAAAAUAGAUUUAUUAACAUCGCAGUUACAAGUUGACUUUAAAUUUUUAAUGAAUCUGUCAUUAUAUUUUUUUCGCUGAAUAAUCAUAUUAAUAUUUAAGUUAUUAGAUAAGGGUCCAACAUUAACAUUUGAAGUUUAUGCUUUAAUAAAUUGUGUAAAUUCGAUAACAAAAACAUUAAAUUCAAAAAAAAGUAAAAUUUACAUGUUGUUCAGCUAGUGAUGCAGCGGAAGUUUAAUGUUCAAAAUAUUCCGUUGAUUCUAGAGAAUACCGGAAUAAAAGAACAACUAAAUUCACGUUGAUUCAAAAGAAUACCGCGAACUUAGGGGUUAAGACUCGUUGAUUCAGAAUACCGAGAAUUAACUGUUCAAAUACUCACAAAGAGAUUUGAAAAUUGAAAUAUUAUUGAACUCAAAAUUCUACCUUCAAAGGCUACAAGAGGGAGCUAUUUAUAAUAGUAGUAAUUAUCCUAAUUCAUGAAGUAAAACAAAAUCUUAAAUUGAAAGGGAAACAAAAUUCUAAAUUAGAAAUGAAUUAAAAAGUCUUUAAACUUUAGUUAAUAAGGAAACUAAUCCUAGUAUAAUAUGGAUUCCUACUCUUCAUCAUUCCCCCCAGGGUAGAGAGAAUUCGCCCUCGAAUUCGGAGUGUCAGCAACCACAUCUUCAUCAUGGUCACCUCUAUAAGGAAUAAGAUGCUUGACAGUAAAUACAUCUGCGGUGCGGAUAUGACUAGGAAGCUUUAAUCUGUAGGCAUUAGGAUUUAUCUUCUCUAUAAUCUCCAAAGGGCCGAUUUUCCUGGCAGAAAGCUUGUUGUACUCACCAACCGAGAAUCUAUCUUUAGUUAGGACAGCCCAAACAAGAUCACCCACUUGAAAUUCCAAAACUCGACGUUUUUUGUCUGCCACAAUUUUAUAACCUUCGGUUGUCUGCUUCAAAGACUCUUGCGUAGUUUCAUGAAUUUUCUUAAGUUGCUCAAUAAAGUCUUCUGCUUUACUACUUUUGCGAACUAAAUCUGGAAUUGGAGCCAAGUCGAUGGGAGCUCGUGGAUUAUAUCCGUAAUUCACCUGAAAAUGGCUUAAACUAGUACUGCGCUUAACUGCACGGUUAUAAGCAAACUCGACUUGAUAUAACUUUUGAUCUCACAUCUUCAGGUUAUCGCCGACUAGACUACGUAGAUGGUUGCCUAAAGAACGAUUGACAACUUCGGUUUGACCAUCUGUUUGUGGGUGGUAGGCACUACUAAAAUUCAGGCGAGUGUUAGUUAACUUCCAUAAUGUCUUCCAAAAAUGGCUAAGAAAUCGUGUAUCCCGGUCAGAUACUAUAGAACUCGGUAAACCAUGCAAUCUAUAGACUUCCUUGAAGAAUAGACGAGCAACAGUCAAAGCGUCUGUAGUCUUUUUGCAGGCAAUGAAGUGAGCCAUUUUCGAGAAUCGAUCAACAACAACAAAUAUUGAAUCCAUACCCCUCUGAGUGCGGGGUAAUCCCAAAACAAAAUCCAUGCUAAUGUCAGCCCAAGGUUGUAUUGGAAUCGGCAGCGGCAUAUAUAACCUAGCAUUAGUUGCUGCGCCCUUGGAAACUUGACAAAUGCGACAAGUCUCGACAUAGUGAUAGACUUCACGCCUCAUAGUAGGCCAAAAAUAAGUGUUGCCGAUUAGAGCCAGAGUUUUGUCACGACCCAUGUGCCCUUCGUUAUGUAACUCUAAAAUAAUUUUCAAUCUCAAACUUGAGUCAGGAACACACAAUUGAUUACUCUUGAAAAGGAAUUCGUCAUGUAAAUGAUAAUCUGAGCGAAACCCUACAACAACGUCUUCUAAUAUAGGAGCAAAGUAAGGAUCAGAAGCAUAUAACUCUCAAAAUGUGUCAAAUCCGAGAACUUGAUUAUGCAUCUGUGUCAAUAAAGAAGUUCGUCGACUAAGUGCAUCUGCUGCCCGGUUGGAUUCACCAGAGGUAUGCUUCACCACAAAAGUAAAUUGUUGAAGGAAUGUUGUCCACGUGGCAUGUCUGUGAGAGAGCUUGUCUUGACUAUUGAGGUAUUUUAACGCGGCAUGGUCAGUGUAUAAAACAAAGUCUUUAUGAAUUAGAUAAUGUCGCCAAUGUUUUAACGCUUGGACUACUGCGUAAAAUUCCACGUCAUAAGUGUUGUAGUGUGCCUUUGCUCCAUUUAACUUCUCACUGAAAUAAGCUAUAGGCUUACCCUGUUGGCUAAGAACAGCUCCAAUGCCGACCUUAGAAGCAUCACAAUGUACCUCAAAAGUGAGCGAAAAAUCUGGUAGAGCAAGUACUGGGGCAGUAAUCAACUUUUCUUUGAUAAUCUUGAAUGCCUUAGUAGCUGCCUUUGUCCAAGAGAAUUGUCUUCCUUUCAUGCAAUCUGUGAUUGGUGCCAUAAUAGUACUGAAAUAAGGAAUGAAUCGCCUGUAAAAAGAGGCUAAUCCAUGGAAACUUCUGGUGGCGGAUAAAGUAGUUGGCUGAGGCCAAUCUCGAAUAGCAUCCACUUUUGAUUGGUCAAUAGAUAUACCAUCCUUCGACACCACAUAUCCAAAAAUAAUACUUUCUCUGUCAAGAAAAUACACUUGUUUACUGCUGUGUAUAAACUUGUUGCUCUUAAGGCUAAAAGCACUUCUCUCAAAUGUUGUAGAUGUAACUCGUGACUGGUGUUAUAUAUAAGUAUAUCAUCGAAGUAAACAACCACAAACUUUCCAAUGAAAGGGCGAAGAACUUGAUUCAUGACUCGCAUAAAAGUACUCGGAGCAUUGGAUAAGCCAAACGGCAUUACCAACCACUCUUAUAACCCUUCGCGAAUUUUAAAAGCUGUUUUCCAUUCAUCUCCAGGCCGUAUUCGAAUUUGAUGGUAGCCACUUUUCAAAUCAAGUUUGGUAAAAAUUGUUGCUCCACUGAGUUGAUCUAACAAGUCAUCUAAUCGAGGGAUUGGAAAACGAUAUCGAACUGUAAUUUUAUUGAUAGCUCGACUGUCCACGCACAUCCUCCAAGAACCAUCUUUUUUUGGAGUCAAUAAAGCAGGGAUUGCACAGGGACUAAGACUUUCACGGAUAAAUCUCUUUUCUAGUAACUCUUCCACUUGGCGCCUUAAUUCUUCAUGUUCUGUAGGACUCAUACGAUAAUGAGGUCGAUUUGGUAAUGUAGAACCUGGUACCAAAUCAAUUUGGUGUUGUAUAUCCCGAAGAGGUGGUAAACCCUGUGGUAGCUCAUUGGGGAACAAAUCUUGAAAUUCUGUCAGAAUAGGUGUCACAGCUUCAGGAAUCUUCGAAUCACUGUUACUCUAUUUUCCCAAUAAAAUGUAGACUCUCUUUGUCUCUGCUACAACAUCUAUAAAUUGUUUCUUGCCUAACAAAUAAUUACCCAAAUCUUGCUGGAGAGUAAACUCCUUGUUAGGUAGGAGAACGAUCUUGGUGUUGUUAAACAUAAAGUUGUAGGUGUUUCUCUUCCCAUCAUGCACUACGUUUCGAUCAUAUUGCCAAGGUCUACCCAGUAAUAGAUGACAAGCAUCCAUAGCCACAACAUCACACUAAAUUUUGUCUUUAUAAAUUGAACCAAUGGAUAAGGAAACUAAACAACGUUUUGAUACUGUCAUUUGAUUUCCCUUCUUCAGCCAUGUGAGCUUAUAUGAAGUUUGAUGAGGUUCUGUCUUUAAAUUUAGCUUUGUUAUGGCUUCUUCCGAAAUGACAUUCUCGCAAUUGCCUGAGUCUAUGACCAUACGACAUACUUUACCCCCAAUUGUGCAAGUAGUCUGAAAGAUAUUUUGUCGUAGCCACUUGUCUUUGUCUUGCCCUUUAGGAGUGAAGAAUGCACGGUUCACGAUCAACAUUGGUCCGCUAUCACCAUGUUCUUCAACAGAUUGAGCGCUACCACUACUAUCAAAAGUUGGCUCUACAGCGAACUCUUCAAUUUCUUCCUUCUGAUAGUCUUCGCUUUCCUCUGUGCCUACGAAUAAGCCUUUACCAUAUUUUCCUCCCUUUUUACAUUCUGUCAUUCGGUGCCCAUUUUCUCCGCAAUUAAAACAGCGUAAUCCCGAACCCGAGGAUUGAGUUUUGCUGCUUUGACCGAUUUCACUAGGUUUACUAGUUUUAUUUGGAGGAUUUGGAGGAGUGAAAUUACGAAAUUGGGAAGUCGGGUUUGAAUUAUCACAAACAACACUUCGAGCACCCUGAAAGCUUGAGUCAUUUGUACGUCGACUAAAUUGCUUCUCCAACUGCAAGGCUUGUUGGUGUGCCUCUGAAACAGAGUAUGGGUCAAAUAAAUUUAAUUGGUCUUGAAAUUGAGAUCGUAGGCCUCCAAUGUAGCAGGAAACCUGUUGUUCUUCUGUCUCUGUCAAGUCAUUGCGUGCCACCAACCAAUGAAAUUCUGUAGUGUAAUCAUCCACUGAUCGAUUACCUUGCCUUAAAUUCUGUAGCUGUUGGUAUAACAGUUUGGCGUAAUUAUGAGGAAAGAAUGCUCCACGCAAGUGCUUCUUGAACUUUUCCCAAGAAUCAAUCUUCUUUUUGCCUUGCCUAAUCCUUGUGAGCUUAGUUUGUUGCCACUAAGCUGCUGCUCUUCCACGAAAUCGAGUUGCAGCAAGCGAAACUAGUUUAUUUUCAGGAACUUCUUUGUAUUUGAAAACUUCCUCAAUGGCGUUAAUCCAAUCCAAUAAUUCUUCAGGUUGACCACUUCCUUGAAAUUCGGGAAUGUCAAUUCUCAACCCAGAUUCCCAUCUUCUGUCAUCAGUAGACUCAGUUCUAGGUCGACGCCCAAAGAAUGGGUUAGCAAAGCUUCCACUUGAUUUGUCUUCACGUUCUGGAGUACGAUGGUGUUCGUCAAGUAACUCUGUCAUUCGUGCCAUUUGUGCAGCUAGUAUAUCAAUUCUGGCUAUCAUACUAGCCAGGGCUUCAUCUUUAGAAACAUCUUCUUGAUUGUAAGUUGCAGUAUGAGCAUCACGAGCUUUUCUUGGAGGCAUCUUAUCAAAUUCGGGUUUAAAAAGGUAGUGGGGCUAAACUGAAAGUAAAUAAAAAUUUUAGGCCGAAACUGUAAUUAAGCAAAAGUUUUAGAUUUCUGAUGACGGUAGUCGGAAAUCGAGUAAGGAUGGGUGGAUCUGAAAGAUUUUGGGUUGGUAAGUAUGAUGGUGGUGGUGGUUUGUCCGAAAAAGUGGUGUUUUGGCCGGAAAUUGUAGAUAAAGCCGGCGGUUUUUGAGGGCUUCGGUUUCCGGUGGUUUGAGCGUCGAUCGGCGGUGAGGAAUGGUGGGAAAGGUUCAGUUGAUGGAGAGGAAUGGACUGAUGGUGAUACCGGGUUUUGGUUCUGAUACCAAAUUGAUGCAGCGGAAGUUUAAUGUUCAAAAUAUUCCGUUGAUUCUAGAGAAUACCGGAAUAAAAGAACAACUAAAUUCACGUUGAUUCAAAAGAAUAUCGUGAACUUAGGGGUUAAGACUCGUUGAUUCAGAAUACCGAGAAUUAAUUGUUCAAAUACUCACAAAGAGAUUUAAAAAUUGAAAUAUUAUUGAACUCAAAAUUCUACCUUCAAAUGCUACAAGAGGGAGCUAUUUAUAAUAGUAGUAAUUAUCCUAAUUCAUGAAAUAAAACAAAAUCCUAAAUUGAAAGGGAAACAAAAUUCUAAAUUAGAAAGGAAUUAAAAAGUCUUUAAACUUUAGUUAAUAAGGAAACUAAUCCUAGUAUAAUAUGGAUUCCUACUCUUCAUGAGCUAGUCUUGGAAUGACAGAGUACUUGUUCAAUACUUAUUACGACCAAAAUAAAAUUUUUUGAUUCGCCAUGUCUUUCAAAUUUGUAAUCAAAUGGCAGAUGUUUUAACUAAAUUUGUACUCUGUUGCUUUGAUUUUUAUGUUUGGCUCGAUCCCAGCCAAUUACUUUGUUAUUUUUUAUUGGUUAUUCGGAAAUAAAUGAAGUAUUAUUCAGAAAAAUAAUUACCUGCAAAAAUCGUACCCCAUUUUCAAUUAUUCGUAUCCAAAAUCUUACAAAAAGGUAAUAAUAUUCCGAAUUAAUUAAAAAAAAAUGAUGCAUAAGCAGGCAAGUCUACAAGAAACCGACCGAAAAGCGCAAAAGAAAAACAAAAGAAACACGUUCAUUCAAUUUAUCGCGAUACUAUAAAUGCUUAACAAAAUGUCAUAUCAAUUUCACCAUCAAAACUACGGUAAUUUCUUAUAUAGAUUAAAAAAAAUUAAAAGCAAAUAAAAACAAAAACAAAAAAGCAACAACUGUACUGCAACUUACCGCUCCCAAUUUUCCAAUGAAUAAAAUAAGAGUUAUUUUAAAAUACCUCUUCCGAGAUUUGAUAUAAUUUCAGUCGGAUGGUGAAAUUGAUUGUAUUCUCACUUAUCUUCUUUAUAGUUAUUAUACAUACACGUAUAAUGUUAGUAUUUGAAGGCAAAAAUAUAAAAGACAUGUUGAAAAUCUAAAAAAAAAAAGUAACAAUUAAAAAUGGUUUGAAAUUCAUUAGAUAAUUAUAUUAUCUAAUUACACUAAAUAUCAAUUGUGUAAAAGAGUGAAUUUUCUCUUUCUCCAGCACAAAAAAGUAAUGGAAAUGUCUUGCUCUCACAUCAAGAAUCAAAGCAUUUUCCACUCCACUCCCCUACUCUUAGUUGCUAGAACAAAAGCAAAUAAACACAAAGAGCAUAUAUAACCCAUGAAGAAGACAAGCAUGGGUGGUCGGAAAAGGCCACCGACCAGUGACGAUUGACGGCGAUCGGAAUAUGCCACUGGUAUUGGAGUUUGUAAGAGGUUAGUUACUUUAUCAAAGUCUAAAAUUUUUAAAUACCUUUAAUUUUCUUAUUUUUGGAGAUUUCAUAAGUAGUUGUUGAUUGGGUUUGAUUUUCUUGUUCAUUGGGUUGAUGGUGGAAAAAUUGAUUAAAAGGAGAAUGGGUUCAACAAUAUGUGGGCAUGAGUUGAAAAAAAAUUGUUAUUGGUUGUUUUUUGUUUGUGAUUUACACCAUAAAUAGUAUAAUAAAGUAUAUAAAGCCAAUAAUUUGUGAUUUUUAUGACAAAUAAGUAUGUAAAAUAGAAGUAGUCUUAGCUGUAAUUUUUAUUUUUUUUGGCCAAAGUUUGCUAAAGUUGAUCUGUUUAUAAAUUUGUAGUGUUUUUGUGCGCCCAACGCACAAACACAGUUUUUGUGUUUUUGAGAGACAGGGGCCUGUCCCCCGUGCGACAGACCCACGUUGCACGAACACAGUUUGUGUUUUUGGGCGACAACAUUGUCGCCUGUGUGACAGGCUUAUGUCAUCCGAAUUCAGUUUCUGUGUUUUUGGGCGACAAUGCUUGUCGUACAGGCGACAACCCCUGUCGCCCAAAAAACACAGUUUGUGCUUAAUAUUAAUUCAAAAUAAAAAUAGUAAACUGACACUCACACACACAUAAUUAAAACAUAUAUAUACAUUAUUAUUAUCACAAUUAUUAUUAAUAACUUUAUUAAAAUGUAUUACUAUUAUCAUUAUUUUUCUUUAUUAUUGUAAAUGUUGUUUUUGUUUUUUAGUAAUGUCAUUAUUAUUAUUAUUAUUAUUAUUAUUAUUAUUAUUAUUAUUAUUAUUAUUAUUAUUAUUAUUAUUAUUAUUAUUAUUAUUAUUCUUUUUCUUCUUCUUCUUCUUCUUAAUUAUUACUUUGUUUUCACUUAUUAAUGUCUGCAUAUUAAAAUAUGAUCGGGACGAAAUGCCAACUGAACCGUCUGUUGUUUCACUAGAACCUACAGCAGAAAUGGACUGAUUUGACUUAGCAAACGAGAAUAAGUUUGCUCUCCCUGAUUUGAAUGGUGAGGUUCACAUUGAGCAGGUGACAACAAUAGAAGCUUCUCUUGAGAGGAUGCCAGCAAAUGACGAUGGAGAUCGCUAUGCGGAUGAACCUACAGAAAAGGAUAUUGAAAAUGAUUUGCCUCACGCUGAUAGCGAAUGAGAAUUUAAUGAAGUUGUUGGCGCUGCGCUUGAAUUUUUGUAUAUUCUGUAUAAAUGUGAUACUAACGAACUCACAUUAUAGUGACAAUGCCAUGUAUAAAGUAUAACUCAACUAUCACAGUAUAUUGUUAGUGUAGUUGAUCUUUUUGUUCUUUUUGUGUAUAUGAGUGAUUGUUGGAUGUAUAGGUUGAUGAAAUUCAGUCAAUUUGUGACUAUCACCAACUGUAAGCUGCGGAAAUGCACAUGUCGCCGUAAUUUAAAUUAUGAUGUCGUUCUACUUAGUGUUAUUUUCUAAUUCAAUUAACUCAUACUAAUGUUUUUUUUUCCUUUUGGUACAAAUUUAAAUGUUUGUUAUUUGUGUUGUUGGUUUGGUGAUAUACAACUUGAUGGUUUGGAAUUUACUUAUUUCUUUAAACAACUAAAAUACUACUGGGUUAGUGGUGAUGGAAUCCUUUAAUGUAUUUUGGAGACUGGUAUAGUCUGUUGCUGAGAAAACUAAAUUAUAUUUUAGUGGUUUUGAUUUCACGCGACAGUUUCUGUCUCCCAAGAGACGAGCAUUCGUCACUCAAAAUUAGUUAAACAAGUUUUAUGUAAUUUGGUGAGACAGCCACCUGUCUCCCGGGAGAUGAGCAUUUGUCACUUAAAAUUACAGAAACAAGCUUUCUGUAAUUUGGGGAGACAGACACCUAUCGCCCAGGAGACAGUGCCUGUCACUUAAAAAGUAGGCGCGAUUGCGAUAGACCCUGUUGCGUGCGCGAUUUUACAGAAAUCCAAAAUAGCCUCUUAAGCUUGUUGUCGCAAACUUUUUGUGCUAGAUGAUGAGCUUACAAAACAGGACUUUGCAUGAAUGCACCAUCAACACCUUAAUCUACCUAAAAUGAGACAAAAAAACCCUAAUAGAUAUUUUGUCGAGCACCUUAUAUGCCAUUUAUUAACUACCAAUUUCAUUAAAUCAUUUUUAAUAUUUACUCGACAAUCAAUCCUAAUGCUCAUUUAUAAUCAUCUAUACACUCAUAUGUCAUCAAUAAAUCUUAGUAUAUGUUACUUUAAUUCAACUGAUAUUCCUGUUGAGAAAUUAUAAAAACAAAAAUUAUACGGUAGCCAACUUCCUUGCAUGAACAUGACCUUGAUUCAAUUUAUUGAAUAUACGUAUAUGUUACUUUAAUAUACUUUUUUUUUUAUAGUUUACAAAAUGUAGUGCUUAUUUUCUUUUGUAUACCAAAUAAUAGAUGUGUAUGUAGGUUGAAGCAAAUAUAAUUUUAUAAACUAACACUAUGUUGCAUCGUAUUUGGUAAAAUAUUUAAUGUUGACAUCUUAUGACAUUAUUAUUAAAUCUUCAAAAAAGAUUCUUCAUUGUAUUAAACAAUUUUCUAUAUAAUAUAAAUUAUGUAUUUCGUCAUAAUGGAAGCUGUUAAGAAAGAUUGUCUCAACUUUAUAUUAAGAAUUUGUAUUCAUAGCUAUAUAAUAUGAUCUAAACCUUAAACAUUAAAAUUGUUUCAUAACUUAGUUAUCAAUAAAAGAUUUAACAAUUUUUUAAUUAUAAAUCAUAAAUAUUAGCACAUUAUAAUACAAUAUUAAAAUAAACCUUAAAGUUAAUUUAUUAUCGUCACAUUAUAAAUCUAUAGAAUUAAUUUGAAUUAGUAAAAUUAUUAAGCCAAAGUUAGAAAGAUAUAUCAAAAUUGGCUGGAACUGCCUAUUAAAGUAACAUAUAUGUAUUUUAUAUGGAUACAUUAUGUAGCAAAAAAAAUGAAGAUUUUUGUAACAAACUUGGCAAAUAUCUAAAUUGCUAUGUUGAUACUAAAUAAUUAAUCGCUUUAAGAAUCCAUUUACUUUUGGUGUAAAUCAAAAGGAAGACGAUAGAUUCACGGAACUUCUGCCUCAAAAAAGCAAACGAUCCAAAUUGGAUAAAUAGUCAAUCAAUUAAUCAAACAAAGUCGUCUAAAUAUAAUGAGAACUUGACCUUUUGCUUUAUCUCAGCAACAAGUUGAGUGUUGUGUGACUUAAAAUUAAAAUAUUAAUCAAACUACAAAAUUAUAUCAUUUAAGAAAUUAUAUUUAGGUAUUUAUUUAAUUAAAGUUUUAGUUAGUCACCGAGUGACUCUUAAGUGAGAAUGUUAAUUCCUUGAGCAUCAUGUGACACUUUCUUUAAAGAUUUUUGAAUUGUUUGAUGGUUGUGAGAGUAAAAUUUAAAAUAAUAAAAAUAAAUGUAAUUAUCAUGUUAAUGGGACCACAUUUUAAUCAUUAACUCAUAUAAGAAUAUGAAUUCAAAUAUCAUGUGAAUGAAAUUUGGAAAAAAAAAAUAGAUUUGUUAACAUCACAGUUACAAGUUGACUUUAAAUUUUUAACGGGUCCAGCUACUAUACCCAUGAGGUUUGGUACCCCAUUCUUUUGUCUUUUUCAAAUCCAUCGUUGGAUUUAACUUGAGAGUUGUAUAAUGGUUAGAUGUGAUUAUUGGGUCAUUAACAUUAAAAACCCUUGUUGUUCAUGCAAAAUAAGAAAAAUCAAAAGUUUUAUAAUUAUGACAUAUAAGUCCACAAUAUUUAUUUUUUUACUCUAUUGAACUAGGUUUUCAAUUAAAUGACUUAUUCUUACAUUUAUUAAUAUCUAUUUAAAUUAAUAAAUUUACUUAUUAAUUAAUUAAUUAAUUAAUAUAUUAACUAAUUUAUUACAUAGUUAAACUAUGUAAAUUAUUUACUAACCAUAAUUGAUGAUAAAUAUAAAUAUGAUUUUUUUUUUUUAAUUUAACACGGCAACCAAUUUCCUUUCACCCGUGUGAGCAGAGUUCAAACCCCAUAUCUUUUUCUUUUUUUUUCUCAAACAAGAGAUUUUAUAUGUAAAGUAGAUGGAAUACACAAAAUACGAAAAUAAAUUUAAUUUCAUAUUCUAUGUAGGUAAUGUUUUGUUAUUUUUUUAUAACAUAAUAUUUAAUUAACAUACUAAAUUAUUUAAUUAUGUAGUAAAAAUAUUUUAAUUUACUAAUAAUAAUAAAGUGUUGUUUAUGAAUUUGUAAAAUCAUUUUUGUUUGUUUGAGCAAUGAGUUUUGUAUUUUUGAUUGAAUUUUUUUCCUAAAAUAAAAGGAGUAAAUUUAAUUGUAUACUUAAAUAAAUUUAAUUGAGUUUUUGUCCUGAAAAUCGUGGCUUCCAUAAGCAUUAAUGCAAUUAAAAAUUUGUAGGGGUAGGACUAAUAUGUGAAAAUUUAAAACUUUUUAACUUUUUUGUUUUUAGAAUAAAUUACAGGACUCUAUUAUAAUUGACCUUAAGAAAAAGACAAAAAGGUGUACCAAACCCUAGUUGCAAAGUAGUUUUGCCCCCAACAUUAACAUUUGAAGUUUAUGCUUUAAUAAAAUUGUGUAAAUUCGAUAACAAAAACAUUAAAUUCAAAUAAAAGUAAAAUUUACAUGUUGUUCAGCUAGUCUUGGAAUGAUAGAGUACUGGUAUAGAAUUAUGAUGUUCAAUACUUAUUACGACCAAAAUAAAUUUUUUUGAUUCGCCAUGUCUUUCAGAUUUGUAAUCAAAUGGCAGAUGUUUUAUCAAAAUUUGUAUUCUGAUGCUUUGAUUUUUAUGUUUGGCUAGAUCCCAGGCAAUUACUUUGUUAUUUUUUAUUGGUUAUUUGGAAAUAAAUGAAGUCUAUUAUUCAGGAAAAUAAUUACCUGCAAAAAUCGUACUCCAUUUUCAAUUAUUCGUAUCCAAAAUCUUACAAAAAGGUAAAAUAUUCUGAAGUAAUUAAAAAACGACACGUAAGCAGACAAGUCCACACGAAACCUACCUAAAAGCGCAAAACAAAAAAUAGAAAGAAAAAGAAACACGUUCAUUUAAUUUAUCGCGAUACGAUAAAUGCUUAACAAAAUGUCAUAUCAAUUUCACCAUCAAAACUACGGUAUUUUCUUAUAUAUAUUAAAGAUUUUUUUUUAAAGCAAAUAAAAACAAAAAAAAAAGCAACAAUUUCCCAAUGAAUAAAAUAAAUAUAAAGGACUCGUGCAUGCCUACCAUUUCCCUCCUGUUUUUGUCACCCGCCUCCUCCUCAUCUCGCCACCUGUUUCCCCCACUACACCCCCCAAAACGUCACCGUUUCAUUCUCACUCCUUCCUCACACCCCUCCUUUUCCCCACAUUCCUUCGUUUCAUAUCAACUCAAAAAUUCAUUCUUUCAACAUUAAUAAUAAUAAUUUUAUUGAAAUAAAUCAAUCAAAAAGGUAACCCCAAAUAUCUCCUCCAGCUUUUUGCUGCUUCUUAAUUUUGAUCGACUAUGACGAUGUACUAAAGCUUCAAUUUUUUUCGGUUUUUUCAGUCAACGCUUUUGCUUCAAGAUUUCGUUUUACCUUCCUUGAAAAUUAAAGCUCACCUAAUUGAUACGAUUAAAGUUCUUUUUUUAGCUGAAGAUUGAUACAAUUUUCACUUCAUUUUUUUUCUUAACUUUGUAUCCGGAUUUGCUACUUUUGUUUAAAGUUUUUUAUUUUUUUAUAUUUUUCUGUGGAGCUAAGCAUGACUUUGGUUACAGCUUUAUAUUAUUUUAACAUAUAAUUAGACUAAUUUAUUUAUUUGUGGAUUUAUUAUUUUUUAAAUAUGGUUUGAGACUUCUGAUGUUUCAAUAUUUAUUGCACACGUGUAGUGCAGUGGCUUUAAUGAAUGUGGUAUUGUAAAGUUUAAAGCUUUUUGCAUGUGAAUGAGUUGGUGUGUACUCUUCCAUUGAUGUUUAGAUUCAUGUAUGUGGUGAUCUCUGAUCUGGGUACACGUUAGAUUUUAAUUUUAUGGCAUGGUUCAUUUGACCAAAUUUUAUUGUUACUUGAACUGAUGAACACGAAUUUUGAAGUGAAUACGUGUGUUUGAUUGACUGGAUUUUGUAAGAUUCCUUUGUAGAAGUAUUUUAAUCCCACGAAGAGUAUGAUUCAGCAAAUAGCUUUGGGAAUGGUAUUGAUUCUAUUCUUGCUUGUUUAUUCAUAUAAUAACUUUGAUGCAACCUUCAGAUUCCUUUUGAACCAUGUAGUUAUAUAUUUGGAUUAGUUUAUAGCAUAUCAACUGUUGAUUGUUGCAUUUAGAUGUUUUUUGUUACUUCCGCUCUUGAUUGCUUAUUAUAUGUCAGUUAAAGAGCAAACAUUAUACAAGUUCUUGAUUGAUUAGUGCUCUUUCGUAUAACGGGUUCGUGACUGAUGUUCACUUUCUUAUUUGACUUUGUUUAUGCAGUUCUUGUAGCGAGAUUGUGUAAUUUGAAUAUUCAGAUACUUCCGUAGCUGAUGGCUUCGCCAGAUAUUGAGCCUCCCUGGAUUUGUGCCGCUGGCGAAUCCUUCUGUGGGUCAUUUAAUAUACGCGUGGAGGAGGGGAAUGCAGCCGAUUUUUUACAUGUGCUGGAAGUUCCCACCUCUUCUGUACCCUAUAACUGUAGUAUACCCAAGCCACCCCCUCUCCCAUGUCUAUUAACUCACCAGUAUACCGGAAUGAGCUGGGAUACAGGACUUACGCAACGAAGAUCACAGAAAAACCCGACGUGUACAGUUUCGGAGUGUUACACUGGAAGUGAUCAAGGGGAUACAAGAGAUUUUCUUUCCUCAGUUUCGUCUUCAUCUUCCAACAUGAACAUGCACGAGUAGCUGCUCUGCUAUAUCUAUUGGUUGCCUUCAUUACUCAUUGUUGCACAAGCUAAUCGUACACAUCAUGCUAUGUACGCCUCAAUUCGGAACAAAAGAAUGCUAGUUGAAGACACACAACUCAAAAAAGAAAAAUUUAGUUCGCAGAUGGCCACAAAAGACUAGCUACGUUUUUGUCCAAAAAAAAAAAACAAAAGAAAUAAACUGUAGUUCCAUGACCCACUUUCAAAACUAUCAUUGAUAUAGAACCAUUAGUUCCAUCUCUCGCCUAAAGCUUCGGGAGAUAUGGUAAAAAAUCUCCUUAUCGCCAUAGUUUUGCUACAAAAGCCAAUAGAAUUAAUGAUCCUUAUAAAUUAUGAAUUACAUCCUAAUCUAGUUGCAUUAUUUUGGAUUUAAAAAAAAAUCUUGCUUUGAUCAUCAUACCGAUUGGAAAUAUCAAAUUCUAAGGCUCGUCAUUAAUUGGGACAAAAUUUUAAUUACAUCUCAACUUUGUAAAUAGAAGUACUUAUCAUUGAAAUAUAAUUAAAGUAGCAAGAGGCCGUUUGAAGUGUAAAAUGAAAAGGAGAGAGAAGGGUAGCUAUAGAUGGAUAAGAUAUGGGUCAGAAGGAGUCAAAAUUUGAUAAAACCUUUUGGGAUUGUAUCUAACAACAUUUUUUUUCCCGGUUGGAUCUCAGUGUUUAUACAAAAGCAAAGAUUUGGAUGACUAAAAUGUGACGCUAUACUUAUAAAGUAGAGAUAUAGAGUUUAUCACCAGUGUAACAUAUACAUGGUCUUUACACAAUUCACCAUGUGACAGAUGAUAAGGUAAAUUAUCAAUUAAAAACAUGACAGUUUGUAGUAAUGUUAGAUCAUAUGAUAUGCUUAUUGAGUUAAUGGUCAUGUUCGGUCCAAUUGAAUAAGUCUAAAGUAUUAGUAAAGUUGAAUAAGUCUAAUUUAGUUGAGAUAUUAUCAACUUAGUUUGUCAAGUAUCCAGUUCCUGAUUUGUUGGGAUUAUUUUGUUUCAUUCCUGUUUAUGUGUUUGUCUGGCUUGUAUAAAUAAGCCAUUGUUGAAUGAUGAAGGCAUGAAUCAUUUUAUCAAAGAAAUACUUGUGUUACAUCUUGGAGGGAUUGGCUUCCUCGAAUUAGCCAACUGUUAACGUUACCAAGUGCAAGGGCAAGAUAGGAAGAGACAAGCAGAAUAAAAAUAGCUUGCCUGUAUCAUCAUAUGUCACACUAGUUGAGAUUGAAAUUAAAAAUUAAGAAGUCCUAUACUCAAAGUGGUUCUAACACAUUGUAGAUGCAAUUCAAUGCUUGAAUGGAUAUUUGCGAGGGAAUAUGAUCCUCUCCUAAUAUGAGCACUACUAAGCUUUUAAACAAUGUAAGAACUUGUUUUCUCCAGAUUAAGAAAUUAGAUCGAUCUAGUUUUAUUGGAUUACUAAAUGAGAAUGAGAUCUGUGAGGAUUGAUUUGCAUUUGUUGAAUUUGAAAGUGUUGUUGUGUUGCUGGAACUAGCCAUACUGGCUCUGAUACCAUGAAAGAAAUUAAGAAAAUUGUUGUUUGGUUGCUGAGAAAAUAUCUCAGAAAAUUUCCAGAGAACUUCCAGAAUACCUGUAUUUAUUUUUCUUAAAUGGAAAUGUUAUAAUUACAACUUAUUUAUACUUGAUGCUUAAGCAUUACUAGAGCUAAUGAUUAACUGAUUCAGAAGAAUCUACACAUGCUCAACUACAGCUCGAUAUACAGAGUAAACAUAACAAACUCUCAACUACUUGAGCUGAGGUGGCAGCUGAGCUGUCAUUCUGCUCAUACUCAUCUGACGCCACCAGCUUGCUGGUUUUCCUUAGCUUGAGCACCUUCCUCUUUUCUGCACAGUGAGCUUCUCUAACAGUUACCAAGUCCAAGUGGUUCUAACACAUUGUAGAUGCAAUUCAAUGCUUGAAUGGAUAUUUAUGAGGGAAUAUGAUCUUCUCCUUAUUUGAACUCUACUAAGCUUUUAAACAAGGUUUACUCGACAUCGAAACAUUGUGAAGUUUUAUGGAUUUUGCUCACAUGCCCGACACUCUUUUAUGGUCUAUGAAUUUCUUGAAAGGGGUAGCCCAUGUCUUACUUGCACCAUGACUGCUUUCCUCCGAUUGUCCAUCGAGACAUAUCAAGUAAGAACUUGUUGCUGGAUUUGGAAUAUGAAGCUCAUGUUGCAGACUUUGGAAUUGCUAAGUUUCUGAAGCCGGACUCGUCCAACCGGUCUGAAUUCGCAGGCACAUACGGACACGUUGCACCAGGUAUUUAGUAUUCGCUUGUUGCCAAUUUGAGGAAUAUUUUUAUGUUAUGGGUGUGGUAUCAGGACAAUGUACCUAGAUAUUGUUGAAAAAAAUUAUGUAGUACAUUCAGUAGACUAGUUUAUGCACAUUUAUCUUAGAAACAGAGUUUGCUUACACAAUGAAGAUCACAGAGAAAUGCGAUGUGUACAGUUUUGGAGUGUUAGUGUUGGAAGUGAUCAAAGGGAAGCAUCCAAGAGAUUUUCUUUCUUCGAUUUCAUCUUCAUCUCUCAACACGGAUACAGCACUUGAUGAAAUGUUUGACCCGCGUCUUCCAGCUCCAUCAUGCAGUGUUCAAGAAAAACUGAGAUCAAUCGUGGAGGUUGCGUUUUCAUGCUUAGAUGGGAAUCCAGAAUCGUGACCAACCACGCAGACAGUCAGUCAAUUACGAAUAAUCUAAUAAUUACGAACAAUCCCAAGGGGUUGGAGACUAAGAUUUAAGGUGAACUGCCACGGAGGAGUCAGAAUCAAUCACUAAAAUAAUUGCCAUAACCUCAGCAUAGUAAUAAUUAAAAAAUAAUUUCUUGCGCAUGUACAAAGAGGUGAACCCCUCGAAUGUAAACUUGAAAGUGUUCACAACUGGAUUAAUUAAUGGACAAUUCAUAGUUAUUGUUAAUGUUAAAAGAAAGGAAUAGAUUGGGGAAAAAAAAUUAAGGAUAAUUCACAAUUAAUGUAGUCCUUGUGAUUUAAGGAAAAAUCAAGUAAGCCAGUAAUAAUUAGUACUAUUUUUCAAAUAAGUCCUCUGACCGUGUUUGACCAUUCACCGUACUGCAAAGUAAGCGAAAAAAUCGACUUCUUAGCAGCCCACUUCUAUGAUGCGAUUAAUUUCAUCCAUUCGCUGAUUCGCGUGCUGGUAGUUAGGCAAGUUUAUUUGUUGGCUGGAGAAAUUUGAUGAUUUCGGUACCAAAUAUAUACAUAUGUGUGUGUGUGUGUUUUUCCUUUAAUUUGUGAAUUUGGUAUUACUUCUGAUCAGGUGUGCGAAACAGAAACAACGGCAUUUAUUACAGAAUAUUUCUAAUUUGCAGUAUGGAAAGCUUGGAGAUGCUAAAUCUCUCCCAAAAUAACCUGUCAGGUUCAAUUCUAAGUAAUUUUGAAGAAAUGCAUGGCUUGUCGUUGGUUGAUGCAUCUCCUACAUUGAAUUACAGGGCCCAAUUCCAGUUGUAUAUUUAAUAACCAAUUUUAUUUAAACUUUAAACUUGUAUAUUUAACAAUUCUCCACAUGUCAAUCAUUUAAACUUGUACAUUUAUAACCAAUUUUCUAUGUUAUUUAUUAUGGUAUUAAUAACCAAUUUUAUUUUUAAAAUUAUAAUUAUUUACAAUUUUUUUUAUGUGUAGAUGUCUUUUUUAAAAAUUGGUUAUUGAUAAAAAUUUAAAUAGAGGAAUGAGACAAUGAUGAUAUAUUUAUAAUUUUAUUAACAAUAUAUGGACAAAUUGGAUAAUCUAAUAAUUUUUUUCAUAUGUUAGAAGGGUAUAAUGGUAAUUACAUACUAAAUUAUAAUUAAUGGGGAUGUAAAUAAUUUUUUUGAAAUAUUAGGGGGUUUUUGUCAUUUUGCCUAAACGUUAAGGGUACGUUUGUCCUUUUCCCUGUAUAAAGCAAAGAUUCGAUGACUAAAACAUGACGCUACUUAUAUAAUAUAGAGAUAGGCCAAUGCUAAGUUACAUUCAUGUAAUUUAGGGGGAUCCAUAGAGAUAUAGAUUUAUGGGUUCUGAUCUAGUGGGUCACGCGUGAAGGCCCACGUGUCCAUAAGAUGAGCGAUGGUGUCUACCAGAUUAGUUCUCUGGAGUUUAGAUCACUUCUCAAUUGCUCUUUUGCAUCCGCUGUAAUUGUUUUCUGCAACGUCGUUAAAUUAUAUACGAGUGUUUGAAAACCUUUGCAAUUUCAAUCAACUUUUGUAUUACCUUAAUUGUUUUGUUUUCUUAAUAUCAAUGGUGUCACUAACCUUGAAUAGAGUAUCUUUUACUGUUUUGUUCAUCCUAUUUUAUACGUGUUUAAUUUUUUACUUACUGUUUGUAUUAGAAUUUUUAUGUAAUUUGAUAACAUUACCUUAAAAGAAAAACCCGGGGAUGAAAUCUAACACUUACUAAUUAAUUUAAUUUUGUUUCAUAAUAAUAAACUAAAUUAAUUUUUUUUAAUAAUUUGAUAACCUUACCUUAAAAGAAAAACCUUCAUAUGAAUUAUAACGCUCACUGUGGCAUGGACAUGGACCCUUUCUUUUUUUUUUCUUUUUUUCUUUUUUUUUGGGGUCCAAUCCAAAGCUUGUCCUAUGUUUGGCAAGGUUUUAUAUAAUGAGAGAGGGAUAAAUAGAGACAAGCAUAUCCAUUGGAACCAUACCUCUAACAGGAUAAGUUGGGAAAAGCAAUCGAUAAUUUUAACUAAUUUAUUAAAAUUAUUUCAAAAAAAAAGUUGAGGGUGGGACAAAAUCCAAAUUUAUUUUUUAUCCCUUACCUCCCCAUGAUACUAUUCAGUCAGGCCCCUGAGGAAAAUUAAGUUAAUUGUUACUAAGAUAAAAAUAUUAUAGGUAAAUCAACUUUUUUCUAAUUGAAUUAUUUAAUGAUACAUAUAUUACAUAAAUUAAAAAAUUAUAGAAAUUUUUAUUUUUAUUUAAUUAAAUUCCACUCACAUUGAUUCAAAUAAUAAGCAGUAACAAAAAUUUUUUGUUAAUAAUAAUAUAAAAUAUGUUAUUGGCAAUAAUAAAAAACUGUAUUACAAAUAAUAAUACAGUUAAAUAUCUUGUAAUUUAGAUGUAUAUUUUUAUUAUUUAUUUCAUGUGGGAAUCCUCCUUGUUUUUCAGCUUCAAGUUCGUUUGAUUUAUUUAGUCUCAUGUAGCAGUGGUUGAUAAUUGUGUAGGUUAUUACGACUUCCAUACUAGAUACAGUAUAUGGUGUUCUCUUCCUUUUACAACGUGGUUCUUGUUGUAAUAACUAAUGAUUAGUAUUUUCCAGAUAAGUUCUCUGACCGUUUUUAAUCAUUAACUAACAAUUCAUAUUUUUAACGUUUAUUAAGAAUUUUAGGUUUGUCUAUAAAUAAAUGAAAGGAAUUAAUAACAAAUUCAAAGAAGGAUGAAGGAUUUUGGUAGAGUUAGGACGUAAACGAAAAUAUAAACAAUUAAUUGUGGCAUUAAGUAUGAGAAAAACUCAAUCUAGACUACUCAUAUUUUGAUAUAUCAUUUGCCAUUAGAUCUUUAAAAGUCUAAUAAACUUAGGGUUACAAAUCCUUUUUUUUUCUAUCGUGCUCGAGUUCUACAGUACAUUGGGGAAGUCCUAGAAAAUUGAUCAAGGCAACCUGGCUACAACUGAUAGAAAGGAAACGUUUAAAGUGGCUUGAUUAAUUUACAAGAACCCGGUUAGCGAGUCCAUGGUUUCUCUAGGAAGCCUCAGUCGGCUUGCGUUACCACAAUUAAUAGAAGCAUAAAAAAUAGCUUGAUGUAACAAAGAUUUGUGCGUUCUUUUAAAUUCAGCAUUUGAGUUCGUUAUGAUGAAGUUUCUGAGUUUCUUAAUCACCUAGAUAACAUCCUUUAUUGGCGGAGUCAAGUAUAAAAGGUGCUGAUGGGCAGGUGUGUCAAAGCAGAGUGAUUUGUGAUUAUCACACCAGUGAUCUUUACUAGCUCUGAGUGAAAAGAUCAUCCUUGUAAUCUUGUUAAUACUCUCUAUAUACAAUAACUGUACUCUCUUCUGAAAUCGAUUAAUCAAAUUUGUCUUUCACCUUGCACAGCUUGCUUAAACAUACUGAAUAUUUGCCUUCCUUUUUCCUUCAGCGUAAUUUGCAUGACAAUAUUGAAAUUUGAUAUAAUUAAUAAAAGUUUUAUAGUCUUGAGCAUAGUUUUAUUGUCAAAGUAUAAAUUUAUUCUUUGCUUUUUACGCUUAAUUCUUCAUGACUUUCUCUCAAAUAAGCAAAUUAAUUUGCAAAUUAUGCUCAAAGAGUUGUAUCCAUUUUUUUAAUGUUAAUUAUAAGCAUUCCCUCUAAAUGAAAAUGAUCAAACUGUUACAUGGUCCAAAUUAGAAUUACGGUCACAAUGUUAGUAUACCGGAAAUCUGGCUAGGAUCGAGAAAUAAAACUUAGUUUUGUUUGUUAAGCUGGUUGAUAUGAAUAUGAAAAGAUAUUGUAAUUCAACUUUUAAAGUCUCUUUAAUUUGUCUCGAACAUUUUGAUAACUUAAACAAAGUAUGUACAUUUGAUGACAAAAAAAGAAGGGUAUUGGAAAAGCCAACCCCAAAAUAUUUAGUCUUUCCGUUCUUUCUCUGGCAUAAUUUUCGAGGAGACAAAAUGCCCAGCAAACAAGUUAAUUUGAUCCGUUAGGAUCGAAAGAAACGUUAAUUAGUCAAUUCGUCCAUUAAUCUUGGUCACAAAUGUUUAUUCUAUGUUCUGGGACGACUUUCCAUGGACUUCAAUUGUAGUUCGAAGGAGAAUGUAUAUCAAUACAAAUAUUUUUUUAACAGAACUGCAUGCAACAAGUGAACCUUUUGUUUGGAUAAUUUUAAUAUCCUAGAUGUCGGGUUCCUCUAUGAUACUGUAAUUUUUUUACAGCAUCAAUAAUGUUUUUAAUUGUGUACCAUUGGAUUUAAUCAAUGGUACACAAAAUUUAUAGGUAAAAAAAAAUAAUAAUAAUGGUAAAUGGUUAACAAACGUGCAAGGGGUGGAGAAAUUUGUAAAAUAACUGUAACCACCCUUAGAGUUUGAAAUAAUUGCACUUAAAUAGCAUAUUUUAUUUAAAAUUAUUUUUCAAUCCCCCUUUAAAUUUAAAAUGUGAUAAUCUUUUUUAAAUAAAUCUUCCAAAAUCUAUUACCAUUAAGUAUAAAAUAUAAUGGUAGGUUAUUUAACACAAAUCAAAUAAAUAAGUUGCAAUUACAAAAUUUAUAUAUGAUAUAACACUAAUAAAUAACACAACUAAAUACAUAUACUUAAGUAAAUGUCAUAGUUACAUCAAUAAACUCAUUGUUGAGAUUGCUUGUAACAUAAAAAUUACUUGAUAACAUAUGUUUUAAUAAAAUUUAAUAUCAUAUAUUAAAAUACUCAUUAUUUUAUAUAAUAUUAAGGGUCAUUGUAUAAUUGAUCAUGAAGUAUGUAUUAUUUUUAAUACCCAUUUAACAUACUUAUUUUCUUAACUUUAUAUUUAUCUUAUAGUUAAUAUCCUUACAUGGUAGGAGUUUUGAGUUUUAUAAGCUUAUAUAUUUUCUUUUUAUUUUCAAAUAUCACUUUGUUAAUUUCAUAAAAGUUAAAUCGAAUAUAUAUUCCUAAUGAGCUUUAGUUUAUGAAUCGUGAAAGAUUAUUUUAUUGAUAUCCUUUGAUUGUAAUUAUAAAAUUUUAUGUUAUGAAGAGUAAUUACUUUUGUUAUGAUAGUUAAUAGUGACAAUAAAUAAAAUAUUGCCUUCAAUAAUAUUUAUGUGGGAAAAAAAGUGAAAGAAAAUAAUUUAUAUUUUUAGAUUUUUAUUAACAUGGUAGGAAAUUAUCUCAGCCUUAUAAAAUUUAACAUUCACAAGCUUAUUUUCAUUUUAUUUUCAAAUGUCACUUUGUUAAUUUCAUAAAAGUUAAAUCUAACACAUAUUCCUAAUUAACUUUAGUUUAUGAAUCAUGAAAGAUUAUUUUAUUGUUAUUCUUUGAUAGUAAUUAUAAAAUUUAUAUGCUACGAAGAGUCAUUACUUUUAUUAUGAUAAUUAAUAGUGACAAUAAAUAAAUUAUUACAUCAAAUAAUAUUUAAUGGACAAAAUGAGGAAAAAAAUCAUUGUAUAUUUUUAUAUUUCCAUUAUAAAGAUAUGGUUUGUGAUACUUUAACUUAAAAUUUUGGCACAAUAUUUGAGCCACUAAUAUCUCAUAGUCUAAUGGUUGAUAUUGAAAGUGAAAACACCAUUUCAUAAUGUUAUAUCCUCCACCAUUGAAUUGCAUGAAAUAAAUAGUUUAAUUUUUUGAUAAAAAUUUAAAUCAAAAUAUUUCUCACUCUAUAGUUAUAUAGACAUAUAUAUUUUUCAAUAAUAAUUGGUGAAUAAAAUAUUUCUCAUUUGCUUUGACUCGUAUAGUCUUAUUAAUAAAACACAUAUAAAAUAGUUUAUUACAAUACUUUCUAUUAUCAUUAUUGUUUGGGUUCCUCUAUGAUGCUGUAAUUUUUUUACAGCAUCAAUAAUGUGAUGUCUUUGAAAACUUUUGCCUUAACCAAUAAAACUCUUCCCUACUUGAUCAGGUUUUGACUCAUACGCCUCUCAAAUGCUUGUUUAGAAAAAAGCUUGUGGGCACGAUCCCCAUACCCCUAGAAACACUCCACACGUUCAAAAUAUAAAAGGUAUAUGAGGAGGAAACGAUAGGAGAGCAAGGCAAAAAAAAAAAAAAAAAAACUAAUUCAAAACAAAGUCAAUACCUUUACAAGAUUUCUACAUCUUUGCUAACUUAAGCAUCGGAGUUGAAUUCGGAAAUCUCAUUUUCCAAUUGUCCCAUUUCACAUUUUGGUUUAUUAUGUGUGCAAAUGACUUCCAUCUACCGCACUUGGUUCAGUUCACAUAGAGAAGAAAUAAGUAUUAACAAUCACAUAUAUUUUUUUAUUACAUUUCCGAUAUGCUUUUCAUGUCCUUGCAUUAUAUAAAUAAAAAAAAAAAGGAGAAAGAGAGAGAGAAUUGAAGAAUCUUCCCGGAAAAACAAUAACGUCAAUUCAAUCCCAGAAAUUAUGCAAUUCACGGUAAGCUAAUCCGCCUUUACAAAGCUUGAAAACGUACGUGCCCAGAAUUUUUAUUAUAAUUUUUUAUUGCUAUUUAAAUUAGGUAGUUGCGCUUGCGCAUGCGAACUUGAAAAUGACAUAUGCAAUUUUAUGAGCUGGCAUUGAUUACAUUGUAAACCAUGCAUGCGAUCUUCNNNNNNNNNNNNNNNNNNNNNNNNNNNNNNNNNNNNNNNNNNNNNNNNNNNNNNNNNNNNNNNNNNNNNNNNNNNNNNNNNNNNNNNNNNNNNNNNNNNNNNNNNNNNNNNNNNNNNNNNNNNNNNNNNNNNNNNNNNNNNNNNNNNNNNNNNNNNNNNNNNNNNNNNNNNNNNNNNNNNNNNNNNNNNNNNNNNNNNNNNNNNNNNNNNNNNNNNNNNNNNNNNNNNNNNNNNNNNNNNNNNNNNNNNNNNNNNNNNNNNNNNNNNNNNNNNNNNNNNNNNNNNNNNNNNNNNNNNNNNNNNNNNNNNNNNNNNNNNNNNNNNNNNNNNNNNNNNNNNNNNNNNNNNNNNNNNNNNNNNNNNNNNNNNNNNNNNNNNNNNNNNNNNNNNNNNNNNNNNNNNNNNNNNNNNNNNNNNNNNNNNNNNNNNNNNNNNNNNNNNNNNNNNNNNNNNNNNNNNNNNNNNNNNNNNNNNNNNNNNNNNNNNNNNNNNNNNNNNNNNNNNNNNNNNNNNNNNNNNNNNNNNNNNNNNNNNNUUAAUUUAAAGAGAACUUUACAUGGAGUGAUUUAAUUCAUAUAAAACUGAGCUAACAUACUUUUUUUUUUUUUUUGCUAAAAUUUUUUUAGUAAUGACGUCUGAACUAACGAAAAUUUUCGCUUACAUAUUCAAGUGAAAAAAAUAAAACGUCAUCUUACUGUUUAUUUGAUGAAAACCAAAUGGUUAAAGUGACUUGAUUUACAAGAACCCGAUUAGCGAGCCCAUGCUUUGCGUAGGUAGCCUCAGUAGCCCUGCGUUGUGAUAAUUAAUAGAAGCAUCAAAAAUAAAAUUUGUUUUGAUGUAACAAAGAUUUGUACUUACUAAAUUCAGCAUUUCAGUUCGUUAUGGUGAAGUUUCUGAGUUUCUUAAUCAAGUAAAAUAGCAUCCUUUAUUAGCCGAGUCAAGUAUAAAAUGCUGAUGGGCAGAUGCCAAAGCAGAGUGAUUUGAGAUUAUCACACCAGUGAUCUUUGCUAGCUCUGAGUGCAAAGAUAAUGUUUGUAAUCUUGUUAAUACUCUGUAUAAAUAAUACUCUCUUCUGGAAAUCCGUUGAUCAUAUUUGUCUUUCACCUUGCAGAACUUGCUCACACAAUGAAGAUUACUGCAUAUUUGUGAUUUCCUUUUUCCAAGGAAAUUAUUAUGACAGUAUUGAGAUUUGAAAUGAUUGUUUGCAAAUUUUCUAGUUUAAAAUUAAGUAUGGAUUUAUUACCACAGUAUGUUUAUUCUUUGCUUUAUGCUUAAUUCAUCUUGACUUGCUUACAGAUAAGUAAAUUAAUUUGAAAAUUAAGCUCGAAGUGUUAAUCCAUUCUUCCAAUAUUAAUUACAAGCAUUCAAUAGGAUGAAACUGUUACAAGGUGCAAAUCAAAAUUAUGUUAACAAUGUUAGUAAAUUUGAAAGCUAGCUAGUCUCUACAAAUUCAAUAUAGUCUUGUGUAUUAAAUUGGUGGAUACGAAGGUGAAUAGAAAUUAUAAUUCAAUAUUUAAAGUCUCUCUGUCUCACUCAUUUUAAUAUCUUAACAAUGUACAUUUGAUGACAAAAAAGAAGAGUAUAGAUAAGCCAACCCCAAAAUAUUUAGAAUUUCCAUUCUCUCUCUGCCGUAAUUUUCGGGGAAGCGAAUGCCCAGUGAACAAAAGUUUGAUCAAUCAGUGAUUGGAUCCAAAGAUACGUUAAUUAGUCAAGCCUUUCCAUUCAUUUUGAUCACAAAUGUUUAUCCUAUUUUGUGGGACGACUUGCCAUGGACUUUAAUUGUAGUUGGAAGGGGAGUGGCUAUCAAUACAAAGAUUAUUUUGACGGAGUCAGAAUUGCAUGCAACAAGUGAACGUUUUGUUUGGGCAAUUUUAAAAUCGUAGAUGUCUUUUAAGACUUUUGCCUUAAGCAACGGGGAAAACUCUUCCCUACUUGAUCAGGCAUCGACUCAUACACCUCUCAAUUGCUAGUCUGGAUUCUAUAUAAUUUUGGCUCGCGUGGAAAAAGCUACUCGUGGAUUCCACCUAAUAACUCCAAUGAUUUUUCCUGAAAUUAAAACCAUAAUCUUUAGCCUUUAACCAUUUAGACUUUGGGCACGGACGAACGGUGUGUUAUGUAGUUCAUAGUUGAAGUGAAAACGGUCUAAAUUUUAGCCAACACUCGGUUUAUGAAAACAUAUAUAGUUGUGAUCAAGAUUAAUGGACAAAUUGGUUAAGGCUUUUUGGAUCAUAAACAAACUUGUGUACUGGGCGUGCCAUUCAAAGAAAGGAAAAAUAUUGACCGUACCGCGCCGGGUGUUAGUUGCUAGGCAAGUUCAAUUGUUGGCAUUAGAAAUUUGAUUUUUGUUGAACUACUUUUGUGGAGGAAAGAAAAAAAAAAAAAAAGCUCUCUGCCCACUGCAGAACUGAUGUAAAUCUAAACAGGUUUAGGGUUUAUUAAAUCAUAUACUUGGGUGAGAUUCCAAAAGAACUUUGAAAGUUAAAUGAUCUAACGAAACUCAUUUUUUGGGGGUAAAGGAAUCAACUUACAGGACAUAUACUCCAGAAAUUAGAUUACUUAUUAGUUGAACUUACGUACCUCUGCAAAUGGAUUUAACGUCAACGUACUCAAUCCCAAAAAGUCUAACAACGCUUGAAAACGUGCUGAGAAUUUGUAAGAUUCAACACCGAGUGGACUGACUCCAUCAGUUGCCCCACAAAAGUUAAUGCAGUCCGCAAUAGUUGUACGCCAAAGCAUUAUAAUUUUUCUACUGCCAUUUAAAUUGGCUAGUUGCGAAUGAGAACUCGAAAAUGACAUACGUAAUUUUAUGAGCCACCAAUAAUAAUGGAGGCUCUUAUGUUGAGUUUUAUUACAGUCUCUGAAUUCUAACCUUUUUUCUUUAAUUUUUUUAAAUUCCUGUACGCUGGUGGCGUAUGUAUUAUACAAUCUGAGUAUAUCGAUUGGGAGUCUGAUUCAUACAUAUGAAACAUUCAGUGACAGAAUAAAUUCAAAUUAGACUCGGACCACACCAUUUUAUCCUGAGGCCACACUCUUAUAAGGUAAAAUCAAUAAUUUUUAUAUCAAGAAGUGACAUAAAAUUUGUUUCCCAACUUUUUACAUAUAUUAUUUAUUGAAGGAGAAUUUUACGUGAAGUGAUUUAAUUUGUAUAAAAAUGAGCUAACUUACUGCUUUUUCUUUUUUUUUUUGCUAUAUAAGUAAUAACGUCUGCACUAAUGAAAAGUUUCAAUUAGACAUACAAGUUACAACGUAGUAUGCUGGUGAUUAAAAAAUAAACAAAUAAAUAAAACAUCAUCUUACUGUUUAGUUCAUGGAAACCAAAUGUUUAAAGUAACUUGAUUUACAAUUAAUAGAAGCCUCAGUAGCCUUGCGUUAUCACAUCACAAUUAAUAGAAGCAUCAAAAUUAGCUUUUGAUAUAAUAAAGAUUUGUACUUCUAAAUUCAGCAUUUGAGUUCGUUACGAUGAAGUUUCUGAGUUUCUUAAUGAACUAAAAUAACAUCCUUUAUUAGCCGAGUCAAGAAUAAAAGGUGCUAAUGGCCAGGUGUGUCAAAGCAGAGUGAUUCGUGACAAUCACAAAUGUGAUCUUAACUAGCUCUCUGUGAAAAGCUCGUCUUUGUAAUCUUUUUAAUACUCUCUAUAUAUAAAUAUAGGGUAAAAGCUCGUUUAGUCCCUAUAUUUUGAAGUUAGUAUCCUUUUAGUCCCUAUAUUUUUAAAAAUACCUCAAACCAUCCCUACCAUUUAAUUAUUGACACUCUUGCCAUUAUCUUCUGUUCCUUUUAACUUAUUUUUACAAUAUUACCCUAUUACAAUAAUUUUUUAGACAUUAUUAAAAAGAAAAAAAUAAAUUGUCAGUUUAACACCAAAAAAUAAAAUAAAAUAAAAAAUAUAUUAAUUUUUGUGGAGCAGUCUCUUGAGUUAAAAUAUUAAUUUUUCUAAAAAAAUUGAUAAUGUAAUUUUUUACAACAUUAAUUUUUUAGACAUACGUGAGCUUCCACAAAAAUUAAUAUAUACAUUUUUUGUUUUUAUUUUAUUUUGGAGGAUAAUUUGAUAAUCUAAUUUUUUAUUAAUAUCCAAAAAAGAAACAUUAUUGUAAGAGUGUAAUAUUGUAAAAGCAAGUUAAAAAGAAUAAAAAAUAAUGGCAUGAGUGUCAAUAUUUUGCUACAGGGACGUUUUGAGGUUUUUUUAAAAAUAUAGGGACUGAAUAGACACUAACCUCAUAAUAUAGGGACUAAACAAGUUUUUACCCUAUAAAUAUACUCUAUUAUGAGAUCAACUGAUUAAAUUGGUCUUUCACCUUGCAGAGCUUGCUUAGACAUAUUGGAUAUUUGUCCUCUUUUUUUUAAAGGGCAAUUAGCACGACAUUAUUAAGAUUAGAUACGAUUCCUAAUCAACUAAAAAUUUUAAAGCGUGAAUUUAUUGUCAAAGUAUUAUUCUUUGCUUUUUACGCUUAAUUCAUCAUGAUUUGAUCUCAGAUAAGUAAAUUAAUUUGUUAUGCUCAAUGUGUUAUAUACAUUCUCCUAAUAUUAAUUAUAAGCAUUCUAUCUAAAUGAAUAUGAUCGAACUGUUACAUGGUCCAAAUUAAAAUUAUGGCCACAAUGCUAGUAAAUUGGAAAGCUAAGCUAGCAUCGCUAAAUUGAACUUAAGUUUUCUUUGUUAAACUGGUUGAUAUGAAUAUGACAAGAAAUUGUAAUUCAACUUUUAAAGUCUCUCUGUCUCAACCAUUUUAAUAUCUUAAUAAAAAGGUACAUUUGAUGGCAAAAAUAUUUAGACUUUCCAUUCUCUCAUUGCCAUAAUUUUGGGGAGAUAAGUGCCUAGUAAGCAAGUUUGAUUAGUCGCUGUUAGGAUCCAAAUAAAUGUUACUUAGUCAAUUAAUUUGUCCAUUAAUCUAGACCACAAAUGUUUAUUCAAUUUUCAUAAGUCAACCCCAGACCUUGGACAUGGAUUUUGUUUUAAAAAAAUUGUCAUAAUAUGAGAAUCUAAAAAUUUAGAUUUAUGGUGUGUUUACUUGUGAAAUCAGGAAAUCGAAAUUCACAGUGGAAGUGAUUCUUAAAUUGUUAUUUUUUACUUGUUAAAAUGGAAUGGAGAAUUAUAAUGAAAUAUGCAGGAUCCACAUAUUUUUUAGUCAAGGAAAAGAAAUCUGAUUCACAUGGGAUUGAGAAUCAAGUUUUCAUUCCUUUAACUCACCAUUUUACCCCCCUCACAUUUCAUAAUUUCAAUUUUGUGCUCAAUUAAAUGUUAUUAUAUUAAUGUAAUAAUAAUAAUAUUUAAACUAACAAUAAUAAUCAUAAUAAUGAUAAUAUAAUAAUAAUGAAAAUAACAACAACAACAAUAAUAAUAACGAAAAGUAAUAAUAUUAAUAAUCACAAUAAUAAUA